RNAcentral lists this long non-coding RNA (132693 nucleotides) under Olea europaea (common olive). RNAcentral's name for it is "long non-coding RNA (OEUR_LNC007652)". Lineage: Eukaryota; Viridiplantae; Streptophyta; Magnoliopsida; Lamiales; Oleaceae. The record is from RNAcentral.
UACCUAGGAACAAGAUGAGAACGUGAAAGAGGAAAAACAAGAGUUCAUCUCUUGUUACACUCAGAAAUGUCUUAGAAGGCUGGCAAAGGUAUCUCCUGCAAGAAAAGAAAAUGUUUACAAUCCAAUUGAAUAAGUGAAAAGCAAAUUUUUAGAGAAUCGCAGUAUACCAGCAAAAACUAUUGCUCUGUUUACUAGAUUCUUUCUCCUUCACUUUCACUUACUACUUCACUUUUACUCUGCCAGUCAAGUAUUAUGACUUUAAGUUCUUCAUUUCCCAUGUCUUCUUGUUCUUCUUGAAUUCUCUUAGCAGAUUCUUUGAUAGCUUCGGCGCAGUCAUAUACCUCAAUCAUUAGUAAUGUUGGAAUAUCACGUAAAAUGGGAGGGAUCAUCUUCAAAUGUUUGCAAUAUUUCAAUCCUAGUCGUUGAAGUCUUGGGAAAUGAUCGCUUGAGGUAUUCCAUUCUGCAAGUCCUACAUCAGAGUUUUUCAAGAAUUUAAGUUGUGGAAAUUCACCUUCACUAGUGUCCCAUCAUCCUUCCUCAAAGGAAACACCACGUAAUUUGAGAACCACAAGGUACUCCAAUUUCCCAAUUAUCUUCAUUUGUUCCGGAGAUAUGCGUGCAUCAACUAGAGUCAAUUUUUUGAGAUUUAAGGGAAGACUGAUCAAACUUAAGGAUAAAUUUUUGGUGUCUGAUAUAAGCUUCAGAGAUUCGAGCUAAUUAAGGAAGUCGAAAGAAUAACUGUGUGAAGUUCCAACCUUGCCCUAAAGUCUGUGAAGAUUGGGUGAACAUCUCAAACUUUUCUCAUCUGCUUCAUCGAAAAUUUGAAGGAAAGAAAUACUUCGUAGGUUUUUUUUUAUUUGGAAGCUCAGAUCCUUAAUUGCUUGAUGACGGGAUAGAAUCACUGAAGUAUGCACAGCCCUCGAAAUGCAUGUGUCUCAAACUCAUCAUAUUAAGGAGGACAUCCGGUAUUUCAACAGCAUCUCGGUUGCGUAGAACAAGAAAUUCUAGUUUGUGGAAGCUUUCCAUUGUUGGAAGUAUACGUGAAAGUGCCAAGUACCUCACAUGAACCAGCUGUUCAAUUCCAAUUACAACAAGAUUUUCCCGGUUGUCAAAAUCCAAGACCCUAAGAACUUUGAAGCUGCAUGCAAAUAAUAUGGACAUCCUAAUAUCAAAACAUAAACAAGAACGCACAUGUGGGCCGAAAGGAAGUGAUAAAAUAGAAUUCUUCCCAUAGAUGAUACUCAGACAAUGGUGUUUCUGAUCCAUCACAAAUUCACUGACGUACGGCAAUGGAUAAGAGUCAUCAACAUUACUGGUAAAAAUAUAAUCACUCGUGAUAUGAUCAUCAGAUAUAGUCACGAAUAUUAGUACACCAAAACAAAAAUGUACAAAUAGAGAAGAAAAAAGAAGAGAAAUAGGGAAUUUACAUCUUGACAAUCUUCAAAAAGCUUUUUUCUCCAGAAUUCUCAAGCACAUUUGACGCAAUAGAUCAUGAAUCAUACAAGUUUUGAUUGAACCAUCAAAUCCUUUUUUAGCAACAAGUACCAGGCUCCUAUCAAUUAGUUUCAUCACAUAUUCUAGUGCACAUCCUCUAAACUCUUGUGCUCUUCCUUCUUUAUAUAUCCUUCAGCAACCCAUAAUGAUAUAAACUUUUGUGUGCGGAUUUCCUCGCCCUCUUGGAAUGCUCCAAAGUAAAGAAAACAUGGUUUCAAGUGCAUUGGCAAAUGGUUGUAGCUAAAUUCUAAUAUCUGGAUGUAGUUAUCUAAAUUUUUGGAUAAAUGUGAACUUAAAUUUCUUGCAACUUCUUUCCACAAUUGUUCUUUAUUCUCCAUAUUUGCAAGAACUCCAGCUAUCACGACCACGGCAAAUGGUAGGCCGUGACAUUUUUUUGCAAUCUUCUUCCCAAUGCCUAGCAAUUCUUGUGGACAACUUUUAUCUCUAAGCACUUUCUUUUGUAAUAAAUCCCAGCAUUCAACUUCCGAUAGAAAAGGAAGUGUAUUUAUGACACAAUGAGGCGACACUUUCCAACUUACUUCUUUAUUCCGAGUGGUGAAUAAGAUUCUGCUUCCAGUUCAGUCAUUUGGAAAAAAUCUUUUCAAAUCAUCCCAUAAUUUUGUAUCCCAUAUAUCAUCCAUGACAAUGAGAUAUAGAAUUCCUUUUAAACUUUUGUAAACAUCUUCAGCCAAACUUUCUACGUCCUGGUUUGCAAAUGUUUCUUGCUUAAAAUUUUUUAUCAAGCUCAAAAUGUUAAUCAAAAUAUUUUUCUUAUUAUAUGUUUGAGAAACAACACACCAGGCUCGCUUGUAAAAAUGAUAGACUACAAAUGGAUCAUUAUAUAGUUUAUUUGCUAAAGUCGUCUUACCAAGUCAAGGCGUUCUAGAUAUGGAGAUAAUUUGCAGUUGCUCCAUUCGUCUAACAAGUUGUUUCGUAAUUUCGAGUCCAACAUCUUCAAACCCCACAAUAACAUCUUCCAAGAUGGGAGUUUCUUUAGAUUGUGAGGAUAAUUGUUCAUCCGGAUAUUUUGCAACUUCUGGCAUUCUAGCCACAUCAAUAUCGUUCUUCAUUUCUUUGGUGGCCAUCGUAAUAAGCUGAAUCUUCUCAUUGAGCCGAGGAAGUCUGAGGGUGAGAUACCAAAUAGGGGGAAAUGAGUUGAUAACAUAUUCAACUUCAAAUGCUAUGUCUCUGGUUUUUAUUAUGAGUUCUUCGUGCUCUGCUUCUUGCUGCACAGAUAUACUGGUGAUGGAAGAUCCCAAUAACGAUAGCUUCGUAUGUAGCAUUACAAUUUGAUCGUUCAGACCAACAAUCCUGUCAAACUUGUUAUUUAUCAGUUCCAUAAGAUUAUCAAGAACAGAAUCAACAAUGAAGAGUGAAACCACACCAGUCUUUAGAGCCAUAUCAAUUGGCAUCUUUGAGACUGUGAUGCAGUGCUCCUUGAUCUUUGAUUUCAAGGGCUCGAACUUUGGUAACAAAUUCGAAAGAGCUAGAUCCACUAUUCCACUCUCCGGGACUUGAUCAUUCUUGGUGAAAACUAUGAAAUUCCCUACCUCAUUGGCCAGAGCUUUGAUAUCCGCCAUUGCUUUCUUGGUUUCUUCUACCUCAGUAGUGGUCUGCAAUGACAUGUCCUCAAGAACGUCGAAAAAGCCAGAGUGCAAGAAACUUACUCCAACGUUGAUCACAUCCAGUGGCGGACACAGAAAUUUUGAAUUAGUGGGGCACAAUCCCGAAUAUAGGAGAUUGGGCUGGCCCAGUCCCCUCCCCAGCUCACUUAAUAGUUUUUAGGGCAAAAAAAAAUAAAAUAAUAAUAAUAAUAAAUAAAUAAAUAAGUAAAAAAAAAUUUAUGUGUACAUUUAAUUUUUUUACAUGUUAGCUCAGUUUGUUACGUAUUAGUCUGACUUGUAGUCCGAACCUAGAUCCGUCCCUGACACAAUCAGAAUUGAAAAAUGUUGAUGCUUGAAAAAUAAAAAUAAAAUGUUUGAAAAAAAAAUUAUCGAUAUAUAUGGAUAACCAAAACAUCUUCAUCCGACUACUCUAGAUCAUCACUAUUGAAUUUAGACAUGAAAAAUAAAAUUUUAUGAAAUGAAAUGAAGUUACACAACUUUGAUCAUAAAGACCACUAUCCAAUAUUUUAUUAUUUUACUCCCCCAGAGGCCAAAUCAUUCAAAUAAAACACACGGUUGCAUACUGACUUCUAUGACUUUCUAGUUUAUUCACUCACCACUCUCUCUCUCUCUCCUCUCUUUGUUUCAUCCUUUACCCUCUCUUUCCACUCUCAGUUCUCUCACUUUCUUUUAACAUGAUAAUUACAUACACAAUACAAUACACAUUUUUCUAAACGGCGGACAAAUAAUUUAAUACCUAUGUGUUGACUGUCCAAAAAUCUUUGCCCAAUUCAGUUCCUGAAUUGUGAUAUCACCAAUCACGGACAGAUUCACAAUGGGACUUUUUUUUUUUAAAUACAUACACAAUACACACAAUUAAACACAUUUAUAGUAUGCUAUGUCGGUGGAAGAGUGUUCAUCAACAUAGGAAGAAGAAGAAGAAUGAGUUUUGAUUUUCCAAGGGAAGGGAACUAGGGACGGGUUUCGAUUUUUCCAUUUGGGCACUGGAGUCUUCUUCUGGGUUCUGCUGAAGAGGACUGAAGGCCCAAAAAAAAAAAAUUUAAUUUUUAGAAGUUGGUGGAUCACGUGACGUGACCCUCUAGGACCCAAUGUGGGUCCGCCUCUGAUCACAUCUUCAAUAUCCGUCAAAUUAAGCCUUGUAAAAGCAAUAAAUGUGUCUUCCUUCCGAGUGACCAAGAAUACUACAAAGGUAUAAAACAAGGAAAAAAAGAAAUUUCCUAUUUCAUUAACCACAGCUUCGAUAUCUAGUACUACAUUAUUGGUGGGCUGCCAAUGCAUUGAUGUAUCUCCAAGAAGAGUAAUAAGAAAUCCCAGCUCUGUCCUGAGAUUUUGGAAAGCAAUGUAUUUUGCCUUAAAACAUAGGAUGGAUUCUAACAUUCCGAGUAGAAAGUUGAUGAAGGUUGCAACAACUUCAUUAGGACAUGAAUCACAUGACGAGCUUUGCAGGUUUGGGACAGUGAAGAAUGCCUUAAGCUUUUCCAACAUGACAAUAAUUGUUGGAGACUGUGUCUGAUAUUUUCAAUAACUUUUGAGUUUCUGAGCGGCUCCGGAAAAUGAAACAAAUCGUUUGAUGGGAGCCCAAGUUGGCAAGACAAAAUUGACGAAUACUCGAACACGAUUGCAGCGAAUCCUAGUGGCGCAGUAAACAGUUUAUCCUCGUCUGGUAAAAGGUACUCCUCUUCUGUCCUGUCCUGGCAGUCUAUGCUUGAUUCUCCCACCCCGAUGACAUAGGGAAAGGAUGCACGCAAUUGCAGGGGAAAAAGAAAGACAACCUGUUAAGAUUUUAAAAUUUUUUAAAUGAAUCGUAACUUCCAAUCUGAAUCUAUCCUCCAAAUGGAUGACUAUUAUACAUUGUGAACUCGGACAAAAAAUUUAACAAAGAUAACUCGUCUUAAAAAGUAUCUUGGGGACCAUUUUUGGGCGAAACAACCAAAAAAAUUGACUUUAGAAAAUUGUUUCAUCAAAAGUUAUUUCUUGCAGUUAUCAUUGUGACAACGUCACUACAAUUGCAACACAUUUCAAGCAAUUGAAAAUGUAGGAAAAUAUGUUCAGAGCACAUUAAAAAAAACUUUUUAAAAGUGAAAUGCUAUUUAUAUGAAUGAGUCAAAGUUUAAAAUUAAAUUUUAAAAAAUUUUAUUUUAAUUUUUAAAACAGAGAGUAUGAGCCAAACUCGCUCUCUUUCUGUAUUUUAUCAGAAUCACAUUUAAUAAAAUUGUAAAAUAUCAACUGUCCGCAACUUAAGUUAUUCAUAUUGUAUUGAAUUAUUUAAAAGGAUGAUCCAUUACUACAAACCUGGUUUUUCUACACUGCAAAUAAUGUUGGUAUUCUACUUUUGUUUUCUAUUUUUACCGAAAUUUUAGUAGCUUAUAGCUUUAGAGUUUGUUGAUCCAAAAUUUAAAUCAAAACAAAAGAAGGAAAAAGAGUACUAAUUAUCACUAUUCUAAAAGGCAACACCUAGGUGAGAGGCAAGCACAAAACACCCGCCUCGCACUUUUUCGUGCUUUUUUUCUUUUUUCUUUUUUUCAAGCCUAGAUGAGAUUUUUUUUUUUUUACAAUAUAUUAUUUUAUAAUUUUAUAUGUUUGGCAGGUAUUAUUUUAAAUAAUUUUCAGAUUGAUGUUAAAACAUCUUUUUGACAUGGUGAACUCGAAGAACAAAAUUAUAUGAGUCAAGCAGUUGGUUUCAUAUAUAAAAAUAAAAUCGAUUAUGUGUGCUUACAAAAAAAAAAAUCCUUAUACGUAUCAACACAGUCUCUCUGGCAGUGGAAUAAAUUAUUUGAUUAUCUUUUAUGUUAUCUUUGGACUAAGAGAAGUGAAUUUGAUCAUUGUAUACUUUAAAUCUGAAUUAUCCAAAUUUUUUUUUAUCUAUAUUCUUAUAUACGUGCAUGGUAUGUUACUUACUAGGUCUUUCAUAGUCUUAGUAAGAUUAAGUAUGCAUUGAAUUCAGAAUUUGACACUAAAGACCUUGGAAGUACCAAGAAAAUUCUAGGGUGGAUAUUGUUAGGAUAAGGCUAAUUCAAUUUUGGUUCUUAACUGCACUACAUUGUGGAACUGUCCACUGCUAGAUCCGAUUACGUUGCGCUAACAGAAGCCAUAAAGGAGUUAUCGUGGCAUAAAGGUCUGUUGGGUAAGUAGAGUUUAUUUUCUGCUCCUGUUGUGGUGCACCUGAUGCCUAGUAUGCUGUACUGUUAUUCAAGAAUCCUGUUUUUCAUGGCAGAACAAAAUAUAUAUAGAUGUAAGAAUUUCGUUUCAUUAGAGAUAUAGUGUCCAAAAAUAUGAUUCAAUUGGAUAAAUUCCAUCUCAGUUCAAUCCCUCAGAUAUGGAAACGAAACAUUACAAUUAAGCAAGUUUAAACCUUGCUUACAUCUACUUAACAUAGACACAUGUCAAGAAUAUUGUUAAAUAAGCAUUAGUUUUAGUUUUUUUCUUGCAUAUUUACUAACUUUUGUAUUGUUUUUGCAGGUAUCAGAGAUGAAUGCACAAAAUAGAGAGAAGUGUUGAUUGCACCCUUUUUUCCAAUUCUUGCUGAGAGCAAAGUGAAUAACAGUUGAGUGGUUUGUGAUGAGUUUGUUUCACUCAUGAUUUUCGUACAAUUUUAGCUUGAUUAAAUGCUAGAUUUUAUGAGUGUAGAACGUUUUUGAUGUGUUUGUUAGUGUUGUUUUGAAGAUAAGGAGAAGCAAUGAGAAAAGAAGUAUUAAAGUGGACGAAGAGGCCAAAAACACGGAAUUGAGGCAGAAAGAUGGCGCUUCGGCGCUACACUUAUAGCGCCUAGGAGCUACGAAACGAAGAAAAGAUGAAAAUUGGACCCGAGAGGCAGCGCCUAGGCGCUAUAGCCAGCACCUAGGCGCUAAAGACACAGCGCCCAGGCUCUAUAGUCAGUGCCUAGGCGCUGCGAAUGGCGAUUUAGGGCGCGUUUUUUUGAGCCGUUUUUAAAGUCAUAGAAACCCUACUUUUACAUAAAAACGUGAAGGCACCUAUAAAUACAUCCUCCUCAUACUUUUGAAGGCUUCUUGACAUAUUGGAGAGAAAAAUAACAAGGGAGAUUCAAAGGAGAAAUUUAAGAAGAUUAACACCAAGAAUUGAAGAUUGGAAGCACUCAUUGGAAGAGGAAGGAGAUCUUGGUGCAAGAAUUCCACUUUUUCUUCUACACCUUUAUUUCAAACUCGGUGAUGUAUUCUAAGACAAUCUCCUAUUUUUCUUCCAUUAUUAUGAGUAGUUAAAUUUGAUUUUAGGGCGAACAAUGUAAUCUUUUGGAACCCUUUAUUUCAUGUAAUUGAGAUUUUAGUGCUUUUAUAUUUCAUGUGUUGAUUUUAAUGUUGUUCUUAAUACAUUUAAUUACUUGAUCACUAAUUAGAUGAUUUGUGAACAAUGAAUGCGUAGAGAUGAGGAUUAUUUGUUUAGACCAUAUGUUAAAAUCCGGUAAAUUGAUAUAAUGUGUAGAGCUACCUAUAUUGAUUGACGCGGUCGUGUGUGAAUUCUUAGAACCAAUGUUUCAUUUAAUUAAAUUUAAUUUGCAUAGAGAUAUGGAAUUAAACUAAUUAAAUAGGUUCAAUGAUAACUCGAGAGGAGUAAGUUGAAUACAAUAGAAGAAUAUGACCGAACACUACCUUAGGUUUUAUGAAUCUUGAUUUAUGAAGUAAAGGUGACCAAUAGGUGAAAUUGUUCCGCCCUAACGUCCAUUUAUUGUUUGAAUUCUCAAUCACGUUUCGUUAAAUCCAAUCGCAUUUUUAAGUCUUUAGAAUAAAAAUCACAUUUAAUCAUUGUUUUUUAUUUAUAUUCGUCAAAUAGUAGUUAAAGAAAGAUUAAAUUAAGUGCUAGAAAACAGUCCUUGUGGGAUCGAUAACCAGACUCUUAGGUCGACUAUUACUUGUUACGGGUGGAACACUUGCGAAACAAAAUUAUACAACAAGUUUUUGGCGCCGUUGUCGGGGACUAUUUCUUUUAGUCUUAAUUUAUUUUUUUAUUUUGGCUAUUAUUUGAUUAGUUUAUUUUUCUUUUAUUUACAGAAAAGUGUGUUCGUUGUAUGCUCCGUGCCCAAGGCGACGAUCUUGAACCAUUUGAUUCGGAGAUAGAACGUACCUUCAGACGAAGACGCAAGGAACACAAACAAAAACAGCAACAUAAAAUGGCUGACAAUCAACAAAUCCAUAUCCCUAUUUAGCCGAUUGGGCAAAUGGCCGCAAGAGUGGUGGCACCACCAGAUCAACAGCAUGAACGAAGGGAAAUAAAUGAAGGGGAUUUGCCAGUAUCAAUGUUCCUGACACCUAUAGCAGCACCAAUGCGCUCCAGUAUCUUGUAUCCAGAUUUUGGGGUGAAUAACUUUCAGAUUGGGCCAGAUUGGAUUAACUUGAUGAGCAACACUCCGCAAUUCUACGGGCUACCUCAAGAGAAUCCAAACACGCAUAUUUCUAGAUUUCUCAGAAACUGUCAGAACUUUCAUGCUCCGGGAGUCAAUGAAGAUGCUAUUAAACUACAACUAUUCCCAUUUACAUUGAGAGAUGCUGCAUUGGAGUGGUUAGAUGCUGAGCCUCACGCUAGCAUUACUACAUGGGAAGAACUAAUCAGGAAGUUCUGUAAUAAAUUUUUUCCACCAGCGAGGGUAGCUAAAAUCAGAUUAGAAAUUCAGACUUUUCAACAGAAAGAGGGAGAAAGCUAUUACGAAGCAUGAAAUAGGUUUAAUGAGUUGAUGAGAAAAUGCCCAAACCAUGGAAUUACUAUAGGUAAUCAAGUGCAGUACUUCUACACUGGACUUACACCACUGUCAAAAUCUCAAGUCGAUGCCUCAGCUGGAGGAUCAAUUAUAGGAAAAUCUGUGCAGCAAACCAUGGAACUGUUUGAGUUGAUUGCCACUACACAUUCCAUGUUCUCAUCGGAAAGAGUGGCGCCACCGAAAACAGGAGGAAUGUAUGAGUUAGACAGCGCAGCAGCUACCAACGCCUAAAUAGUGGCAUUGACAAAACAAGUGGAGUUAUUGGUGAAAUCACAAAUGAAAGGAGCACAUGCAGUGACAGCUGGUCCAUCAUGCGAGAAUUGCGGGGCUAAUCAUCUGACAGAAAACUUCACAUCUAUAGGCUAUCCCGACGAGCAGGUCAAUUUCAUUCAGAAUAGGUCUCGAAAUUUUAAUCCAUUUGCUCAAACAUACAACCCAGGAUGGAGACAAUACCCAAAUUUCAAAUGGUCGAAUAAUCAACAAGGGAACAAUUCAAAUAAUGCCCAACAGGAGAAAAAACCAAGUUUAGGGGAGAUGUUCAACCAGCAUAUGCAGAAGACUGACAAGGUGUUUCAGCAGAUUGACACUAAUUUUUAGAAUCAGCAAGCAUCAAUCAAGAAGUUGGAAACACAAAUUGGUCAGAUAGCUCAACAGCUUGCAGAACGCCCACAAGGGAUAUUGUCAGGCAAUACAAUGGUCAAUCCAAAAGAGCAAGUGCAAGCUAUAACUACCAGGAGUGGGGUGCAACUUCCAGAAAUUCAUGUGAAGAGACCUGAGCGAAAAGAGAAGGAAAAAAUGGGUGAAGAGGCUGGGAAAGAAGUAGAGUUUGAACAACCAACUGACAAGGAAAACGAAAGGAAGGAAACACCUGCAGUGAGAGCACCCAGCCCCGUGAAGGCUUAUGUGCCACCAAUUCCAUUCCCUCAAAGGUUACACAGAAAGAAGUUGGAUAAUCAGUUUGCCAAGUUUGUGGAGAUUUUCAAGAAACUGCACAUCAAUAUUCCUUUUGCAGACGCAAUUGCCCAAAUGCCUAGCUAUGCAAAAUUCUUGAAAGAGAUCCUAUCUAACAAAAGGAAGCUGGAAGAACAUGAGACAGUAUGCUUGAACGAGGAGUGCAGUGCAAUACUAUUGAGAAAGCUACCUCCUAAGUUAAAAGACCCAGGGAAUUUCACUAUACCUUGUGAUAAGUGUGUUUUUACACACUUAUUUAGCUCACAAACAUAAUUUAAAUAUGGAAAAAGUAGUUGAAUUAUGACUUAAUCUUGUUAAAUUCAUGCUAUGUAGGUGUUUCUAUGGAAAAGAUGGAAUUCAGAAGAAAAGAGCCGAAAAAGGACCAAAACGGAACAGAGCGAUAGUUCGAGGACCAAGUUGCAAAUAAUCCAUAGAUGAGACGGGAAAUGGAAUGAAGAUUCAAGAGUGUUAAAGUUCAAUCGGAUGAGGAAAGGAGUCAAGAGGUGAAAUAUGGUCGGAGUAUUAUCAAGUAUCAAAUUUCAGGCGAAAAAGUUAUACUCGUGAUUUUGAGUCUCUACUUGAAAUCCAUUUUUGGCGUAGUAAACUUCAGAAUUUGAGGAAGCCUAUUUCUAUCAAAAGUGUAUAUCUUUAAGUUUUCUUCCCAAUUCACUUUGAAUCACUUCAAUCGGAGAUCAGGAGAGAAAGUUAUGACCAAAAUACUGAAAGCUGUUCGGAGGAAAAAAUUUAUAACCAUGCGGCCGCAUGGUUAUAAUUCCUUGCGGCCGCACAGGGUCUAGCAGGGAUCCAAAUGAGCUGAAAAAUUGAACCAUGCGGUCGCAUGGUUUAACACCAUGCGGCCGCAUGGCUUUAAGUUCGAUAAAAAAUUCUGGAAUCCCGUUUUUAAUUGAAACUCUUUCAGGGCUCCGUGGGGACAUGAUAUAAAAGCCAAAAUUCAUCAGAAAUAGGGUAGAACGUCCAGGGAGAAGAAGAAUACAACUUUUGGAGGCAAGGAACACGAACUUGAAGCGGAUUUCACAAGGAUUCAAAGGGGUUUUCAAGGUUUUAUUCAAAAUUUCAGAUUUCAAGAACUUUCAUACGGGUGUUCUUCCUUCUAUUCAUUAAUUUCGUUUUGGUUUCUGUAAUUAUGAAUCUUCCAGGCUAGGGUUUUAAUUACUAGGUGAUCGAUGAACCGUUGUUUGUUAUUUUAAUUCUAUAUUUCAUGAACUUGAUAUAAAGAUUCGUUGGAUAAUUUGAUUGAUUUACAUGCAUUAAUUUUCUUCCGCAAUUAGUGGCUAAUGAUUGUGUGAGUAUUGAUGACUUGUUUCUUUCAUUCGAGAGAAGUGGAAUAGGCUCGAUAAGGUGUAAAUUAACAUAGAGUCCGAUAGGGGAUAGAGAUAUACCCCUAUGCUUUAUGUAAUUCUUAAAUUGUUCACAAAACUACAUGCAUUCUUGUAUGUUUGCAUCAUCCAUAGAGACAUAGGCUAGUGGUGUGCAAGAAUAGGUCUAAUAUAUAUCGAGAGAGUAUAUUGGAUAGAAUUAGGAACAUUGAAUUGGCAAAUUUUCAUCGAAUCAUUAAUUUUAUGAAAUUAGGGUUUUUAUAACUUCAAUUGGGGAUUCGUGAUCCUAGUGACUUCAAUUUGAUUCAUUUUAAUAAAUUAGCUUUUAAACUUGCUUAAUUUCAUUUACUUGAGUGUUUAAGUCGUUUAAUUAGAGAAAUUUCGAAAUUAGGGUAUCUAAUUGAGAAAUUAGGGUUUUUAGUUGAAAUUAGGGUUUUUAAUUGAAAUUAGGGCUUUUUGCAUUUAGACCAUAUUUUCACUCAAUUAGAUUCGGUUAAGGCUAGAUUAUAUAGAAUUGAACUACUCAAUCUCUGAGGGACGAUAUUCGGACUUUUAAACAUCCACUUUAUUACUUGUUACGAACUGUACACUUGUGGUAAUUUUAAAUCAAAAGAAUUAUUUCGUGAACACCUUGUACAAUUGGUUCUAAUUUCUUUGAACAUUCUUUAUGUGAUUUAGGUGCCAGUGUUAAUUUGAUGCCUCUCUCUGUUUACAGGUCUCUUGGAUUAAGAGAAGCAAAACCUACAACAAUCUCUUUGCAAUUGGCCGACAGAUCGAUCAAACAACCAAAGGGAAUUAUUGAAGAUGUGCUGGUUAAAGUCGACAAAUUUAUUUUUCCGGUUGAUUUCAUCAUUUUGGACAUGGAAGAGGACUCAAAUAUUCCUCUGAUCUUGGGAAGACCGUUCUUGGCUACUGGGAGAGCAUUGAUUGAUGUGUAUGGUGGAAAAAUGAUUCUUUGAGUGGAUAAUGAGCAAGUUAUAUUCAACGUGUUCAAGGCAAUGAAACACCCAUUGACUUCCGACACUUACUGCGAAGUUGAUGUUCUUGAAGAGCUUGUGGCGGAUACAUUUGAUAUAGAGCAUCACACAAAUCUUUGUGAGGCAGAAUUUGCACAAUUGGAAGCAACAAAUGCAGGAAAAGUUGAAUGUGUUGUCAACUUAGCCGAGCAACCUAUAGGAAGAAGGCAUUGGUAGUAUGAAUCUCUAAGAGACAACCCUUCUCCCCCGGUACCCUCUGUGGAAAAGGCACCCACUCUUGAACUUAAGUCCUUACCUUCCCAUCUUCCGUAUGCAUAUUUGAGAGAAUCGUCAACACUACCAGUAAUCAUUGCAAAUGAUAUGACAAGGGAAGAUGAGAAUAAAUUGUUGGAGGUACUCAGGAAACACAAAAUGGCAAUUGGAUGGACAAUAGCAGAUAUAAGAAGGAUCAGUCCAACUCUUUGCAUGCACAAGAUUCUAAUGGAGGACGGGUAGAGGGCAUCAGUGGAAGGACAACGCCGAUUGAAUCCAACAUUGAAAGAGGUAGUGCAAAAAGAAGUGCUGAAAUUAUUGAAUGCAGGAAUAAUUUAUCCCAUAUCUGAUAGUUUGUGGGUGAGUCCUAUACAUGUUGUACCUAAAAAGGGUGGAAUCACAGUGGAGAAGAACGAGAACAACGAGCUAAUACCAACACGGUUAGUGACAACGUGGAAGGUUUGCAUAGAUUAUAGAAAGCUAAAUAAUGCAACCAGAAAAGACCAUUUUCCAUUGCCAUUCAUUGAUCAGAUGUUCAAAAGGUUGGCAGGACAUUCUCAUUAUUGCUUUCUGGACGGAUAUUCAGGGUAUUAUCAGAUAGUAAUUGCUCCAGAAGACCAAGAGAAGACAACCUUUACAUGCCCUUAUGGAACGUUUGCGUUUAGAAGAAUGCCUUUUGGUUUAUGCAAUGCACCGGCAACCUUUCAAUGAUGCAUGAUGGCUAUCUUUUCUGACAUGGUAGAAAAGUACAUUGAAGUUUUUAUGGAUGAUUUUUCUGUGUUUGGAGAUUCCUUUGACAAUUGCUUGGAGCGGUUGGCUCUUGUAUUGCAAAGAUGUGAGGAGAAGAACCUUGUGCUUAAUUGAGAAAAAUGUCAUUUUAUGGUAAAGGAAGGAAUAGUACUAGGACAUAGAAUUUCUGCACAGGGGAUUGAAGUGGACAAAGCCAAAAUACAGGUGAUUGAGAAAUUGCAGCCACCUAAUUCAGUAAAGGGGAUCAGGAGUUUUCUGGGACAUGCAGGGUUUUAUAGAAGAUUCAUUCAAGACUUUUCAAAAAUUACAAAACCGUUGUGCAACCUGCUGGAGAAAGAUAUACCUUUUCAAUUUUCUGAGGAGUGUUUGAAAGCCUUCAACAUUUUGAAAGAAAAAUUGACAUCGGCACCUGUGAUAGUGUUUCCAGAUUGGGAAUUGCCUUUUGAGCUCAUGUGUGACGCCAGUGACUUUGCAGUGGGGGCAGUGCUUGGACAACGCAACGGAAAAGUAUUUCAUGUUGUCUACUAUGCUAGCAAAACAUUGAAUGAUGCUCAGAUCAACUAUGCAACAACUGAAAAGGAAUUGCUUGCAGUUGUUUUCGCUUUUGACAAAUUCCAUUCUUAUCUGAUUGGGUCCAAGGUGAUAGUUUAUACAGACCAUGCAGCUCUGAAAUAUUUGUUUGAGAAGAAGGAUGCGAAACCAAGGCUAAUUCGCUGGGUGCUAUUACUACAAGAAUUUGACAUCGAGAUUCGUGAUAAAAAAGGAACAGAAAAUCAGGUAGCAGAUCACUUGUCAAGGAUAGAGCAACAUCAAAAUUCAGAUAAUAUGAAUAUCAAUGAGGUCUUUCCAGAUGAACAGUUACUGCUGGUAAAAAAAGCUCCGUGGUAUGCAGACAUUGUUAAUUACUUAGCCAGUGGCUAUAUGGAUCCGGAUCUCACCUAUCAGCAAAAGAAGAAGCUCAGUCAUGAAGUGAAAUUCUAUUACUGGGAUGAUCCAAAUUUGUAUAGGAGAGAGGCGGACCAGAUCAUUAGAAGAUGUGUGCCCGAGGAUGAAAUGAAACCGAUCCUCUCACGAGUACAUGCUUCGGCUUAUGGAGGGCACUUUGGCCCCACUAAAACAGCAGCAAAGGUGCUCCAAUGUGGUUUCUUUUGGCAUACAUUGUUCAAGGAUUGCCAUAGUUUCUGUAGGUCAUGCGAUAAGUGUCAAAGAACAGGUAACAUAUCAGUGCGUCACGAGAUGCCACUUAACAACAUUUUGGAAGUGGAAAUAUUUGAUGUCUGGGGGGUUGAUUUUAUGGGUCCAUUUCCAUCAUCUUACAACAAUCGGUACAUCCUGGUCGCGGUGGAUUAUGUUUCAAAAUGGGUAGAAGCUAAAGCACUGCCUACAAAUGACGCAAGGGUGGUGGUCGACUUCAUAAAGAAACACAUAUUUAACCGAUAUGGAUCACCUAGGGCAAUUAUAAGUGAUGGUGGAACGCACUUUCGCAAUCGGUUGUUCCAAGCAGUUUUGCAUAAGUACGGAGUACAACAUCGAAUUGCCACUCCUUAUCACCCUCAGACAAGUGGACGGGUGGAAACAUCAAACAGACAAUUGAAAAGAAUUUUGGAGGUCACUGUGAAUGCAUCUCGCAAGGAUUGGUCAAAAAAAUUGGACGAUGCUUUAUGGGCAUAUCGCACAGCUUACAAGACGCCUAUAGGAAUGUCCCCAUAUCGACUAGUCUUUGGGAAAGCAUGCCACCUACCAGUGGAAUUUGAGCACAGAGCGUAUUGGGUAUUGAAGCAAUUAAACAUUGACCUCGAAAAGGCUGGAGAAACAAGAGUACUACAGGUACAUGAGUUGGAGGAAUUCAGAAGAGAGACAUAUGAGAAUGCAUCCAUCUAUGAGGAAAUGACAAAGCAGUGGCACGACAAGAACAUCAGGCAACAAAUUUUCCGAGUAGGGGAUCAAGUGCUAUUAUACAAUUCCCGGCUUAAACUUUUCCCAGGAAAAUUGAAGUCUCGAUGGUCCGGCCCUUUUACGGUCUCUCAGGUGUUUCCCUACGAGACAGUUGAAUUACACCAUCCAACUAAAGGAAAUUUCAAAGUAAAUGGUCAACGCAUCAAGCAUUAUGUGUAAGAUUUUCCCACCGCUAAAGAGAGUCUUGAUCUAGCUGUUCCCGAAUAACUGCGGCACUACGUCCAGCUAAUGACUUAAAAGAAGCGCUUCUUGGGAGGCAACCCAAGCUCUAUUCUUUAUUUGAUUAUUAGUUUAUGCUUUGAUUUUGUUUUCUUCCGUUAAUAAUUUAUAUUAUCGUAGUAACUCUUCUCUUUUGCUUUUGUAGGAGAAUCUAUGAAGGUUACAUAUUGCGAAAUUUGAGCUCUACAAUGAAAAUGAAUGAGUGUGAAAAAGGGUCAGAGGUAAUAAAAAAAAAAAAAAAAAAUUUACAAAACGAGGUAGAAACUCAGCGCCUAGGCACUAGGAUCUGCCUAUUUUGGCAGAAAUGCAGCGCCCAGGCGCUGCGUCUGUGCGUUUUGGGCAGAAAGCGCUGCGAACCUGACCUUCCCCCCCCCCCCUUUUUAUUUUAUUUUUUUCUUCCUUUCUUUUCUAUUUCUUAUACCCAAAACCCCCAUCCCUCCUCAUACGAUUUUCCCUAACCCUCUUUCCCUCUCAUCUCUUCCCUCUCCCCUCUCAUCUUCUUCCCCUAACCCUUGCCUUUACUCUUUUUCAUCUCCCCCUCAACCCCUCCAAGGUACACUCUUCCCCUCUCUUUCUUUUUUUUAGUUUUGUUUUUGGUUAAAUUUAUUUUAUCACCUCUCCCACAUCAUAUUUCUUUCAAUUCCACAUUUUUUUGCCCCCCUCCCACUCCCACUCCCACUCCCCUUUGUUGUUUUUCCACAUCUCUUUGUUGAUAAGUGUGAAUUCAUCCAUCCCAAUUAGUUUCCACAACACCAUUCUAGGUAUCGCUUUUGUAUUUGCUCCUCUUACAUUAUAGUUGUUGCGUUUAUGUGCCUAUUUUUGUUAAUUAUGUUACGAGGAGGGCUUGCCUUGUUGUAGUGUCAAGAACUUUGUGUGUGGUGCGAAUAUUUUGGCAUGAAUUACUCCCAAAUUAUAGGCAAGUUUUUGGUGGAAAUUUGGUGCAUUCAAUGUGUUUGAUGAAUUGUCUAGGUGAACUUAGUUGGGUACAAGGAGCUGUUUUGGCUAUUGUGCUAAUUGAAUUAUGUGGGAAUUGCCAUGUAGAUGAUUAUGAAUUGAAAAUUGGGUUUAGAGUACAUCUAUUACACGUUCGACCAUAGUUUCCUCUUAUGGCUAGAUUUUUAGCCUUGCCUUAUUUUCCUUUAUUACUGUUUUUGCUCAUGGUUUGCUUGUUCUACCCUUGUACAGGUCCAAUGCCGCCUAAAAAGAGAUCUAAAGCCGCAGCCUCCUCUUCUAGCUCAUUUGACAGGAGCAAAUUCAUUAGUGCUGAGGCCGCUGAACGUUAUAAUAGCUUGGUGGUACACAAGACUUGUAUUCCUAAACGUGGUUUUGACAAUUAUAUGACAGAGCAAAUAGGUCGGUGGAAUUGGGAGGUGUUUGCUCGACAACCACGACCGGCGCUAAUUCCGGUUGUUAGGGAGUUCUACGCUAAUGCGAAGGAGCAUCGAGAUUUUCGAGUGUUUGUGCGGGGUAAAUGGAUACCGUUUGAUAGAACCUCCAUCAACAGGUUUUAUCAUUUGUAAGAUAUUGAAAAUGACGAGUACUCUAGACUUCAUGAUGAGGGUGUUGAUCCUGAUGAGGUUAUUCAAGCCUUGACUACAACUGGCACAACAUGGAAACGUUCGGAGACUGAUGUAAUUAACUUCCCUGCUUCUGGUAUGACUUCGGGUUGUAAGGCUUGGCACCACUUCAUUUCUGGUAAACUUAUUCCCAGUAGCAACUUAAGUGAAGUAACAAAGGAACGGGCGACCCUCAAUUAUGCCAUUCAGUGCCGCCUAUCCAUAGAUGUUGGUAAAGUUAUUCACAACAACAUCUUACAUACUUGGAGAGGAUCGACUACCGGUGGUCUAGGGCACCCUUCGUUGAUCUAUGAGCUUUGCUUAGCAGGUGGUGUCGUCACAUACCCGACUGAGGAGGUUGUGCACCCCAAACCGGCUAUUACACGAGUGCGUACUUGGAAAUUCAUACGCCGCUUCGAAUCCACCAGUGCUCCACCCCCUCCUCGGAGCGACCAGCCGCCCCGUUCACGUCGAUCGACACCAGCUAGUGAUCCUACUUCUGCCCUUGCCACUCAGCUUCAUGACAUGCAAUUGCAAAUGAAUUUGAUGUAAAAUACCUUGUGCGAGCAAUUCCAUUAUCAACAUGAGUUCAACGCGGUAUUGGCUUCGAUGUACCCUGAUCGAACAUUUCCUCAGCCGCCUCUCCUACCUGAUCACACUGCCAAUCCUAUUCCGAAUACCUAGGACGACGAUGUCGAGGACGACGAUUAGUCGUCGUCCGUCAGGUAAGUCCCCUCCCCAUUUUGUUUCUAUUUCACAUUGAGGACAAUGUUUCCGUUAAGUUUGGGGGAGUGUGAAUAUUUUGCUUACAUUGUUGAGUUCCUCGAAUGCUUAUGUGUGAUUUGCUUGUUUGAAAGAAUAAAAAAAAACAUUUCGUGUUUUUUUUGCAUGCUUGUGUGUGUUAGAUAACCUUACUGGUAUUGAUAUGUGUAAUUGAGAACAUGCGUUGAUUUAUGAAUUGUGGACGAGUUAUGUGUUUGAGUUAGAGUUUUGCUUAUUCAUGUGAAAUGGAAAUUAUUUUUUGCACGUGAGUUGAUUGUAGCGUUGUACAUGAGGAGGUUGAUUCACGCUUAUAGGUUGAAAUAGAGAACUUAGAUGCUAACCUAAACAACCAUUAAACAUCACAAUAUCUUAAACCAAAUUUAGGAUGUUUGGAUGAUUGCACUGUUGUAGGAAAACUUGAAGACAAAUGUGGAUUUCGUGUGUGUUAAUUUUUGUGUGGACUGUCUGAGACUAAUGGGAUAAAAAUUGGGUGAAAACCUUAAGUUAGAGGUCGAUUUUCGAGGAUAGGUGUUUAAUAAGGGGCAUUGCACUAAUCACCGAAUAAAAAAAAUCCCAAUGAGAACAACUUUAAUAAUCUCAUUGUAAAUCGUCUCUUCGUAGCCUUUAUGACUCGAGUGAUUAAGCCUAUAAGGGUUUAAAAUCUGGUGCCCUGAAGUCAUCUGAUUUGGAAGUCAUCGACCUAAAGCUCACUACAGGGGUCAUUUAGAAAGUUUAAGGGAGAGACGUCCGCACAAAGAGUGAUUAAAGAAUAAAAAUAUAUAUGAAAAUAAAAAAAAGAAGUUAAUUAAGCCCCGAACACUUGUUUUAGAGGAUUAGACCUUUGAUAAGGGGUAAGUAACUUGGUUGAUUCCUAGAGGUUGAAGCAGUCAAAAAUAAGGAGAAUUCUCAUUUGUUGACAUGUGGAACUACAAUCAGUAAAAUCUAACCAAACUUGAGUGGUGUAAGAAAUUAGUAUGGAAAAUUUAACCUUAGGUUACACCCUUGGAAAGAGAAAAUAAAAUAAGUUUGGGGGUGUGUGAAUCCCACGAGCAAAGUAAGGAAAAUUUUGACUUCUAAGGUUGGGAAUUGGGUCAACUUAUUAUUGUACAGCGUUGCACUUGACUCUCCACACACACAUACACCCGUUUUGCAUUGAAUAAGCGAGAAUUUAACUUUUGCAUUAUAGCUUUGAAGUGGUUCAUGGAAUCGAAGUUAUGUUUUUAAUUCUAAGACAUGAAGGCAAGUUAUCUAGCGAAAUUUAUUUUUAGUGAUUUUGUUUGUCUUGAUUGUGCUUGUGUGUCCGUUAAUUAUUCUUAUGGGUUGUAGUGUUUGCUGGAGGACUAGCAAAUGGUUAAGUUUGGGGGUAUUUGAUGAGUUUGUUUCACUCAUGAUUUUCGCACAAUUUUAGCUUGAUUAAAUGCUAAAUUUUAUGAGUAUAGAACGUUUUUGAUGUGCUUGUUAGUGUUGUUUUGAAGAUAAGGAGAAGCAAUGAGAAAAGAAGUAUUAAAGUGGACGAAGAGGCCAAAAACACGGAAUUGGGGCAGAAAGAUGGCGCUUAGGCGCUACGAAACGAAGAAAAAAUGAAAAUUGGACCGGAGAGGCAGCGCCUCGGCGCCACAACCAUAGCGCCUAGGAGCUACCAGCAACGCCCAGGCGCUCAAGACACAGUGCCCAGGCGCUGGAACUCUCUAACUAUCAUUAGAGAGCUCUUAAGAGCCCUUCUAGAAAGGGCUUGCUUUACCUGAAUACUAUCUUAUAGUAUUCACUCUAUAAGCCCCUACGGGGACCGCCGGAGUGAGGGCUGCCUACUCCCUCUGGUUCACCUCCUGGGAGCUUCCAGAAUGGAGAAAUCUAUCAAUUUUCCAUGCGAGACGCACUGAUCAACAACUAAAACAUUGUUUUAGUCGAGUUAGUUGUCUUGUACCGCCUAGGCGCUGCGAAUGGCGAUUUAGGGCGCGUUUUUUUGGACCGUUUUUAAAGCCAUAGAAUCCCUACUUUUACAUAAAAAUGUGGAGGCACCUAUAAAUACAUCCUCCUCAUACUUUUGAAGGCUUCUUGACAUAUUGGAGAGAAAAACAACAAGAAGGGAGAUUCAAAGGAGAAAUUUAAGAAGAUUAAUACCAAGAAUUGAAGAUUGGAAGCACUCAUUGGAAGAGGAAGGAGAUCUUGGUGCAAGAAUUCCACUUUUUCUUCUACACCUUUAUUUCAAACUCGGUGAUGUAUUCUAAGACAAUCUCCUAUGUUUCUUCCAUUAUUAUGAGUAGUUAAAUUUGAUUUUAGGGCGAACAAUGUAAUCUUUUGGAACCCUUUAUUUCAUGCAAUUGAGAUUCUAGUGCUUCUAUAUUUCAUGUGUUGAUUUUAAUGUUGUUCUUAAUACAUUUAAUUACUUGAUCACUAAUUAGAUGAUUUGUGAACAAUGAAUGCGUAGAGAUGCGGAUUAUUUGUUUAGACCACAUGUUAAAAUCCGGUAAAUUGAUAUAAUGUGUAGAGAUACCUAUAUUGAUUGCUGCGGUCGUGUGUGAAUUCUUAGAACCAAUGUUUCAUUUAAUUAAAUUUAAUUUGCAUAGAGAUAUGGAAUUAAACUAAUUAAAUAGGUUCAAUGAAAACUCGAGAGGGGUAAGUUGAAUACAAUAGAAGAAUUUGACCGAACACUACCUUAUGUUUUAUGAAUCUUGAUUUAUGUAGUAAAGGUGACCAAUAGGUGAAAUUGUUCCACCCUAACGUCCAUUUAUUGUUUGAAUUCUCAAUCACUUUUCGUUAAAUCCAAUCUCAUUUUUAAGUCUUUAGAAUAAAAAUCACAUUUAAUCAUUAUUUUUUAUUUAUAUUCGUCAAAUAGUAGUUAAAGAAAGAUUAAAUUAAGUGCUAGAAAAUAGUCCUUGUGGGAUCGAUAACCGGAGUCUUAGGUCCACUAUUACUUGUUACGGGUCGUACACUUGCGAAACAAAAUUAUACAAUAGUUUGGCUCGACAAAUUCUUUUCCCAACUCGGUCUUUGAUAUCAUCGAAGACUCUCUCAACUUAUUAUGAUUUGCUUCAAUUAGAGAACCCCUAUAUGACUAAGAGUCAUUUUGAUUGCUAAAAUGGAAUUUGUGUGGAAAGAAAAUGAAUUGUAGGGAAUUAAAUUACUUAAAACUUGUUUUAUUGCGAAUUCUCAAUUAAUUGUGUUUGAUUAAUAUAAUUUUCCACCUGGAAAAUGUUGAAAUUAAAAUAGUUUUUGGUGUUCGUUUGAUUUUGUUUUUCAUGUAAAUUUCAAUUAAAAUGAUAGAAUUUGUUACGAUUGGAAAUAAAAUUUGUUUUCAUUGCCAAAAAACAAAAAAGAAAAAAAAACCAAGAAAACCAAAAAUCAUUUAUCUUUUGGUAUUCGUUUGGCUUUGUUUUACAUGAAAAUUGUCAAUUAAAAAGAUAUAAUUUUUUACAAUUGUUCCUAGAAUUUGUUCAAUUCCCCAAAGAAAAAAAAAAAUAAAAAAAUGUGGAACCUGGAAAACUAAAAACCACAAGAAGAAAAUCAAUUCCUUAAAAUGGUGGAAAAAGGGGUCACAUGGGGUGUUGCUAAGAAAACCAAAUGCCAAGAAAAAUUGUUCAAUCAAACAAGCAAAAAUGUGGAAAAUAGAUUUUCAUUUCCUACUUCUAUGAAAAAUUUGUACAAUCAAACAGGAACUAAAAGUUCUUCAGGGCCUCGUGAGUACAAUUUCUCCUCACGAAAACUAAGUUAGGUUCACUUGCAGAGAAUGAUGGGGAAAAUGGGGAUAUAUUAAGAAUGAGCCAAUGUAAGAAUGCAAUCCUAUUCUAGAGGUCAUGUGGAUCCCUUAAUAUUUAAUAUUUAUAGAUGUUCGGGCGCACUGGUUUUGAAGAUUUUUUUAUCAUUAAUAACUUUUUGUAUAUUCAUUAUUAUUAACUUAAUAUAUAUAUAUAUACACACACACACAAAAAAUAAAAAAUUUUAAGGAUAGAAAUGUAAACCAAAUUAGGGUAUAUUAGGCCUAUAGCUAAACAUAUAAGAGUAAAAUUGAUAUUCAAAUUAUUAUUAUUACUAUUAUUUUUUAUGGUUUUUGGAACUAUGCCAUCUUAUUAUAUUUGUACAUAAAAUAAUAAUUUACAACAAUUGUCUGUCUUUAAUAACUUUUUAUCUGUAUUAAAUGAUUUCGUUUAAUAGUAUAUAACUGGAAAUCUAUUAUUAACUUAUUAAUGUUUUUAUUUAUUAAUACAUAUGGAAGUUUAAAUGAGGACAGUUGACAAGGAAAAAAAAAUUUAAGGACAAAAUUGUAAACCAAAAUGAGGGUAUAUUGGGCAUAUAAUUAAAUAUAGAAGUUUAAAAGUGGUAUUCAAAAGUUUCUAGUCAAUCUUUCAAUAUUUCAUUUGAAAAUCAACCUGAAAGAUGAGAACCAUAUUUAAUUUAAUAUUAUAAGUUGUAAAAUUAACUUAAUGAAUGAAAAUUAGGAAGAUUAAAAUAGUUGACAAAAAAAUUAAGGACAAAAAAUUAUUAAGCAACUAAGGGCAUAUUGGACUUAACGUGAAUGUAAAAUAUAAAUUUUAGUACCAAGGUGGACAUAAUAAUACAACCUCUCAAUUUUUUCUUGUAAUUCUUUUUGUGAAAUAAUAAUUAUUUUAUAGGAAAUGAGUGUAAUUGGCUAUUGUAAGAUUAAUAACUUAAUGAUGUUAAGGAAAAAAAAAAACUUAAUGGUUUAGGGGAUUAUUGACAAAUUGAAAAGAAAAGUGAUUUUUUAAUUUCAUGUUGAAUAAAUUGAAUUAAUGUUAUUAUUUAAUCAACAACAAAAUUAAAAUUAAAUAAGUGUAUAUUUGAUCAUAUAUCUAAAUAUAUAAAUUGAAUUAAUGUUGUUAAUAAAAAUUAAAGUAAUGUUAAAAAGAUUAAUUUUGGGAAUUAUUGACAAAUGGAAAAAGAAAAGUGAUUUUUAAUUUAAUGUUGAAUAAAUUGAAUUAAUGUUAUUAAUUAAUUAUUAACAAAAUCAAAAUUAAAUAAGUAUAUAUCAGACAUAUAAUUUAAUAUGUAAGGAUAAAAUUGACAGUCAAAAGUUUUUCCUCAAUUCUCAAUUUUAAUGUGUUGUAGAUAGACGUGGAUAGGUCAAUCUAUCUAGUCUUGAAUAGUUUAUAUAUAUAUAUUAUCUCUGCCCUGUACCAACUUAAAAAUAUGAAAAGAUAUCGCCUGGGUGAAGCAGAAGCAUAUCACCUGUACAGUGUUAUGCUUAAACAAUCUUGCCCCACAGUAGGGUUGGUAACAGUUCGGUUAUGGGUCGGUUCGGCCAAAAUCAUAACCGCAUCACCAAUUUUUUGAUCAUACCAUAACCGUACCAUAACCAUAUAAAUCGGUUCGGUUUGGUUCGGUUCGUAUCUUGGUUCGGUACUGUUCGGUUUGGUUAAUAACUACGAAAAUAAAUUAUUUUUUAUAAGUUCAUCCGUCAAAUUGAUAUAAAAUAAUUUAUGAAAAAAGUCAAUGAAAACAAUAACACAAUAUAUUGUAUUCGACCACGCCUCGGAUUUGGCUCAAGUCUAUACUAUAAUCAGCACUGAUUGAAUUUAUCCUCUUUUCGAAAAAAUUUGAAACAAUUUCUGUAUCAAAUCUUGAAAAUGCGUCCCUGGAAUUGGAUAUAAAAUACAAUCAAUUUACAGAUACAACAAAAAUGAUUGAGAUGAAAUUUUUGUUCCAAUAAUCUUGAUUAAGAAGGCCCUCACCUAAGGUCCUAUCUUUUCUUUAAAACUGAAGUCCAAUCUGAUUCAAACUGAAGUCAUGUGGAAAAUUUUCUGGAGGCGACGACGGCUUGGACUGUGGAGGUAGUGGAGCCGUUCGUGAGUUUGUGGUUUGUGGAAAGUAGGGUUUACAGUUAUAUACUGUCAUACUAAUAUUAUUAUUAUGGGAUAAUUGUAAGUGGGCUGGCCGGUUGGAUCAAGUAAAUGUAAUGGAGGAAUUUUGUUUUGGGUUGGAUAGAAAAAUAGUGUAAAGCCCAAUAAUCAAUUCAUUUGUUUUUUUUUUAGCAGGUAAUCGGUUCGGUUUCGAUUCGACGGCGUAAAUAUCAUACCCGCACCACCAUGAACCGGUUCAUUAUAAUCAAAUACCAUAUCCGCUCUAUUGUACCAUGGUUCGAUUUUUUUCGCCCCAUUCGGUUCGGUUAACCGCGAUUUUUGGUUUUGACGGUCUAAAUUGCCAUCCCUACCCCCCACAGGAUUAAUUUGCGCACAUAAUAUUAGGCUAUGAUCUACAAAAAACAUUGUGUUCAUAAAUUGUAGCCCAAAGAAACUCUGCAUUUCUCUUCAAUUAUGAACUUUUUAUUGCAUUCUCUAUUUUAUGUGGAUUCUGGCUUCUAUAUGCAAACCGUUUCGUUCUUCCUCAUUUUUUUUUUUUUUUUUUUUUUUUGGCCGUUCUCACUGGUGUCCUUAUCCUAACAAAUAUUUUGAUCUUAAAUCUUUCUAAACUCUUGUAACUUCUUGAUGGAGAAAAAAUUGUUUUAUGCACCAAAUAAUAAACUGUCACAUAUAUGCUAUACGUAAGACAACUAUCAAUAGUCCUCACUAUAAAUAGCAUAUCUCUUUCCUUAAAUGUAACUAAUCUCAUAAUUGAAUCUAAAUUGUGAAAAUGUUAAAAGUCGUUAGUCAAAUGCUUGUUGAGUAUAUUUAGGUUAUGUUUGAUCCCCAUGUUCUAAAACUCAUUUUCUGUAAAUCAUCUAUUCUGCACAUAUAUCUAUAACUAUUUUCUACUUUUUAAUCACAUAUUCUUAAAAAAAAAAAAAAAUAAUAAUAAUAAACUCUUCUACAAAAUCUAUUAUAAAAACAUCUCCACCAAAAGGGUAUAAUAGUAGUGUCAUGUUUUAUUAUUGAUUCUGCCUUUUUACAUGCUAUCUUCGGAAAGAGAUUAAAAAAAAUUUCAAUUCAUUUUAUAGAUAGCCUGUACAAUUUAAAUAUAAUCCUGACUGAAAUAAAGUUUUCUCUCCCUCAUUGUAAUAUAUAGUAUUCUUAAGUAAUGAUUAAUUUACAUUUUUCAUUAGCUUAAUUAUUGUCCCAAAAUGCAAAACUAGAAAUGGCUUCACUACUGGAAAAAGGAUAUUUUACAACUGACGUUUCAACAACCAAAUCAAUUAGAUUAUUAAAAACUGUUUUCAACUUUUAAAAGAUAAGUUUGGUUGUAGAAAAAUAGAAGGUGAAAAAUCGAAUUUUGAAUUAGUUGAAAAUAUGUUAUAAUGACUAAAAAAUUGGUUGUUAAUCCUAUAUUUUCUCCGACUAAAUUAAAAUUGAUUAUUUAGAGUGGGUGCCAAAUCAAGAAAUAUUUGUUGAUAUUCAAUGACAACGUAAUCAUUUGUUAGAAACACAAAUAAUAUAUUAAAUAUUCAAUGACAUAGUUUCUUGUCAUUAAUAUAAAUAAACUAACAAACUAAUUGUAUCUCAUUGUUGGGAAUAGAGAAAAACUCGACACUCAACAACUAGUAGUUAAUUGUUAUAAAGAGCGAUGUUCAAAGACCAAAUAGUUUUAGUUGUUGAAAGUAGACAACCAUGGAAGGAGCCAUGUGAGGAGCCCGCACUGAAUUUUUAGGCCCAAACAAUUUAUUUUUUAUUUUUUUAUUUUUUAUCCCAUGAUUUUGCUUGAUUUUAGAUAUAUGUUGAUUUGGACUUCACUUGUCAAAAUAUGAAAACUUGCAAGGAACACGUUUAAUUAUAAACUAUGUCAUUUUUAGAUUUUUAUUUAUUUAUUUUUUAUCUUCAUUAAAUUUAUCCCCAAAAUUCAAUGGUCGACGUGUAUUAAAUUAUGCCCGCACUGAACAAAUUUCCUGGCUCCGCCCCAAUGACAACAACCUAGCUAGUUACCAACUCUAAUUUUGUCACCAACAACUCUUUGAAUGCCAACUGAUAUAUUUUUAAUUGUUGAAUAUAUUUGCCAACACCUUUUUGCCAACCAACCAAAGACCAACUAAUUUAGGUCAUUGAAUGUGAUCAAUGAAUAAAAAUGUAUAAUCUACGAUCAUUUAUAUGGUCGUUGAAUGUGAGAUUUUCUAUAUUGUGUCCCUAAACAAAUUUCUUUCAUUUUUUUAGAAACGUGAAAUCACAACCACUUAAGUCCAAAUAAAUUAAAAAAAAAAUCCCGAAAUACUUCAACAAAGCGUACAAGCAAGAAGUAGAAAACCUAGCUUUCACAUAAGACAUGUAUUUACAAGGAUGCCUUCAAUUGAGAUUUUAAUGGAUUUUAUUAAAAUUCAUUAGAAUCUCGAUGUUUCAAACUAAGAUUUUUACUGCAUAAACCUGGAUUUAUAGGCUUUCAUUGAUAAAGGAAUUUCAAAAGAUUUGGAUGAAUUUUCAAGUUAAAAAUACACAUAACAAACAUUUUCGAAUUUCACUAUUUUUAAUAAGAUUCUUAUGAUUCCACGGGGAUAUUAUGUGCAUAAGGUCUCGUGUGCCAAAACAAAAAAGGAAUUUUGAUACAAAUGGCACUAAAUGGUGUAAAAUGACUAUACAUUAUUUAUUUAAAAUUAAAAUGGCAUUCUUACAAUUUACAGUGACAAAAUGACUUGUUCUUUAAUUCCUUAUUUAAAAAGGUCAUUUUUAUGAAUGGGAUUUUUAUGCAGAAAUAGUCAAAAUUGACACUAACAAAAUAAAAAUCAAUAUUAACUCCGUCAAAUAGAGUGAUAAACUGAUAAUACUGUCAAUGGAUCCCUAAAUUUGCUUUUGCUUGGCAUGUUUGACACAAUUGAGGACACUGGAGGCUGCCAAUAGCCGAAGGUUGCAUGACGUUUGAGCUCAAGGGAGAGAAAUGUUAAGUGGUAUAAAGAGUCUCUUUCUCAGUGCUCUUUGUUUUAUCUGUUGGUACUUGGUAGUGCUAAAAUCAUGUCUCAUUUUCCCGAAAUCGUACUUGAAAACAUAUGAAGAAGCAUAAAUAACCUGAAUUAAUUUUCCACACUGUUGGGUGGAAAUGAAUAUAAGCAAAGAGCAAGGUCGAGGUGGAAUUAAAUGCAAAUUAAAGGCUCGUAGAGGUUUGACCAUCAUAUAUUAAACUCUAGUCCUAGUGAGAUAGCAUAGAUGCAUAUUGACAAGUCCACUUACCUUCGUUUUAUUUAAAAUUUGACGUAACAACAAAAACUGUUUAAAUAUAAUUCACCCUUUUAAAUACUUAAAUAGAACAUUUGACCCUUGAUUGACUUUGAUCAAUGCAAUGUUAGUUCUUGUGACUCUCAUCCGUACCAAUUUACUCUGUUCAUGAGUUAUAAGACAUAUGUGUGGAAAAAUUUCAUCAAAGGCUCCUCACCUUUACAGUUUGUGCAAAAUGAUCCCCCAACUUUUAUAUUUUGAGACUUACAUCCUUAACUAUUUACAAUUGGAGCAGGCAUAAUCUUUUUGAACAGAUUCUGUGCAAUUUGUUAUUAAAAAGAUUAAAAUAUGAAGUUUGGGUUGGAAAUGGUUUUAAAUUAGCGAAAUGGUCAACUUUGUUAGGUUUAAUGUAAUUGGGAUUCUGUGAAUGAAAAGAACUAAAUUGAACAUGUGUAAAAGUCAAGGGGUUAAGUGCAAUUUUUUAUAGAUGAGAUAGGUAGGUGAGGGUUGGAGGGAGUAAGGAAGGAAGAGUCGUGCAAUUUCACUCGCCUCUCGCCAAAACAUUGCUCGAGUGACAAAAAUAGAAUGUCCGUUGCUCGCCUGUCACCCGGACUUCGCACAAGUGACAAACCCUUCACUUGCUUGUCACUAUCCCUUCGCUCGAGCGACAAAGGUAUGUGGGAAUAUCAGAUUCGCGUUUUUGGAGAGAGUCCAUACUACCUAAAUACCUCCUACUAUAAAUACCCAAGCCUUGCACGAUUUUCAGUGUAGCUGUUCAUUGUGCCUCUCAUUGAUAAUAUAUUUAUAUUGUGUCAUAAAGAUCCAAAAACAUAUUCAACCCUUGACUCAAUCCAUUCUUUCUUAAGAUCAUACAACCAAAAAUUGGGAAAUGUACUUUCUUAAUUGUAGCUUCAAAGACUACUGAAGAUUGAGGAAGGUUGGAUUAUAAGUGCAAGAAGAAGAACGAGAAUUGGUGAUUCUUGGAUAUCUACUUGGAAGAGACAACUAGAAGAUUGGGAAGCCGGUGGAGUCAGCAGAUCUUGAAAAUUAUAGGAAGUAGAUUCAGAAGUUUAGUGGAAUUAGCUAGGCAACAUCUACUAUAAGGUUCAUUAUCUAUAGUGGAGGUAACUGGUUUAUCUCAAAAUUUUUACUCAGUUGGGUUUCUCCGUCAACAAUCAUUGUGUUCUUUACUGCAUUCCUAUUACAAACUACAAUAUUCAAACAUAGGGAAAUUGACCUGUAUGCUUAAUCAUUUAGAAACUAUUAAAAAGUAAUUUGUUGCUUUUACUAGAAUAAUUUUGUAUGUAAGGUCAAACUAAAUCGGCUAAAGAAGAACUCUCAAACUUUGUGCUUAAAUUUCAAUAGGAUCCAUACUUUGAUUUCAAUGGAACGUUCUGCUCCACGAGAUGAUUAAAGUAAUAUCUUUACUCAUCGAAAGCCAUUUAGAAUUGAAUAAAAUAUUUGAUUGGAAAUCACUACACUUAUCCCACAUAGGAAAGUAAGGAAACUUUGAUAUGGUUUAUAUAAUGGAGUUUGGCAAUUGAGUUUAGGCCCUAAAGAGUACUAAUAAUCUUUGAAAGAAAGGAGAGACUGGUUGAUCUGUACGACACAUGCCCAAGUCCAAUCCAGUUCGUGUAUAGGUGCGGAUAGGUACUUGUCCUGUAUAUCUUUUUGGACAAACUUUAUUUAAAUUUUUGGACCAAAUUGUACUUAAUCAAAUUCUUGGGUACUUAAUGAAAUUAUUAUUCCCUACCCUUGGCUUUUUUGGGUUUUUUUUUUGGGUCAUCUGUUAAUCGACUUAACGACGUUUGGGCUGUCUGUUAACCACUUAGCAUAAGAAGUAUUUUAAUCUGAACAUAAUUGUCUAUUUGGAUUUUGGAAGGCUAUCUGAAUAGUGACGACUGUUCUAAAAAAUCUUGAAGGUUGUUCGGUUUCAAAGGAUCUAUAAAGAGCCUGUCCUGUCGCUAGAAAAUUCAUACUAAUUUCAUUGCUAGUAUUCUCUGAUUCAACGGUAAGCCCUUUUCUGCCUUAUGUUUUAUUCCAUUUGAUGGUGUACAUAUAUAGGAAAAAUAUGUGUCCUAUUUAGGCUAUACACAAUUGGUGCCAAGAAUCAUGGUUGACCCGUUGAUAAUGGGGAUGUACAUUGAUUGGUUGUAUUUCCUAUUUUGGUUUCUAACAGCUCAAACUAGCACUCUCCCUCAAGUUGAUACAUAUAGAUCUUUGAUGUUCAACUUGUCGAGAGAGUUGUGGAACUCUUUACUUGAUACUCCCUUUGUGAGUAUGUUUGUUAGUUGCUCUUUGGACUUCACAAAUGGGAGUCUAAUUAUCUUUGUAUCUAGGUUUUCCUUGACAAUAUGUCAAUCCGCUUACACAUGUUUUGUUAAAUCAUGUUGGAUUGGGUUGUACGCUAUGGUAAUAGUGGCUUUGUAGUCACAAAAUAGAUCAAUCUUGGAUGUAGGGCCAAAGCUAAUUUCUAUAAGCAACCUCUUAAUCCAAACAAGUUCACAAAGUCCUUUUGCUAUUCCAAAAAAUUCAGCUUUGAUGCUUGACAGUACCGCCACUUUUUGUUUCUUACUUCUCAAUAUAACAUGAUUCUCGCCAACAAAAGUAAAAUAACCUGAGGAGGAUUUUUUGUUUGAUAAGUUUCCAGCCUAGUCUGCAUUUAUAUAGCCUUUUACUUGUAAUUGACUUCUCUGUUUUGCAUUUGUAUUCUUUGCGAACAUGAAUCCUUUUCUUGGUAAGGAUUUUAGGUAUUGGAGUAUUCGAGUUAUAGCUCUCAUGUGAUCUUCACUCAAACUGUGCAUGAAUUGACUAACCACACUUAUAGUAUAUGCAAUAUCUGGACGAGUAUGAGAGAGGUAAAUUAGCUUACCAACUAACCUUUGGAACUUCCCUCUAUCCGUUGGAACUUGGUAUGGAUGUUAGUAAGUUGAUGGUAUUGUGCGAUUGGAGUGUCCACCGAUUUGCAUUCCAACAUUCCUACCUCAGAUAAUAGGUCCAACACAUACUUUCUUUGGGAGAGAAAUAUACCUUGUUUCGACCUGGCCACUUCAAUUCCCAAAAAAUAUUUGAGCCCUCCUAAGUUCUUCAUUUCGAACUCAGUUCCCAAUUGUUUCUAAAGUCGAGAUAUUUCUUCUAAAGUCCAGAUAUUUCUUCUUCAUCAUCCCCUGUGAUAAUCAUAUCAUCUACAUAAACUAUUAGUGCAGUUACCUUGACUGAUUUGUACUUUAGAAACAAUGUAUGAUUUGAGUUACUCUGUUUAAAUCCAUAUUUCUUCAUUACCAAAUUGAACCUCCCAAACCACACUCGAGGUGAUUGGUUCAGUCCAUAUAGUGCUCGUUGCAGCUUGCACACCACUUUGGUGCCUGAAGAUGUUGUGUAACCUGGGGAGAGGUCCAUGUAUACUUCUUCUUCGAGGUCACCGUAGAGAAAGGCAUUCUUAACAUCCAGCUAAUGUAAUUGUUAGUUGAGAUUAGCUGCAAGAGAUAAGAAUAUCUUGAUGAUAUUCAAUUUAGCAAUUUGUGAAAAAAAUUCGUGGUAGUCUACCCCACAUAUGAUGUGAUAUGGGUUUCACCAAAACAAACCAAAGCAUUGGAGUUUGAUUGGAAGAAACCUAAACCAAGUUCGCGUCUUCGGGAAGCUAAUACGGGUGGUACAAUUGAUGGAUCAAGGCAUGGAGCAUACUAUGUUGAAGUUCAUGAGCUAAGUGACAACUUUCAUGUUGGGGUCGAAGUCCGAAAGCCUAUGAAACAACGUGAUUCAAUCAGCCGAAGAAGGGACUAAACCAUAACUCCAAGCGACCGCAUCGUGUCGCAGGCAUGCGGUCGCACAGGUGGCUAUUGAAACUCGAGAGGCGGCAAUAUCUUCAACCAUGCAUUCUACCAUGUGGUCGCAUGGGCAAAACUGAAGAGGGGAAUUUCCAAUUUUUGCGAGAAUUUUAAUUUGAUUCAAUUUCUUAUUUUUGGCAAGUUUCAUUAUUUUAGGAUUUUAAAAUUUUGUGGUUUCCUUGUUUCUUAGGGUAGUAUAAAUUAUUUUCUAUCUUUCAUUAUUGAACAGACUUUGAUUUGAGAAUUAAUUCAGAGAGGCGAUUUGCUCCCAAACCUUUAUUCUUCGGGACUUUGAACUUACCAAGGGAUCUGGUUGGGAUUUCUUGUGGCAUUCGGAACCUUGGGUGAGGUUCUUAAAUUGUGUAAUUAUGAGGUCUUCGAUUUAAUAUAUCGUUGGUUGCCUAAUUCAUCAUUUAAGAAUUAAAUUCGUAAACUUCGAAUCAAAUUGGCAUUCUUGGGAUUGGUGUUACUCUCGUGUGGGUUCGAUAGUGUUCAUUGCUAUCCGGGUUUGGUGUUACUCUUCUUGUGUUUGAUGGAGAGUACCCAUUUGCAUCCACUUUUUUCUUUCCAUCAGGUAACGUUACUAGGGUCUAUGUGUUAUUCUGUAGUAAUGCUUCCAUCUCAUCUUUUAUUGCCCAAGUCUAAUUUGAGUUUGACAAAGCUUUUGCAACAAUCAUUGGAAUGUGACUCGAGGAGAGUACAUGCAUAAAGGCCUUUAGGGGUUCUGAUAAUCUCCUGGUGGACACAUAAUUAGCGAUCGGAUACUUCGAUCUUCGUUCAUCAAUUUCUGAAGAAUACUUGUUUGGUGGCAUGCCACGAUUUUGCCUGAAAGGUAAUGUGUAUCGAGUAAUAUUAUCCCAGUCAUUUAUAUUUGAAGGUGUGUUACAAGUGCUUACCACACGGAUAUUCUCAGGAGAUGAGACUGUAGGUAUUGAUAGAGAGGGUGAAUUUGGUUCAACACCUUCGGGAUGAGCCUUUAGACUCGUCAAUUGGCUCUUUAGAGUUGUUAAUCUGUAGUGAAUUUUGCUCUAGUUUUAUUUCAGUGUUCAACCAAUCAAAGUAUACCCAAUUUUUCUCUUCAUUGUUUGUCUCUCCUAAGAAGGAGAAUUGGUAGCAAGCAGGAAGAAAGUAUCAGUUUCCACAAAUGUGAUGUCCAUAGUCACAUAAGUGCAAUUGGUAGAGGGAUCAUAGCAUCGAUAACCCUUCUUAUGUAUACCAUAGCCUAAGAAGAGACAACGGACAGGGAUCAAGUUUCGUUCAUUGACUUUUAUGGAUAUGGACAUAGGCCACGCAACCAAAUACUCGAUGAUGGGACAUUAAUAUAGUGGGUAUGGUUACGUGAUAUGCCAGGACUUGUAAUGGAGUUUUAAAAUUUAGGACUUUGGAGGGCAUCCGAUUAAGUAAAUGUACCGCAAUGGACACUGCGUUAGGCCAGUAGCUAUUUAGGAAUGUGCUCCAUAGAGUAAGGCACGAGUAGUCUGAAGAAUAUGUCGAUUUUUUCGCUCAGCAAUGUCAUUUUGUUAAAGAGUACAGGGGCACGUUGUCUCAUGAAUUAGACCAUGGUGUUCAAAGUAGGUGCGGAGGCGUUGAUUAUCAUAUUCACCACCAUUGUCUGAGAACUGAGUCUGAAUCAUGGCAUGGAAUGGCUGGAACACUUGUAGUACUUUAUCCUUGUGCUUCAUCAAGUAUAGCUAGGUCAUGCAAGUACAAUCAUCGACAAAGAUGACAAACCAUCGAACAUAGAUCCAACUGAGAUAGGUGAUGGACCACACACAUCAAAAUGAAUUAAAGCAAAUGAAAUACUCCUUUUAUUCAUACUUUGUAGAUAAGAAGCACAGUAACUUUUGGCCAAAAUUCAAGUAUUACAUUUGAAGUCAGUAAUCACCACAUUUGAAAAAAGACUAUGUAAUAAAUGUUUCAAAUAGCUAAAUGAAGGAUGUCCCAAGCGACGAUGCCAAAGCCAAAUCUGUCAUUCUUUUUCAUUACUCCAUAUGUGAUGUGCACGUCCAAAACUGAAAUAAUCCAUGUAGUAUAUUCCCCCUCUUUUAGUACUACGCCCAAGUAUCUCCUUCGUGAAAAUAUUUUGAAUAAGACAAAAUGUAGGUUAAAUGAGUACCACACAAUUUAGUUUAGCAGUGACUUGACUAAUAGGCGGUGACUUAUGUUAAAGUGAUGGCACAAGUAAUGUAUGAGAUAAAUGUAAUGACGGAGACAAAGACACAAAGCCGGCUCCUGUAUCUGGGAAAUGACCCCAUUGGCAUUUGCAACACUGGAGUGUCAAGGUAUGGAAUUUUGAGUAAAAUUUUUCACAUCAUAUGUUGUGUGGUCAGUGACUCCAUAGCCAAGUAUCCAAGCACCUCGAUUCUAAGCCCUAGAGGUGGUUGUUAACGUGGAACCAAAAGUACCUAUAGCUAAUGUAGGACCUGCACUUUGAAAACACUCAAUUUUGGGUAAUAGAGACAAUUCUAGUUUAGCGGUCACCACAACCAUCUUGCCUUUACAUCCAUCAGUGCCUCCUACAUCCCUUUUCUUUUUUUUCCUAUAAUUCGUGCCACCAGUCUGGAUACCUACCUAUUAAGUUCAAAACAAUUGUCACGUGUGUGCCUUAUAUUCCCACAGUGUGAGCAUUUAGUCCUUUCAGACUUAAUUUUCCAUUGUUAGUUUCGUGUGUCCUGUUGAGGCCCAUAGACAACGAACCAUCAGAAGAGGCAGUAAUCGGAUCCAACUUAAUUCCUAUGGUGGCUAGAACUGUAAUAGAGGUACCGGAGGUGUUGAUGGGAGCCAUGAUCUCCUGCUUAAGCUCCUUCCUAAGAACAUGGGUGUAGGCUUGUUCUAUGGAAGGAAUGGCUUCAUCCGCAACACGCUGCUACGAAUGCUAUCCAGGUGGUUGUCGAGUCCAUCCAAGAAAGUGUAAACUCGAUCUUCUUGGACCAUCUUGUUAUAGUGUUGAAUAUCGAUGGUGCAUUCCAGUGGAUUAGGGCAGCGAAAGUCAAUCUCACGACACAACCCUUGCAAAUUCGUUUAGUAUUUUUCCAACGAGCCACCCGAUCGUCUCAGUCGAGUAACUCGUCGUCGGAGUUCAUAAACCUGAGAAGCAUCACUUCUGUCAAAAUAGGUCGUGGCAAUGACAUCCCAAACCUGUCUCGCUAUGGGGAAUCAAAUAAAGUUUCCAAUACGGGUUAGGUCCAUGGAGUUAAUUAACCAACUCUUGAUAAUGGCAUUGUAAGUUCACCACUUUCGAAAACUGGGAUUAGUUUUUAGAAGCGAUGAAGAAUCACCUUUCACGUAGCCAAUCUUGUCUUUUCCGGAGAUGUACAUCUACAUAAUUUGGGACCAAAAGGUAUAGUUCGAACUAUCUAGUUUGAUGCCAAUUGAGAUUGAAUUUUCAGUGUUUGGGUUUGGAUGUUCAAAGUAUUCUAUCCUAAAGAAACUAUUGUUAAACUCCUUUAGCACAUUGAAGGGAGCAAAAUCGUCAUAAGGAAAUAUCGUGAAGUCGGUGAGCUCAAAUUAACUUUCAGAUCUUGUUGAUUAUCUUGUGACGCCGUUCAAAUUUGAUUGAGGUAAAUCUAUAAGUAUAUUAUCUCCAGAUUGUUUGAAGGAGGAAUUAAUACAAAUGGAGGAAUAAAAAUAUUCUCUUUAGAGGAUCGAGUUAAAUUUUUUUUUUCUUUAUAUGUUAAUAUCUAUUAAGUAACUGGAUUACCAUCAAUUUUUAUGCUUAUACAAAAACGAGCAUGCAAUAAUAAAAAAAUAUCCAAUACUAUAUUAAUUAUUUUUUAGAACACAUAAUACUAAUUUUUAUUAAUACUUAAAAAUUUUAUUUUAUUGGAAAGUGUGUGAUUAAGAUGCAAAACUUGUAUUUAGUGAGGUGGAUACAAAUAUGAGAAGGGUAAAUAACUCAUAAUUAUUAGGAGUAAGUCAUAAGGUUUCUAAGAUUGAUGGGUAAUUUCUUUCAUCUUCGACUCUUUCCUUCCUAAUUAUUGAUCACAUUUAAGCAAUUUUUUCUUUUCAAUUUAUUUUUCUUUGUAUUUAAAUAAUUAUACUAUCUAUUAUAUUAAUUUAAACGUGCAAUUCAUAAUCUUUGAAUAAAAAUACUGACAAUGUUGUACUAUAUUAUUGUAUUGACUCGUAAAAACGUUGGUCAGCCUGGAAUUGCCCCAUAAAUGGCAUUGAUCAACCGUUGACUGGUGAUACCGUUGGUGGAUAGGUUGUCCCAUCAAUUGAUUUAGCACAACCUCCACUAAAAGAAUAAUAGUGUAAGUAUUACUUUGUUCAAAAUGUCCUUUGCUAGAAGUUGGUUUAGCAAGUCAAAUGGUUCUAGAUCUAGAACUAAUAAUUUCAAUAGUAACUUUCAAGAUAAUGAAGAAAUAGACAAUAAUCAAGAGAUGCUAGAAAUUUUAAACAAUCAAGAAACUCAUAUUGCUCAAAUAGAACAAAGACUUCAUAAUUGAACUAUUCCUAAAAUAAAAAAGAAAACUAUCAAUGAAAUAGGAAGCUUUGAUUUUCAUUAAAAUUAUGCUAUCAAGACUUGUGAAAGAACUUUACCAAUUGCAAAACAAAGUGCUGAAAUAAAGCUACUCUCAAGUGAAGGAAUCAGAAACCAUAGAAAAAAAGUAUAAAUUUCUUCAUAUUGGUAUAGUCCGAAUUGUUGUCAAACCUUUAUUUAGACUAGGCCUAUAUAUACCCAUUCUCUUAAUUUUAAGAGACUAGUCGCUAUUACGUACGUUGUACGAAUUUUGUAUUUAUCGUAUUUUUAUUAGCGUAUGAAUUUUAGUUUUUUUGGAAAGUUUUUGAAGUAAUAUCUAAAAAUAUUUCCAUGAUAUAAGAAAAUAAUUGUAAAUUAUUUUUAUAAUGGCAUAGCAGUAUGUUAUCUAGAAAAAAUAUGCUUGUAUAUUUCAUACUUGAAUAAGAAAUAUACAAACUAUUUUGCUUGUAUUCUUUGAUAGUGUUGAUAUGAUUGAAUUGAAUGUGAAGAUUAUAUUUCUAAAUUUUGUGUAAUUCAAUAUUGUAAAAUUGAAAAACAAGCUCUCCUCACAGUGCGGAGAGAGUUGAACCAAGUGCGGAGUAAAAAUAAAAAAUAAAAAAAGGCGCGGAGAGAAAAAAUUCUUUUCGCACAGUGUGGAGAGAGUUGAACCAUGUGCAGAGAAUUGGCAAACUCUUCGCACAGUGCAGUCUCCGCAAAGUACGGAGAGAUGACAAAUCAACUCUCCGCAUAGUACGGAGAGCAAAAAAAAAACUCUCUGCACUGUGCGGAGAGAGUUAAUCUCUUCGCAUAGUGCGAAGAGUUGGUCCGCACUAUGGUAAAACUCGCCGCACAGUGCGGAGAGAAAAAAACUCUUCGCACAGUACGUAGAGAGUUGAACCAUGUGCGGAGUAAAAAAAAGUGCAGAGAGAAAAAAACAUUUUUGCACAGUGCGAAGAGAGUUGAACCAUGUGUGGAGAGUUGGCAAACUUUUCGCAUAGUGCGGAGUUAAAAAAAAACUCUCCACAUAGUAUAGAGAGUAAAAAACUCUCCGCAUAGUGCGGAAAGUUGUUUUCAAAUUCCUUAAUUACAAUUUAAAUUUCAAGAUUGUAAAUUUUUCGUACAUACAACGAAACAGAGUCGAAAAACAUGGCUCAAAAUCAAUUAUGUCUUCUUUAAAUUCCAGUCACUGCUCAAUUUCUGAGCAUGCAAAUCAUAUUUACAGUAUUGGAAAGGAGUUUUCUCAUGAUUCAUACAAUGAAACAAUAUGUGAGUAAUGCAAAGAAGGAGAUAUUGAUAGUACCAUGUCAUUGCUUUCACAAAUGGAAGCUCUAGGGUACCACCCAAAUUCAAUAUUUUACACUUACUUGAUAACAACUCUUAGAUAUCGGAAGUGGAUACAAUUUUCAAUAAAAUUAUACUUUCGGGUUGUAGGGCAGGAAUUAAAGUGUUCAAUGCAUUGUUCAAAAGUUGUUUGAGAAAAUGCCUCUUGGAACUUGCAGAUAAAGUCUCGAGAAUUUUUAUUUUUCUCUUCACACUGUGCGGAGCGAUAGUUUGCUCUCUCCGCACUUUGCGGAGUUUUUUUUUUCUCAUGUGCGGAGAUUUUUUUUUUGUCUCAUGGAGUUUAUAAAUACUAAAAUUAUUAUUAUUUUUCAUGUUGUUGGCAUGAUGCGUGUGUGUAAGAAUAUUUGUCAAUCACCAUAAACAAAAUUCUUCACAAAAUGUAAAAAAUAAAAAUGCAUAAUAAAUCUUCUUAUUACGCAAAAUCGAGUAAAAUCUACAAUAAUUUUUUUUAACAUAAAAAAAUCAUUUUUAUCUUCAACAAAGAAACACAUUUAAAAAUUAGCAAUUUCGUAACUUUUUUUUUAUUCUUGGAAAUAUAAUUAUAAAAAAGGAAAUAAUAUUGAAUUACAACAUUUAAUACUUAAAAAAUUCAAUAUUAAAUAAAUUUUGUACAUUUAUAACAAAUUAUAAAUUUAUAUAUGCAGUUUACCGUAUUUGCAGGCAACUUACCGUAUAUAAAACUUACCAUAUAUGCUGCCUAUCGUAUUUGUAGUUUACCGUAUUUGCAAAUAACUUACCGUAUAUGCUGCUUACCAUAUUCGCAACUUAUCGUAUUUGUAACCUACCGUAUUUGCAAACUUACCGUAUUUUCACCUUACUGUAUUUGCAGCUUACCGUAUAUGCUGCCUAUCGUAUUUGUAGCUUACUAUAUUUUUAUAUACCGAUUUUUGCACUUAAAAAUAUCGAGAAUGCAGAGCACCGUACAUUCACUUACCAAAUCGAAUUUCAAAAAAAUUUCCAAAAUUUUAUUUUUUCAAGAUAAGCAUAAAUAAAUAUUAAAUAUAUAUGAAACACAAAAUAUAAAUGCAUAUGGAUGUAGUGCUCAAUCUUCAAUUUUUCAAUAUUGAAUUACACAAAAUUUAGAAAUAUAAACUUCAUAUUCAACUCAAUCAUAUCAACACUAUCAAAAAAUACAAGCAAAAUAAUUUGUAUAAUCUCGUAAAUUUUUUAUUCAAGUAUGAAAUAUAUAAGUAUAUUUUUUUUAGAUGACACAAUACUGUUAUGCAAUUGUAAAAAUAAUUUGCAAUUAUUUUCUUAUAUCAUGGAAAUAUUUAUAGAUAUUGCUUCAAAAACUUUCCAAAAAAUUAAAAUUCAUACACUAAUAAAAAUACGAUAAAUGCGAAAUUCGUGCAACGCACGUGACAAUCACUGUGAGGAGAAUUUUUUUUUUUAAUCUUCGCACUGUGCGGAGAGUUGGCGAAGUUUUUUCUAUUUUUUCUUUUUUUACUCCGCACUGGACGGAGAGUUCGCACAGAAUGUCAUAUCUUCGCACAGUGCGGAGAGUUUUGUCAUCUCUUCGCACUGUACGAAGAGAUUUUCUUUUUUCAUGUUUACUUCACACUGUACGGAGAGUUUGCCAACUCUCCGCACAUGGUUUGUCAUCUCUCCGCGCUAUGCAGAGAGUAAUUUUCUUCCUUUUUUAUUUCGCACAUGGUUUGCCAUUUCUUCGCACUGUGCGGAAAGUUUUUUUUUUUUUUUUUUUUUUAUGCUCAUGUGUGAAGAUUUUUUUUUUAGGGCAGUUUAUAUUUACUAAAAUUUUUAUUACUUUUUAAUGCUAGUGGCAUGAUGUGUGGAAGAACAUUUGUUUGGCAUAAUUAUUUUUUUAAUGCUAGUGGGAUGAUGUGUGGAAGAACAUUUUUUUGAUAUAAACAAAAUAAAAAAUAAAAAAUGACAUCAUGCAUAGUAAAAUUGGAUUCAUUUACUAUUACAUGAAUAGUAGACACUCAUUCCCCUUUUUAUUAGAAGUUAGAUAAGAAAUAUCUCAAAUUUGAGAAUUCCCAACUUUCUGUUUUACAGUCAAACUUAGAAAGUGGUCCAGUAUUCUCAAACUGUUGUCCAUAUUAUACUAUUCAUCUGAAUGAUGCUAUAUUAAAUUUUCUCACUCUUCAUAUAGAAAGAAAAUUCUCAAUUUUGAUGAACGUUCGAAAUCAUUUGUUGUGAUAUAUAGAAUAUAUUAUAAAGUAUUGAGCACAAUUAUUCCAAAAAGAAUUCGUUGAAAUAGACUUUCAAGACCUUUAGAAUGGGAUUUUGAGAAGGUCAAUGUUCCAAAAACAGAAAAAACAAAAAGAUAACCCUCAUCAAAUAAUAAAUUAUCCUAAUGGAAAAGUUAAGAUGAUAUUUGAUUAUAUUCCUUCUAGUUCAAAAUAAUAUACUUCUUUUAGAAAUAAUCCUAUCUCUAAAAGAUUUCAUCAACCCUCAAGGCAUUCAACUUCUUCAGAAAAAAUUAAAAGGAGUUGAUUUCAACCCAAAUAUUCCUAAAACUCAAUACGAAGAUGAGCUUGAUUCACAAAGGGCAGAAUCUCCUACUCCUUCUAACAUGCAGCCCCCUCCAUCUGAAAGAUUAGGAGAACAAUUAACUUUCAUUUCUUCCUCUAUAGAUCGAAGAAUAGACUUCAAAACCGAUAAAACACCUCAAAUUAAAGACUUUAGAAAAAAAAUCUGAAAAAGAUGUUUUCUAAGGAAGAAUUAGAAUCAUUUUGGGAAGAAUUGUAUUCUUAUCCAGAAGAUUUAAGGUUUUCCAAUAGGCUGAAAUAAGAGUUUUUGGAAGAGGAAAAGAAAAAUCUGUUAAUAUGACUCAUACCAACAAAGAAAUGGAAAAUCACAAGUGGAGAUACCGUUCAAUCGGAGCAAUCCUCCAAUGAAAGAAAUUGUUUUUUCUCAUGGGAAAAAUGAGGUAAUUGCUUUUCCUGUUAAACAGGUUAUCGAUAGACCAGAAAAUUUUGGUUCCACUAAAAAAAAAAAAAAAAAAAAAUUCUAGCUCAAAAUAAUUAUACAAAUAUCCUGUAACACUCAAUGACAAAUCAAUUAUCUUGAAUUGAAACUGAUUGUUUGAUUAUCCCGCAAGUGAACGAAAUCGUGAGCAAGUAAUAUAGUAGGGUGUAGGGUGUCGAACUCACGAGAACAAUGCAUUUGAUCAAGUUUUCGCUAACACUGCCCUUUAUCGAACAGAAGAAUCGAGUGGUAACUAAAAACUAUUAAAUCUAUCAAUUAACUUAAAAGCAACGUAAAGAAAACUUACCAAAUUCCCAAGAAAUAUUGUUAAGAUGUAGAAUCUACCUUAUUAAUCCAUUUUUAGUUCGACAAUUUAAAUUGACAAUAUGAAAUCGUGCUUGUUGGUCAAUGUUCCUAUUUUAUUUGAAAACAUCUCUCGAUAGUUAUCAAAUAUAUUCCCCUCAUAUGACAUAUCUAUCUCUCGAUGAAAUAUGGGAAUAUGAUAAAUGUAUUAAACGAGUUAGAACAUCUUAUAACAACCAUAUGAAGCAUAGAUGUAUAUCUCUAUUCUCUAUCGAAUUUCACAAUAUUUAUUGUUUUGUGCUAAUGAUCCUAUUGUCUCGCUCAAUAACAACAAAAUCCAUAAACAAUUCAAUCAAUGGCCAAUUAAUUGAAAAGUAUGAAAACAAUAAUAAACAUCCAAACACUCAAACAAAUUUAACGUCAAUUUAAUUAUUUAAACUAAAAGUUGAUAACAAGAGUUCAUCACAUCCUAGCAUAAAGAAAUUAGCCGCGCAUGAUGUUGAAAUUAAACAAAGAAAGGAUAAAAGAUUUCACCAAAAAUAGACGGAACGUGAUUAAUAUCCAAAUUUCUUGUACAAUUUGUUAAUGAAUUAUCGCACAAGGAAAUCUGACAUUAUUUCUUCUACUGCCGUCCAUGCAUGUGUGCCGUCUAUCUCCAGUAUACGUGUCGGCUUCCCACUUUUUAAUUUCCAACAGCCAUAUGUGAAUGUUUUAAUUCCAAAUUCAGCUGCCACUUCCUCCAGAGCUGCCACCAAUUUGUGUUUAUAAGGUAUAUCAAAGAGCCCCUUUUUUUUUUCCCUGCAGCAAUGUUUAUUUUUUUCUCCCUUUCUCUCUCUGUUUGCGUAUAAUCUCCCUCAAAUUUUUCUUCAACAACUGCCUGUGUAUUCCUUCCAAAAAUCCCAACCGGCUGUCCCUUUUUCUCUUCCAAACUAUUACCGUUUUUCUGUGGCUUUUUCUCCCAGCCAACUCUUCGUUCUGCCGUCUAAUGUGUAUGUGUAUAUAUGUGGCAAAUAGGCUUUUUUUCUUCUCUCCCACAGCCGCCGUUUUUUACUCCAAUUUUUAUGAUAUUUCAAUUGCUCCACAUUCUUCUUUUCAACCGGCUGUAGCGUAUAUAAUGGCCAAAUAAUUAAUUUGGUUUCAUUCCAAUUCAAACUCCUAAUUUGAGGCCCAUCAAUAAAUUACUUUUCUCCAAGUCCUCAACUUUUAAAGAAUGCAAGUUAGUCCUUGAUACAAAUAUAUUUGUGCAACCAAUGCCCUCCUCAAAUUCAAACUUGUGGAAUUUAAUCCCAAAUCGUAGAUUUUACUCGAUUUUGCCCUUCUUCCUUUCCAAUCGCUUCAAACGGGUUCGUCGCUAAAAACACAAAGAAAAUUAACAUAAGUAAAAUAGAAAUUAAUAAUUUGACAACUUAAAAGUUUAAUAAUGUGGCCUAAAUAGGUGCACAAAUUGUACUUAUCAAACACCACCAAACUUAAGCAUUUCUUUGUCAUCAAACAAAACUAUAACCUAAAUAGUAACAAAUACACAAGCAUGCAGAAAUAUUUGGUUUGUGUUGAAGAUAUGGAGAAUAUUGUCAAGAUAUUGGAAUAUAUUUUUCCAUUAUUUAAUAUUAUUUCCCAUUUAUGUUAUUUCCUUUUGUUGUCAUUCAUAACCCUAUAAAUAGGGAUCUUUAUAUUGUAAUAUUUACAAGACCAUCAAUAAUAAAAUUCCUAUUAUUAUUCUUAACAUGGUAUCAGAGCGGGUUUGACUUGGUCUUGGAUUAAACUUAUAAGCUUCCGUUCUCCGGUGAGCAGCCUCAUGCCGCUCGUCCGGUCAUAAUUUUUUCCGACCAGUUUUUUACAUAGAAAAGAGUAUUUUUUUUCUCCCUCCAACCAGUUCUUUUGAUUCACACAUAUUCCUAUCUUUUCUUGUUUAUUGAUUCCUCAUCCUAUAAUAUUUCUUCUCUUGCCUCCCCAGCUAUAGGAAGUCUACUCAUUAAAAAAAAGGGACACCGAGUUUUCUAAGGUUUUUUUUUUGUUGGUGAUUUCCUUCAGCGAAUUCAACCUGCGGUUGCAUCGAUUUCAAUUGAAGUGGGCGAUUUUGGUCCAAAUGAAGUUUUGGAGUGGAGGCGGUUUCGGUUGAUUUGGUGAUGAUGUGGAUUGUAUUUGGGUUGCCUUAGUAAAUUCUUUGGAUUGCUUUCUUUAUUGCUUUUAGAGGACUCCACGUCUUUGUUCUUGUUAUCUAAUUUGUAAUAUCACUGCUCCUGAAGUAAACAUCAUCGCUGCCUACUCCGAAGGAACGUCCCCUGCAGUCUACAGAGAAUGCUUUUGGGUAUUUAUCAACUGUAAGCAAAUCUUUCCAUGUUCUCUACAAGCACAAACCUCUCUGGAGGAAUCUUGUUUUGGAACCUUACAAAGGUGGUUCUCGUAUAAUGGGCCUUGAUCUAAGCCCCGCUGCCAGCAAUAUGCACCCGCAAAAACUUCCCCAAUGGAGUAUCCCCCUCUGUAGAUUUUAAGAUCAGAAAAUCCUAGGGAUUUCAUGGGGCCAUGAAGAAACAGUGGGUUUUUCUUGGUUGUAGGCCAAAGAUUGGACUUGAGUUAAAUAUGGGUUUGUUUGUUCUUGUUGGGCCAUAUGGUGUUCUGGACCGAUUGGAUGGGUUACAAAGUGAGUUUGGGCUGCAGUAUUUUUCCUGGGCCGUUGAAAUUAAUUUUAGAUUUGGGCUACUUUCUUGAAUUUUUAUUAGUCCAUACCCAAAUGAGUCCGUUCUCUUUUUAAAUUUUUUAAAAUUGUUUAAAAAAAAUUGUUGUUUCCCCUUUUUCUUGGGAAUUUAAUUUAAACAAAAUUUUUGGAGGAUCGGUACCUUGAAUUUUAUCUUCUCCUCCUGUGCCCCUUAAACAAACUAGGGGUUUUCUGUCUCUUAAACAAAGUAGAGGUUUUAAAAAAAAAAGUUGGAGGGUCGGUACCCUGAAUUUUACCGGCUCUCCCAUUCCCCUUAAACAAACUAGGGGUUUUCUACCUCUUAAACAAACUAGAGGUUUUUAAAAACAAAUUUUUUUUUGGAGGAUCAGUACCUUGAAUUUUACCAGCACUCCCCCUGCCUCUUAAACAGCUUAGAUGUUUUUUCUUAUGUUAAAAAUAAAAAAUUGAAGAUUUGUUUGGAUUGAAGAUUUGAUUGGUCAAACUCAAUAUUCUACACCAUAUUGAGUUUGAGGGGAGGGUGUUGAAGAUAUGGAGAAUAUUGUCAAGAUAUUGGAAUAUAUUUUUCCAUUAUUUAGGAUUAUUUUCAAUUUAUGUUAUUUCCUUUUAUUGUCAUUCAUAACCCUUUAAAUAGGGCUCUUUAUAUUGCAAUAUUUACAAGACCAUCAAUAAUAAAACUCCUAUUAUUAUUCUUAAUAGUUAAAUAGUCUAGCUUUUUACAUCGGGAAUGGAGAUUAUCGUAUUAAAUUUACAAACCACUUCAAAGGCACAAUACCAAACCAAUAUCCACUUCUCCAAUACAAAAUCGACGUGUGUGUGUGGAGAAUUAAGUAAACAUUAAUGACCUCACAAGUUGUUCACAUUCCCGGCCCUCUAUGGUCAAAUUUAUCCUUACAUCUCUCGUGAGAUUUACACACCCCAAAACUUAUUCUUUUUCACUCUUUUCCCAGCGUGUAGUUGAAUUUAUUAUUACCAUCCUCACCCUUCACCAAUUCAGGUAGACGUCACUAGUUGCAAGUAAACACAUCCAUGAACAUGAAUUCUCCAAUUAUUUGAUUGUUUCGACCAUCAGGACUCAACUACGCUAAUUAUUCUUCAUCGAAAGUCAAAUUUCCUCGAACAAGUGUUAGGACUUAACAAGGCAUUUAGUACAUUUACUAUUUUUUUUUCUUUUCUUUUUUUUUCCUUUUUUUUUUUUUUUUUUUUUUUCACUCCCCCUUAAAUUUUUUUUUUUUUUUUUUUGCACUCCGCCUUAAGCUUUCUAGAUGACUCGUGUAGCAGGAUUUAGGCCGAUGACUCCCAAGUCAGACGACUUUAGGGCACCAAGUUUUUAAAUAUUCUUACAGGCUUAAUAACUCGAAUCAAAAAGGUUUUGAAGAGAACAAUUAUUUUUUUUCUUUCACGGGCAACUUCAUCUCUGAUUGCUUUCUAAAUGACCCAUGUAGCGAACUUUAGGCCAAUGACUCCCAAGUCAGAUGACUUUAGGGCAUCAAGUUUUAAGAUACCUUUGCAGGCUUAAUUGCUCGAAUCAUAAAGGCUUCAAAGAGAAGUUUUAAAAUAUAUGUCUUGAUUAGUGCAAUGCCCCUUAUCAUACACCUAUUCAAGAAAAUUGAACUUCAACUCAAGACUCUCGCCCAAUAUUAUCCUGUUCAUCUCAAACAAUCCACACAAAGUUUUUUUUCACACAAGGAAUCCACGUUCACGUCUGCAUCUACCUACAAUAGUAAAAUCAUUCCAAAUUGUGCUAAAUUUGGUCUAAAGAUAAUUAGUUUAAUAUGAUUUGGGUAAAGCAUCUAUGUCCAACUAAAUCAAUCUGUUUAGAGCAUGAAACAACUCACUUCAUCACCAUGUCAAACCCAAUUCUUGUGCGCGUAUAAUAUCAAAUUUUGUAAGUUUAAGUUUCAAUCAAUCUAGCAUGCAACCUAUCCACAAUUUAUAAAUUAACAUCAAAUCUCAAAUUAAAUCAUUAUUGUUAGCUAAACCAUUUAACCCACACAAGCAUACAACUAAAUAAAAGAGAUUUUUUUUUUUUUGAAAAUCUUCAAAAUUUUUCAAUUUUUUUUUUUACUAAGACAAACACACAAAAAUACGAAACAUACGAAAAACAAAAACUAAAAGUUUUUUUCACCUCCAAACUAAAAAAUCGGCAUUUUCCUCAAUGUCAUAAAGCGUAAGUAAGCACAUAAAGGGGUAGGGAAGAAAAGGAAGAAAGCACUCAUCGAAUUUUUUGUUGAAUGUGCGAAGUACUAUGUGUGAUGGUUAGGAAAUUUUUCUCAUCAUGUUUUCCCCUUGGGUCUAUGUUGGUUCAUGACACGACCCGUCCCAAAUCACCCUAGUGGACCCGAAACGUGACGUGCACUGAUGAUAGAUGCUGACUAGAUGUCAGAUCUAUCACCAAAGCUAACUAUGAAUUACUACAAAAUAUACGACAAAAUCAAAUGUUUAUAAAACCGUAGUGCAAUUGGCCCAAAAUUACAUCGUGUUUUAUCAAAUUGACUCAUCAAUAUGUCGUGUAGCUCUAACUCUGAAAUCACUAGGCUCCUCAAGUUAUCAAGGACCAAUAUUACCUGUAAGAAUAAUUUUAGGAAAAUAUGAGUUGACAGCUCAGUGAGUGGAAGAGUUCGAAAAUAAUUAUGCUUUCUCAUUUAAACAUUUUUAUCAAACAUCAAGUUCAUAUCAUUUAAUAUUUCACAUGAUAGACUCAUACGAAUAUAGACAAAAAGUGAGACAUUCUCAUAACUCUAUAAAUAUCAUCUCAUAUCCACGAUAUCGUCAUCAGCUGAUAUCUAUACCAUCAUCUCAUCACAUCACAUGUGUUCCACCAAAAAUGUACAAUCUAACUAAAAUUUGUAAUCCACCCCUCGGGUUAAGAACUUUCGCCAUGGGCCUUUGGCCCCUCCGUGAACAAAAGUUGGUCUCAAAAACCUCUGGUAAUCAAUUCUAAAACACGGCCAAGACCCACUCAGUGAACUAUAUGUACACAGUCACGACCCUUUCAUCCCCAGUCAACCCCUCAGUGUAAGACAGAACACGGCCAAGGCCCACUCAGUAAACUAGAAGAAGUAUGUAAUCAUGGGUAUUUUUCUGGUCGAUCUCAAUAUCACAUGUCUCACAUUCCACAUCACAAAUAUUUUCAUAUCUAAUCUUUGAGUUCCACAAUUAUCAUAAUGAAAGAAUAUUUCCAAAAUAAUCAUGUAAUCGAACACAUAAUUGUAUAUAAUUGCACAUAUUUUGACAAUAUACUUAAUUUAUAAAUACUUUAAAAAUAUUUAUAUUUUUCCACUCACUUGACUAUGUAUCGAACAAAAAGUAAUUCCACUAAAAAGCUUUCCCAGUCUCACUAUCUCCUGAAAAAUGAAUUAUUUAUUCAAAUUAAUAACUAUUGAAUCCAUUUCCUAACCCCAUACAUGGAUAGGAAACCUCAAAAUCUCACCUAUUACUUCUUCAUUUCUUUCUUCCCAUUUUAGUCAAGUGGGCACACAUAUCCAUAUGCCAAUAUAUACACAAUUUCUCAUUUACCGAUUUAUUUAUAGAAUAUCUUUUCCACAUUCAUUUCCCCACUACAUUGGCAUAAUAACAUACUACCUUCCAACAUCUUGAAUUUACACUAUAAAUACUGUCCCUUUUUAUUUGCUCUAUAAUCUUAAAAUUACUAAAUAAAGAACUUACCACAUUUAGGCUAAAUUGAAUUCCAAUUAAAUACAAUUCAUCUCUUCUUCAUCAGUUUACUACUUCCCCACUGGCAUCAAGCUAUGCAAUUAGGUAUGUUCCCUUCUUAAUACUUUCAGCCACUAGACAUAUACGUGUGCCAAACAAUUCAUUAGUUGACCCAAAUCCUCACUUGCCUUUUGGUUUCUUUAUUUAAAUUUCAAUUUUAACCCAAUUACUUCAUGAAUUUUUCAUUCACAAAGUUCCAACCCAAAAAUUUAUAAAUAUUUGAUUCACAUAACUUAAAAGCUUCAAAAAUUGUUUACCCAUACUAAACCAUCAAUAAAUUGAACUUCUUUAUCACUUGUUGGAGCCAAAUAAGAAAUUUAAGUUUGUAUAAAACUUAUCCACUUGUGAUUGUAGAAGAAAUGAGGCUAUGAAAGAAAACCCCAUUCUUGAAGAAGGGCAUCUCACCUCCUACACAUCGUCGGCCAGCAAUUAUUCUUUUUUUUUCUCGGUCUCUCUCUCUUUCUCGAUUAUUCCUGUCCGUCUCCCUGCUCUCUCCUUCUUUGGUGUGUAUAUAUCAUAUGAAAAUGGGAGAUUAGCUAGUAAGUUGCCACUUGUACUCCACCAAUCCAUUUUUGCAAAGAAGUCCCUCUUCUUCAAUUAAAUAUGACAUUUAAUCAUCUAACUUCCAUUAAUAAAAAGUAAAUCCCCAAAAUUUAAUUUUAUCUAUCUAAACCUUCAAGUGGUGUCAAUUUGUAAAAUAAAAUUUCAAAAAUAAUUUGGUCAGUUCACGUCCCACUAAAAUGAUUUACUUCAAUUAAAUCCUUAUUUGACUUUGACUUUAACUUUGACGAGUCAAACAUUUCACUUUGAAUAAAUAAUAUUGACCUUUGACUAAUAUGAAAUGGGUUGUAACAAUCUGACCCCCUUCAAAGAAUUUCGUCCUCGAAAUUCAUUCAGCUAGGAUUCAAACCAAUAAAUAUAUAGCGCUCAGAUUUAAUCUCCCAUAAUGCCUCAUCUUGAUUGAUUUCUCCAAUUCACCUUAAUGACUUAUUUUCCAACUUUUGUCUCAAUAAAUAGGUAUCUCAGUUUCCUUUAAAUAGUAACCAUGUGUUGGUAACAUAUCUUCUGAACUUGUCUUCAUAUUCUCUGGCAUUCUAUUAAAAGGAAUUGAACAAUGUACUUUAGUUCUGUAACUCCCUAUAUUAGCCAAAGAUAGAUACUCGAACUCCACCAUGUAAAUCACUGACUUGUCCAUAAGUAAUUUAUUAACAUAUCUCUUGAACUGAUUGUAUUAUUUUAAAAUAAUCCUGUAACUUUUGUCGAUUUAUCGUCAAUGAUUCAAAUUCAAUUUGUCUCCAUUCUGUGUAUUUGAAACCUCAAAUGAAAAAUAUUUGAGGGUAACAACCUCCAUUCUAAAUUGACAAUAUCUCCAAAAAUUCAAUUGUUCAUAAAUUUUCAAAAUUUCUAGAUAACCCCAGCAAAACAAUUGAGAUAACUCAAUAUGGUGUUCUUUUCCUUAAUUUUAUAUCACCCAAUGAUAAUAUACACACAAUUUUCAUUUCCACAAUUCCUAAUAAAAUAUACUUUAAACUCCGAUAAUAGAUAAAUAUUGAUGUUCCUCGCAAUGUUAUAACACCAAAAUUCCUAAAUUCAACAUCAAUAUACCCAAUUAUAAAUCAUGUUUUAAUCAAGCACCUUCAACAAUCUACAAUAUAAUCCAUAAUUCAUCAUUUUACUUCAGGACACUUUCUAAACCUUAACAUAAUCAUUAUCACAAAUCAAACCUUCAUCAACUUUAGAUACAAGAGUAAAUGUUUCCUCAAAAUAUAAUCUAAUAGCAACGCUUUUUACAUUCUUAAAUUCACACAAUUUUGGUGCUCUUUCUUCCUACGAGGAGACAAUUAUAAUAUUCAAUCCAUAGUAAUUCCAUACUCUUAUUCCAUAAAGAGGCCAUUAGCCUAUUACCAAUGCAUAAACUUUCUUGUAUAUCUCACAAAAACCUUCAAUUAAAAUUAUAACCUAAAGACACUGUUCCACAAUAUGAAUAAAAUUUACAUUUGAUGAUCGUCUUAAACUUUAAACUAUCCAACAUAUCAUCCUUGUGUUCCAUAACAUAUAGAUCUUAAGAAAAAUGGAAUUCUUUAUUUGUGAAAUCCAAGAAUACGAUCAAAAUUAACUCAAAAUUUACAUCACUUAAACUUCAUCAAAUUCAUCUUAAUUUCAAAAUUUAGCUCAAAGCUUCCAGGUUUUAUUAUAACAUAACAAAAUAAUCGAACAAAUGGUCUUGGCAACGCCAAUUAAUUUAAUAACCUAAAUAUAUCAUCCCAUUAUUUCGCUAUAGGACAACCAUUACAUUCAUUUACUUGUUAUUCACCAUAUCAUGUUAUGAUCAUGUAACCUUAUCAUUUAUCACGCGAACCUUUUUACAUAUCAAUAUUCACCAAGAUUUCAUAUUCUAAUUUCUCAAUCUCCAUUAAUUUCAACUCUAUAGUUCUUAAUUCUUUUCUUCUUUUCUUAAUAAUUUACAAAGCAUCACUUCAUUCUUCAAACCAUACAUGCUUAUAUGUGAAAGAUGCUAUACUAAUCACUCCUUUUCAUUUCCUUUACUUCAAUGCAUGAUUCCUUUUCUAUAAUUCAAAAAUGAAAAUCAAUCUGAGUUUCGUAGACUCCCUCCAUUCAUAUCAUUUGUACCCUAUUUACAUAAAUGUACAAAUCCAAUAAUUCUUUUAUUUCAACAACAACUUACCCCGCAAUAAGCAGUCUUUGUGAAAUCUAUCCAUAUCUUUCUCACAUCUCUUAUAAUCAUAUAACCCAUAAAUAAUCAAAAUGAUCGGAGUUACAUGAAUGUCAAUUUCUUCAAUGAAUAAUAUACAUAAUAACACAUUAUUCUUUAUCGAUCAAUAUACUGUAUAAUAUCAUCAUUUAUCCUCCACAAGAUUUCUUAUCAUAUGAAUAGACACAUCACCAAAAUUUUAUCAUCCUUACAUAUGAGUGGCUACAAAUUACCACAAUCUCCGAUGAUGCUAAUGAUCAUUUAGUUUACCAAGAUAAUUAAGAUUCAUCAUAUGAUUGUCAUGGAUUACACAUAAUAUCAAUCCCUUUAUCUAUCACCUCGAAUAUCUAUAUGUGAACAACCUCUGGAACCAUCAAAACUUUCACUUCAAAUUAAUAAUCCGUUCAAUUCUCAAUAGAUUACAUACACCUCUGUAUAAACCCAACAACUUAUAAUAUUUUCAACCAUCAGAUCAUUGCAACUAUCAUAAUUACAUCCUAGUCAUUUCUGGAUCUAUUAAAAAUAAUUUUCUAUCACUUUUGGUUCCAUACCUUCGAGCUUGAGAACCUACCAUCACGAAAUGUGAUCAUACACAUUGAAUAUGCAUGACAUGCCAGUGCAUGUACUAUGAAGACUUUCAAAAUUUUAUAAACCAUGCUCUGAUACCACUUUGACACGACCCAUCCCGAAUCACCCUAGUGGACCCGAAACGUGACGUGUACCGAUGAUAGAUGCUGAUUAGAUGUCAAAUCUAUCACCAAGGCUGACUAUAAAUUACUACAAAAUAUACAACAAAAUCAAAUGUUUAUAAAAAUGUAGUGCAAUGGGCCCAAAAUUACAUCGUGUUUUAUCAAAUUGACUCAUCAAUAUGUCAUGUAGCUCUAACUCUGAAAUCACCUGGCUCCUUAAGCUAUCAAGGACCAAUAUUACCUGUAAGAAUAAUUUUAGGAAAAUAUGAGUUGACAGCUCAGUAAGUGGAAGAGUUCAAAAAUAAUUAUGCUUUCUCAUUUAAACAUUUUUAUCAAACAUCAAGUUCAUAUCAUUUAAUAUUUCACAUGAUAGCCUCACACGAAUAUAAACAAAAAGUGACAUUCUCAUAACUCUGUAAAUAUCAUCUCAUAUACACGAUAUCGUCAUCAACUGAUAUCUAUACAAUCGUCUCAUCACAUCACAUGUGAUCCACCAAAAAUGUACCAUCUGACUAAAAUUUGUAAUCCGUCCCUCGGACUAAGAACUUUCACCACGGGCCUUUGGUCCCUCCGUGAACGAAAGUCGGUCUCAAAAACCUCUGAUAAUCAAUUCUAGAACACGGUCAAAGCCCAUUCAGUGAACUAUAUGUACACAGUCACGACCCUUUCAUCCCCAGUCGACCCCUCAGUGUAAUAUAGAACACAGUCAAGGCCCACUCAGUGAACUAGAAGAAGUAUGUAAACAUGGGUACUUUUCUGGUCGAUCUCAAUAUCACAUAUCUCACAUUCCACAUCACAAAUAUUUUCACAUCUAAUCUUUGAGUUCCACAAAUAUCAUAAUGAAAGAAUAUUUUCAAAAUAUUCAUGUAAUCGAACACAUAAUUGCAAAUAAUUGCACGUACUUUGACAAUAUACUUAAUUUAUAAAUACUUUAAAAAUAUUUAUAUUUUUCCACUCACUGGACUAUGUAUCGAACAAAGAUUAAUUCCACCAACAAGCUUUCCCAGUCUCGCUAUCUCCUGAAAAAUGAAUUAUUUAUUCUAAUUAAUAACUAUUGAAUCCAAUUUCCUAACCCAUACAUGGAUAGGAAACCUCAAAAUCUCAACUAUUACUUCUUCAUUUCUUUCUUCGCAUUUUAGUCAAGUGGGCACACAUAUCCAUAUGCCAAUAUAUACACAAUUUCUCAUUUACCGAUUUAUUUACAGAAUAUCUUUUCCACAUUCAUUUCCCCACUACAUUGGCACAAUAACAUACUACCUUCCAACAUCUUGAAUUUACACUAUAAAUACCGUCCCUUUUUAUUUGUUCUAUAAUAUUAAAAUUACUAAAUAAAGAACUUACCACAUUUAGGCUAAAUUGAAUUCCAAUUAAAUACAAUUCAUCUCUUCUUCAUCAGUUUACUACUUCCCCACUGGCAUCAAGCUAUGCAAUUAGGUAUGUUCCCUUAAUACUUUCAGUCACUAGACAUAUACGUGUGCCAAACAAUUCAUUAGUUGACCCAAAGCCUCACUUGCCUUUUGGUUUCUUUAUUUAAAUUUCAAUUUUAACCCAAUUACUUGCUGAGUUUUUCAUCCACAAAGCUCCAACCUGAAAAUUUAUAAAUAUUUGAUUCACAUAACUUAAAAGCUUCAAAAAUUGUUUACCCAUACUAAACCAUCAAUAAAUUGAACUUCUUUAUCACUUAUUGGAGCCAAAUAAGAAAUUUAAGUUUGUAUAAAACUUACCCACUUGUGAUUGUUGAAGAAAUAAGGCUAUGAAAGAAAACCCCAUACUUGAAGAAGGGCAUCUCACCUCCAACACAUCGUUGGCCAGUAAUUAUUCUUUUUUUUUCUUGGUCUCUCUCUCUUUCUCGAUUAUUCCUACCCGUUUCCCAGCUUUCUCCUUCUCUGGUGUGUAUAUAUCAUAGAGUAAAUUUAACCAAUAAUCACUGAACUUUACACUUGAUUACUACUUGCUCACUUGUCUUUCACAUAUUACCGAAUGCUUACUCAUCUUUUCAUAUAAUUACUCAUUCACCACUCGUCUCUUCAAAUAAUUGGGCUACUUUUACGGCAAAAUUUCGACAACUUCCAACCACAAAGAAUGUCGAAUUUUGAUACCGUUGGAAAGCCCAUGAUGUCCUCUUCAAUUACCACCCAAAAUCUCAUUAUAACUCCAAGGGAUUCGAUCGAAAAAUUGCCUUAAAAGUCGCUCAAAAAUUCUGAAAAUCUGCCCAGAUUUUCAGAUUUUUUGGGCGACUUUUAAGGCAAUUUUUCGGCAACUUUCGACCAUCAAAACUAUCCAAUUUUGAUACCAUUGGAAAGCCCACAAUGUCCUCUUCAAUUACCACCCAAAAUUUCCCAAUAACUCCAAAGGAUUCGGUCGGAAUAAACCCACAAAGUCAGCAUCUUGAAAAGGCGAAAAUCUGGACAAAGUUCGGGAUGCUGACUUUGUGGGUUUAUUCCGACCGAAUCCUUUGGAGUUAUCGGGAAAUUUUGGGUGGUAAUUGAAGAGGACAUUGUGGGCUUUCCAAUGGUAUCAAAAUUAGAUAGUUUUGAUGGUCGAAAGUUGUCGAAAAAUUGCCUUAAAAGUCGCCCAAAAAAUCUGAAAAUCUGGGCAGAUUUUCAGAAUUUUUUGACGACUUUUAAGGCAAUUUUUCAAUCGAAUCUCUUGGAGUUAUAAUGAAAUUUUGGGUGGUAAUUGAAGAGGACAUCGUGGGCUUUCCAACAGUAUCAAAAUUCGACAUUCUUUGUGGUCGGAAGUUGUCGAAAAUUUGCCGUAAAAGUAGUCCAAUUAUUUGAAGAGACGAGUGGUAAAUGAGUAAUUAUAUGAAAAGAUGAGUGAGCAUUCAGUAAUAUGUGAAAGAUGAGUGAGCAAGUAGUAAUCAAGUGUAAAAUUCAGUGAUUAUUGGUUAAAUUUACUCAUAUAUCAUAUGAAAAUGGGAGAUUAGCUAGUAAGUUGCCACUUGUUCUCCACCAAUCCAUUUUUGCGAAGAAGGCCCGCUUCUUCAAUUAAAAUUGACAUUUAGUCAUCUAACUUCCAUUAAUAAAAAGUAAAUCCCGAAAAUUUAAUUUUAUCUAUCUUAAACCUUCAAGUGAUGUCAAUUUGUAAAAUAAACCUUCAAAAAUAAUUUGGUCAGUUCACGUCCCACUAAAAUGAUUUACUUCAAUUAAGUCCUUAUUUGACUUCGACUUUAACCAGUCAAACAUUUGACUUUGAAUAAAUAAUAUUGACCUUUGACUAGUAUGAAAUGGGGUGUAACAGUUUGAGUGUUCCAUGAAGUCAUGUCCCUACACAUAGCAAUCAAGUCAAACAUUAAAAAUCAAGAAAUCUAGAACAUUUGUUACUUAGCCCAAACAAUCAAAAUCCAACAACAAAUCCAAUGGCCUAACGGAAGUAUUAAGGAUGGUGAUACCCUACAAAUUAAAACGUGCCUAAAUCUAAUGCAACCUAGUAAUCAAAAAAAAUCUAUAUGCUAUGCGAUGCAGAAGGCAAAAUAAAUAAAAGAGUUAGAAGAUUGGGUUAUCUCCCAAUAAGCACUUAAUUUAUAGUCUUUAGCUAGACUGUACGGAUGAAUUGAUUACGGUGGCUUAAAUAGGUGUUUUGAGCUUUUGCACUCCUUACAAUUUCCAGCCUUGCAUCCUCGUUUUUUCGUCCAAACCUUGAACUCUCCAUUCUUCUCUCGUCCAACGCUCACUAGAUGUUUAGGCUCCAUCUUUCUCAAGCCUUGUUGCACCUUUGUAGCAAUAUACUUGCACUCUUUCUUAGACUUUUUGCUGAUCUCUUCAUGUAAUGUAUUCUCAAUAGUGUUGUAGAUCUUGAACUUCUUUUGCUUAUCUUCCACUCUCAAUGUCAGUUCGCCAAUUUCAAAGUCUAUGGCAGCUCGGCUUGUUGAUAGAAAGGAUCUGCCCCAAGAUAAGUAACGCUGCAUUCCAUGGCUCCUCUAUAUCUAGGACAACAAAAUCGAUGGGAAAUAUGAAGUUACCCACUUUAAUAAGUACAUUCUCAACCAUUCCUCGUGGGUAUUUAAUUGAUCUGUCUGCCAAUUGAAGGGAGAUAGAUAUGUCAUUUAGCUCUUCCAAUCCUAAUUUCCUGUAUAUAGGGAAAGACAUUAAGUUUAUACUUGCUCCUGAAUCACAUAAGCAAUUAAAAUCUAAAUCUUUUCCUAUUGAGCAAGGUAUUUUGAGACUCUCUGGAUCUUGUCGUUUAUGAGGUAAUUUGCUCUGCAAAAUGGCACUACACUCUUCAUUUAACUUGACGGUCUCAAAAUCUGUAAGCCUUCUCUUUUUGGAUAGGAUCUUCUUCAAAAACUUUGCACAGUUUGGUAUUUGAGAUAUAGUUUCAAUCAAUGGGACUUUGACAUGAAGCGUCUUGAAGAUGUCCAAGAACCUUGCAAAUUGAUCUUCCAAAUUCCUCUUUUGUAAUCUCUGUGAAAAUGGGACUGGAGGCACAUAAGGUUUGAUAGGAACGGUUACCUUGACCUGUAGAUUUUCUAGCUCUUGAGAUGGAACUACUUGGUCUAGUUGUUCAUAUUUAUCCACCUGCACCUCAUCUGUAAAAGUUGCCUGUUUAUUUUCUGUCACCCGUCUGUCAACUGUAAUUUCUGGAAGUUUAACCCUACUACGUGUAUUGAUUGCCUCAAUCUCCUCACUCUCCAUAACUUCUACUGCCAUUACCUGUUGUUUAGGAUUUGUUUCCAUGUUGCUUGGCAGUGUUCUUUGCUGUCUUUUUUAGAGUGCUUUUGCUAUUUGUCCCAUCCGAUUUUCUAAAUUCUUGAUAGCAGCUCCUUGAACUUGUAAAUCUUAUCUGUUCUUUGCAUGUGUUGAGUCGAGAUCUCCGCCAAUUUAGUAACAAGAUCUUAUAAUGAAGACUUAUUUUCGACCUGCUGAAAACCUAGUGGUGCAGUCUGCUGUGGCGCAAUCUGAGUUCCUUGAUUGUUGCUCAAUUGAAAACAUGGGUGAUUUCUCCAGCCUAGGUAGUAGGAGUUAGGAUUCUGAUUGUGUUGUUGUCGUUGAAAAUUUUGAGCAUAAUUUACAUCCUCUAGUGAUUGAGUAAAAGGACUACCCACGGUGCAAUCAACACUUUCAUUAUUUCCUCCACAGUGCUUAGAUUUUUGUCCGGCUGUUUGAAUGGUAUUCAUCUGAUCCACCAUUUUAGCUAAAGCUACCAGCUGCGCUAAGAUUGCUAUUAAUGGAUCCACCUCAUGUAUCCCAGUUACUUUCUUUACACUUGUUCUUUCAGUAAGCCACAGUGCACUAAUGAAUGCUCAAUCCUCCAUGAUUUGAUAUACUUGAUCCACUAUUCUCUUUGUGAUGGAACCAUCGCAUGCGAAGUUAACGUUAGCCCUGCUUAUUGGAUUUAGUCCAAUGUAGAAAUAUUGUACCUGGAGCCAUUUUUGCAAUCCAUGUUGUGGACACUGACAGAACAGCCCCUUGUACCUUUUCCAAGCUUCAUAAUAGUACUCCGAGUCAAGUUGAGUGAAUGUGGUGAUUUCGUCCCUCAACCUGGCAAUCCUUUUAGGUGAGAAAUAUUUAUUUAGGAACUUCUGACUCAAACUAUUCUAAAUGGUGAUGCUGUGUAGAGGAAAAGUAUCCCACCAAUCCCUAGCUGAAUCUCUCAAAGUGUAAGUAAAAAAGCCUCAGCCGAAUUGCUUCGCUUGAAACACCUAGAUAAUCGAUUGUUGCACACAUGUCCAAGAAUCUUGAGAUAUGCGCAUUGGGAUUUUCAGUAGGUUUCCCAAUAAAUUGCAAUGCAUUUUAGAACAUGUUGAUCACAUCUGUCCUCAAGUGAAAAUUUGGUUGACCAAAUGAUGUAUAUACUCUACUAGAUUGACUAUCCACGACCGAUGGAACCAUAUACUCUCCCAUCAACCUAACAUUUUCAUUGGUUGCAAUUUCAUUCGGUUGCGCUACACCCAAAUUAGCACCGAUGGGUAUUUGAUUCGGAUUUUAUUUUGCCAUGAGCUUUGCUUGCUGUUUUUGGUGUGCUUCUAAUUGUUCUCUUGUUCUCGACCUGAACGUUCGCUCGAUUUUCGAAUCAAAUUGAGCAAGAUCUCCGGUUCUCGAACCUUGCAUACAAAGUCCUGAAAAGGAAAAAUAGAAAACACUGUAGUAUUUUUCUAAAUUAAUUAACUAACUAAGAAAACUAAAUUAAAAUUAAAAUUAAAUUCAGAUUAAAGGUAAAUUAGUUAAAACUUAUAAAAAACUAUAGUCUCCGACAACGGCGCCAAAAAUUUGAUCGUUUGAUUAACCGCAAGUGAACGGGAUCGUGAGCAAGUAGUAUAGUAGUGUGUAGAGUGUCGAACCUACAAAGUCUGUGUUUGAUCAAGUUUACGCUAACACUACCCUUAAUCGAACAGCAGAAUUGAGUGGUAACUAAAAACUAUUAAAUAUAUCAACUAACUUAAAAGAAACGUAAAGAAAACUUAUCAAAUUCGCAAGAAAUAUUGCUAAGAUGUAGAAUCCCUCUCAUUAAUUCAUUUUUAGUUCGACAAUUUAAAUUGACAAUUUGAAAUCAUGCUUGUUGGUCAAUGUUCCUAUUUUAUUUGAAAACAUCUCUCAAUAGUUAUCAAAUAUAUUCCCCUCAUACCACAUUCCUAUCUCUCAAUGAAAGAUACGAAUUUGAUAAAUGCAUUAAACGAGUUAGAACAUCUUAUAACAAUCAUAUGAAGCAUAGAUUUAUAUCUCUAUUCUCUAUUGAACUUUACAAUAUUUAUUAUUUUGUGCUAAUGAUCUUAUCGUCUCUCUCGAUAACAACAAAAUUUACAAAUAAUUCAAUCAAUGGCCAAUUAAUUGAAAAGUAUGAAAAACGAUAACAAACAUCCAAACAUUCAAACAAAUUUAACGUCAAUUUAAUUAUUUAAACUAAAAGUUCAUAACAAGAGUUCAUCACUUCCUUGCAAUAAAGAAAUUAGCCACCCAUGAUGUUGAAAUUAAACAAAAAUAAGGAUCAAAGACUUCACCAAAAAUAGACGGAAUGUGAUUAAUAUCCAACUUCUUGCACAAUUUGUUAAUGAAUUAUCACACAAGGAAAUGUGACAUUAUUUCUUCUACUGCCGUCCAUGCGUGUGUGCCGUCUAUCUCCAGUAUACGUGCCUGUUUCCCACUUUUUAAUUUCCAACAGUCAUAUGUGAAUGUUUUAAUUCCAAAUUCAGCUGCCAAAUCCUCCAAAGCUGCCACCAAUUUGUGUUUAUAAGGUAUAUCAAAGAGCCCCUUUUUUCCCAGCAGCAAUGUUUAUUUUUUCUCCCUCUCUCUCUUUGUUUCCGUGUAUAAUCUCCCUCAAAAUUUUCUUCAAUAACUGUCGUGUGUAUUCCUUCCAAAAAUCCUAACCGGCUGCCCCUUUUUUCUUCCAAACUAUUACCGUUUUUCUGUGGUUUUUUCUCCCGGCCAACUCUUCUUUCUGCCGUCUAAUGUGUAUAUGUAUAUAUGUAGCAAAUAGGCAUUUUUCUUCUCUCCCACAGCCGCCGUUUUUUACUCCAAUUUUUGUGAUAUUUCAAUUGCUCCACACUCUUCUUUUCAGCCGGCUGUAGCGUAUAUAAUGGCCAAACAAUUAAUUGGGUUUCAUUCCAAUUCCACACUCCUAAUAUGAGGCCCAUCAAUAAAUUACUUUUUUCCAAGUCCUCAACUUUCAAAAAAUGCAAAUUAGUCCUUGAUACAAAUUUAUUUGUGCAACCAAUGCCCUCCUCAAGUUCAAACUUGUGGAAUUCAAUCCCAAAUCGUAGAUUUUACUCGAUUUUGCCCUUCUUCCUUUUCAAUCACUUCAAAUGGGUUCGUCGCUAAAAACACAAAGAAAACUAACAUAAGUUAAAUAGAAAUUAAAAAUUUGACAACUUAAAAGUUUAAUAGUGUGGCCUAAAUAGGUGUACAAAUUGCAUUUAUCAAAAUCCAACACAGAACCAAAAGAAUCAAGAAGAGAAGAUAAAAGCCCGAUUAGUUCAAUUUUUAAACCAAUAGAGGAAUCCUUAAAAUCAGGUCUAUGAAAACUCUCUACCUAAUCAAGUGUUAUAAGAGAAUUAUCUAAACAACUAUCAAAACUAACUGCAUCAUAUAAUGUUAAUGUAGUUAAAUCGAUUGAAGAACUAAAGAAAAUCAAUUUCUAGAAGAAAAAGUACCCCCUCAAAUUAAUAAAUUAAGAGGUCAAAAUUCAAAAAUGCCUAAUUUUUACCCAAGACCUUCCUUUCCUGAUAUGCAAUAUUAGGAAAGAAUGAAACCUCAUAUCUCUUAUAAUGGAGAUGAGAUAAUGGAAUGGAAUGAAAUAUUGACGAAAUGACUGAACAUCAGGUUAUUCAAGUCAUUGAAAAUAUUGUUAUGUGUUGUUCGGUUUAUCUCUGUUGAUUUAUUUCUAAAGAAACUGCCUUCAACAAUAUUUUACUUGCUUUCCAGGUCAAUUAAAAAGUUAGUGGACUAAUUACCUUAACAAUAAUGAACGUGAUGAAGUAUAUAAUGCUACUAAGCCCUUGUUUAAUCCCUGUUAUUUUCAAAAUAUAUUUUUGUUUCUCUUCUUUUCAACCAUAUAUUCUUCACUAAAAUAAUAUUAUACGCAAAUCCAACCUUUCAUUAUUUUUUGACUACAAAUUCUCUAUCAAUCUAUUAUUUCAAAAUGCAUUCUUACAAUAAAAUGGGGUUCAAAUAGGCUCUAAAUCAAAUGGACAAAAUGACAUCAAAUUAGCAUUUAUGUUUGCUGUUAUCGAGCAUUUUAUUGGAAGCCCUACUUCAUUAUAAGAAAGAUCAUCAGAAAUCUUAAAAGAAUUUAACAUGCUCAAAACUUCAUGAUUUUAGAUGGUAUAAAGAUAUCUUCCUCACUAAAGUUGUGCUUAGGAAAGAUUGUUCUCUUGUUGAUCCCAAAGGUGAUGUAAGAUUGAGAUUUAAUGGCAAUAAUGAAAUAUUCAAGAUCGCACCACGAAAACAAGAUUAAAGUAAAGUUAAAAAGAGAAACUAAGUAGAGGAACGAUGAAUUUUAUUAAAUCCGACAAUAUGGAGAGAAUAAUAAAGGACAACACUAAUGCUUCAUCUAAAACUGACAAAGGAGUCUCUAAUUUUAGGUCACAUCCAUAAACCUAAUGGAGUCCUAAAAGGUAAGAAAAUAUACUAAAAUUAGGUUAAAUCACAUAUAAAAAAAAUCUUGGAUGUAAUUUGAUUUCUUUUCAACUUCAAGCCAAACGUGAUCUUCCAAGAUUUCAACCCAAUUUUGAGGCAUUAAACCUAACAAUCUCCACCUUGACUCAAAAUUUCGAUACAACGAACGAAACUCCAAAAUUUCAAAUCCAUCUGUUUCGAAAUGAACUGACCAAUCUCCUCAACACAAUAACCAAAAUCUCCAUCACCAAACUAUCGUCAUCUGCACGAUGUCCACAAGCGACACCCGAACCCAAAUCCUGGGUUCCCAAAAUUCCAACAAGGAAUUACUGUUGACCAAACAGGUCGAAGCACACCCUGUAGCAGAAACAAUACCACAUGUUGGAUCAGAAGGCCCCUUGCUAGAACUGUCACCUUCAACAUCUCCUAAAGCAUUCCAGAUAUUAUUGACACCACUGUAUCUACGCUCCAUGAGUCUAAAUCUAGCAACUGAACACAGUGUAUCCGCUAAAAUUGGUGACAAAGCGGAAUCACCAAUACUCUCCCUAGAAGUGUUAUUAAUCAACUCAAAGGUCGCCACAAGAGGUAUUGUACCAAACUGAACUUCCGCCACGGUACUGAACUUGUCCAAAUAUCUCUUAACUGGUUCUGCACUUCCCUAUAAUAUGUCAAUUGGGAUCUCUUCCGUCCCUCCAGUACAACCCGGACAUCCCUUCGAACCUUCAAAACUCCACUUCCACCAGAGAAUUUAUAUCCUUUUGCAUCCAAGGUACUCAGCGAUAUGAGAUUCUUUGUCAAGUCCAAAACAUGACGAACCUGAUCAAAUGUCCUCACUGUCCCAUCUUGUAGCCUCAAUCUGAUCUGACCGAUUCCUGCAACCCGACAAGAUUGGUUGUUCCCUAUGACAACUCCACCUUACUACACCGUCUCAUAUGUCUGAAACAAAGCCCUAUUGGGACACAUAUGAUACGAACAUGCAAAAUUCACUCCCCAGGCUUGGAUUCCCCAUCAGAUACAGCCAAAAUUACAUCUCCAUCGUUCGAAAAAUUCUCAACAAUGUUAGUCUUAUUACCUGAUUGCCCCGCAUGAUUUGCAUGUAAAUCACAUUUACCCUGCAACUUGUUGUAAUCUUUCUUAAUGUAUCAUUUCCUCAUGCAGUAAUAACAAUACACAUUGAUGUACCUCACUAUUGAUCUACCCCUCCGUUGUUCACCAUGAGUAACCAGAGCGUCCUCACCCCUGGAUAUAGGAUUUUCAACCAACAGCUUCAUCUUCUCCUUUGAGAAUAGGGCAUCAUAUACCUCCUCAAUGGUCAGCAUGUCAAGACUAUACAAUAUAGUAUCACGAAACGACAAAAAAAAAAAAAAAAAAAAACCUGGGUAGCUAAUACAGAUCCUCUUCAUCAUAUUUUACCUCCAACAUCUUCAAAUCUACAACAAUCUCCUUAAACACGACAAAAUGGUCUUGUAAUGACUCUCCUUCUACCAUGCGAUGGGAAUACAGCUUCUAGUUUAGAGUGAGUUUCCUCAUCAGACUCUUUGUCAUGCACAACAGCUCCAGCUUAAGCCACAAAAUAGCCGUCGUCUUUUCCCUCAAGACAUCCUGCAGAAUAUUGUUGGAUAAGUGAAGAUGAAUCUGCACUAAAGCGUUUCGAUCCUCCAUUGUUUCUCCUCCAUACACAAUUUGUCGACAUCCUCUGAAAAUCCAGCAAAGCAUCGUCAAGAUCCAUCUGCAUCAACAUAGCCCUCACCUUUACUUGUUGCAGUGAAAACCUUGUAUUGCGAUCCAGCAUCGGAAUUUCAUAAUUCAACGAAUUCAUCCUUGAAAAAUCUCAACCAAAUCACGAAGAAUCUGUAACCCAUGCUUUGAUACCACUUGUUGAUCCCAAAGGCGAUGUAAGAUUGAGAUUUAAUGGCAAUAAUGAAAUAUUCAAGAUCGCACAAUGAAAACAAGAUUAAAGUAAAGUAGAAAAAGAGAAACUAAGCAGAGGAAAGAUGAAUUUUAUUAAACUCGACAAUAUGGAGAGAAUAAUACAGGACAACAAUAAUGCUUACUGGCAAAUGAGUCUCUAAUUUAUAGGUCACGUCCAUAAACUUAAUAGAGUCCUAAAAGAUAAGAAAAUACACUAGAAUUAGGUUAAAUCACGUAAAAAGAAAAUAUCUUGGAUGUAAUUUGAUUUCUUUCCAACUUCAAGCCAAACAUGAUCUUCCAAGAUUUCAACCCAAUUUUGAGGCAUUAAACCUAACAUCUCAAUCAUUUUAGAAAGAAAGAUUUAUUUCUGGACUUCUAAAACUUUUUGCCGAACGAGUAAGAAUUGCAAUAAAAAAAUACAAAUAAUGAUACGAUUCCAUAUGGUUCCCUAACUUAUGAUGAAAUUAUAAAUUACAUCAACUAAGAAAGGUUGUCAUUAUGCAAUGGCAUGAAACUCAAAUCAAACUCAAAAGUGAAAGAGCCGAAAGCUGACAAGUACUCGGAUCAUUUUGUGAGCAAUAUGGUUUCGAAAAAGUUUUAACUCCUUCUUCAAAACGUAAAAAACAAAAUAUAUCAUAUCCAAAACAUUUCAGAAAAUUGUUUUAUCAAAGAGAUGAAAAAUAUCAAAAGCCUUAAAAAAGAAAAUUUUAUAAAAGAAAAUGUCAAAAAUUUAACAAAAUUAUAACUUGUUGGAAAUGCUAACAAACAGGUCAUUAUUCUAACAAGUGUCCUAUGAAAGAAAAAAUAAACAACAUUCAAAUAGAUGAAAAGGUAAAGAAUGAACUUUUAAAUUUGAUUACUUCUAGUUGUGAAGAAAAUUUAGGAUCCGAUUAGGAACAAAUUUAUCAAAAUCAAGAAGAUUCACUUAUUGAAGAAAGCUUCAAUUCUUCAAGUUUUAGUAAUGACAAAGAUAUUUGCAGAUGCAAUGAUAGUAGUUGCUACUGCGAAAACAAAUCAAUUAAUGUCCUUACAGUCCUCAAUUAAAAAAGAAAUUCAACCAAUUAUUAACACCACAAGAACAACCAAGAGAACAAUUUAAUAUAUCUCAACUAAUGAUUAGAUUUAAACAAGAAUCCGCAUCCAAAUUUACAAGUUCUGAUUUGAGAUCAGAAAUCAAUGAAAUGAAAAAUCAAAUAUCAAAGCUUGAACAUCUGAUGAAAGACGUAAAAAUGGAAGUUAGUAUUCUAAAGACAACAUCUUUAGAAAAUAAUAAUCCAACAAGUAAAAUAAAAAUUGAAUCGGAAGAAUCUAUCUCAGAAGAAGAGGAGAAAAUUCAAUCAGAAGAAGAAAAAGUUAAUGCAAUCAAUAAAGUCCAACUUCAAAAAUGGCAUUGUAUAGUAAACAACAUAUUCAAGCUAAAAUCUCUAGUCCUUAUUAACUCUGGAGCUUAUCAAAACAGUAUUAGGUAAUGAUUCAUUGUUACAAAAUAUUUUUGAAAAGAUCACUAAGCGACUAUAUGGAGCUAGAGGAAAGAAAUUAUAUAUACGAUAUAAACUUUCAAAAGCUCAUAUUUGUACUUAAAACAUUUGUUUCAAAAACAUUUCUAUUUGGUAAAAGACUUGGAUCAAGAAGUGAUCCUUGGAACACCUUUUAUUGUACAAAUUUAUCAUUUUCAAGCAAAUGCAGAAGCACUAAAAACUACAAGUCCGGGUCAAGAAAUUAUCUUCAAAUUCACUAAUACUCCUUCACACAAAGAUGUGAAUGCUCUCAAACAAGCUUCAAUUUCAAAAAUAAUUAAUAUACUAAUUAUAAAAAAACAACAUAUCAAGUUUAUCAAAGAAGAGAUUAAAUGUAAAUUAAUUAAAGAACAAAUCCGAGAACAUAAAAAUCAAGAAAAAAAUAAAACAAAUUGAAUCAGAAAUAUGUUCUACUAUCCCAAAUGCAUUUUGGUAUAGAAAGAAAUAUAUCGUUUCUUUACCAUAUAUUUCUAAUUUUAAUGAAUCAAGAAUCGCCACAAAAUCAAGACCAAUUCAAAUGAAUAAAGAAUUACUUGAUUAUUGUGUCAGAGAAAAAUUUAAUUCAUCCCAGUAAAUCACCUUGGAGUUGUUCAGCAUUUUAUGUCAACAAUCAAAGUGAAGUAGAAAGGGGUGCUCCAAGAUUAGUUAUUAACUACAAGCCUUUAAACAAAAUUUUUCAAUGGGUUAGACAUUUUUUGUCUCCAUAGAAAAAUUUAUUAAAUAGACUUCUUAAAACACUAAUAAUUUUCAAAAUUUUGAUUUUAAAUCCAGUCUUUAGCAAAUCCAAAUUGCUGAACAUGAUAAAUACAAAACUGUACUCAAUGUUCUAUUUGGACAAUAUGAAUGGAAUGUAACGCUAUUUGGAUUAAAGAGUGCUCUUUCAGAAUUCCAAAAAAUCAUGAAUGAUAUUUUUAAUCCAUAUCAAAUCUUUUUCAAUUGUUUAUAUUGACGAUGUUCUAAUUUAGUCAGAUGGUUUAGAACAACAUUUUAGAUAUUUAAAUGUCUUAUUCAAUAUAAUAAAGUCAAAUGGAUUUGCAAUUUCUACUAAGACAAUAAUUUUUUGUCCAACUAAAAUUAUAUUUUUAGGAUGUGAAAUUUAUCAAGGAACUAUUAUUCCAAUCCAGAGAGGCGUAGAAUUUUCAAAUAAAUUCUAGGUGAUAUUUUGGACAAAACUAGUCUUCAACAAUUUUUAGGAUGUGUCAAUUAUGUGGCCGACUUUGUACAAAACAUUAUGCAAAUAUUUGAACCCCUUUAUCAUAGACAUAGAAAAAUCUCACAAGGUGGAGUCAAGAACAUACAAUAGUAGUCAAGACCAUUAAGGAAGCCGUAAAAACUCUAUGUCUCAGUAUUGUAAAUUCAAAUGCCCUCCUCACCGUAGAAACCAAUGCUUCUUAGACAUAGGAUAUGGAAGAAUUUUCAAACAAGAAACUCAUGAUCAAGAACAAUUACUUCAAUAGCAUUCAAGAAUAUGGAUUGGUGCUCAAAAGAACUAUUCUAUUGUCAAAAAUGAAAUUUUAUCAAUAGUACUAUAUAUUACCAAAUUUCAAGACGAUCUUACCAAUAAAUCAUUUCUUGCCAAAAGGGACUAUAAAGCUUUAAAAGAUUUUUUUGCAAAAAGGUGUGAUGAAACUUAUCUCAAAACAAAUCCUUGUAAGGUGGGAAGCUAUUUUUUCAUGUUUUGAUUUUGAAAUCCAAUUUUACAUGAAAAAUCUAAUGUUUUACCAGAUUUUUGUACAAUAGAAUCCUUGCAAGGUAAGUGUAAGUGUUAUGCCCUAAAUCCAAUCGAUUUAGGUUGUAAACACUUUUAAUAUGUUUAAUGCAUUUAAUUUUGGCAAGAUCUAUUAUUUAUUUAAAUUAAUUUUGUGAUAAAUAAAAUUAAAUAAUAGAAUCCGAAGAUCCAAAUUUAAGUGAUUUGUUAAUCACAAGGAGUUGUGAUUGUGAGAUACAAAUUACAUAUGAUUGGAUCUUGAAUAAAUCGUGGUCAUAAGUAAUGACGAGAUACGGAUAUCGUUAAUACAGUUAGACCAUCACGUGUGGCAUUUCUAACUUGUGAAGUAAGUAGCUGAUCUUACGAGCUAAAGUGUGGUGACACUUAAAUGAACACGUGGAUAUUUUGUUAUAGAACAAAAUAUUGGAGAUCCGCUAGGAGAUUCCACAUAAAUAACUAUCUAAUCAAUGGUUAAUCUCUAACGUUCGGUAGUGGAAUUGGUCCUAUGACUUGAGGUCAUCAUAGUGCCUUGUAUGAAGACAGUCAUACUUUGACGGUGUUGGAUGUUGCUUUGCUAAAUGCCGCUAAUACGACAUCGUUCGGAUAUGUUAAGAACCAUAUGAAGGUUGUGAAUGACCAACAGAGAAUUCGUCACUCUUAGAAAGUAAGAGAUUGUGAUCUGCAUUUCGUUCAAUUAAGUCAAUAACGAAAUCCUUGGCCAAGGUAUACAUAUAAGUCGAAAAGGAGUUUUCGACUCAUAUUGACUUAAUAGUAGAAUGAAAGAUAUAAUCGAUAAUCAGGAUUGAUACACUUCCAUAUCUCAUAGUUGAUUGGAUCAUAUUGAUGAAGGGAUUAUAAUUUCAUGGUAAACGAACAGUUUUGGUUUUGUCAUACCACGUGACAUUUCCCGUCACAUGUGUUGCCCUGAUACAUUGCUAGAUGUCAAUCUGGGAUGGCGAGUGUGAAUUUAUGAUAAAUUAAAAGGGUGUUUAAUUUAUCAGUUUUGAUUAGAUCAAAAUAAUAUUUCACGUCGUUAGGCAUCGUGGUCGAGAACCUAAUGGGUCGCACAUAAAAGAGAAUUGGAAGAUUGCAAACUGUCAAUUAAUUAAUUUGACAAUCUUUGGAUAAAUUAAUUAGUUGGAUUGGUUAUUUAUAUCCCCGAAUUAAUUAAUUGAAUUAAUUAAUUUACGGAGCGGAUUUAAUUAAAUAUUGGACCAGACCGAGCCGAACCCGUUUGGGUUUAUAUAAAUAUAUGGUUAGGGUUUAAGAUCCAUAAGGUUUUCAUCAUUCUUGCUGGCACAAGAGGAAAAAUCCUAGCAGUUGUAGUCUAUUUUCUAUGUGUAUUUCAUUGGAGGCUGGAUAAUUGGACAGCUGUGGGAGGUAGAUUCAAGUUAUUGAAAAAGAAUAACGCAAAGGAGUUUGCAAAAUCAAGAAAAAGGUAUAUUUCUCAUCACAGUUCUUAUCUAAAUACAAAGCUAAAUCCUGAAUGAGAAUUGAAAUUGUUUAAUUUCGCUAUGCAUGUUUAAGUAAAUUCCCAACAGUGGUAUCAAAGCCAACUUUGUAUUUGUUAGGAAUUGAUUUACAUAUUGAUUAAAUUAAAAGUUGAUUUAAUCAUGUUUAUCCAUGAAUCUAGCAAUUGUAGUUUUAAUUUUAUUUCUUCAGAAUCUGAUUUUGAAAAAUCAACAAAAAAAAUUUUUUUUUGGGUCGAACGUUGUGGCAACGGGGGGUAGCGCGGCCACCGCCGUGCUAUAGCGUGACAGGAGCGCGCUGCUGCGCCGGAGCAGAGGCAGCAAUGCUGCUACAACAGCAGCACUAAGGCGCUGCUGGCAGCUCCUUAGCGCUACUUGCAGGGCGGGGGACUACGGCCUGUCCCCUACCAGGUAUUGGACGGGGGCGAAGUCGUCAACAGUAGAAGAAAAAAAAAUUAAUUUCUAGGGUUUUGGUUACAGACGGGGGCCUCAGAUGCAAAUUAUGCAAUUACGGGCCCUUGGUUGCAAUUAUGAAAAUGGGGCAGUUUGCAAAAUUUUAAAAAAGGGACCUGUUCUGCAAUUUUUUAAUUUGGAAGGGUCUGAUUUUAAUUUUCAACUUGGGUCAAUUUUAAAUUUCAAAAUGGUUUUGAAUUUGAUUUUUGAAAUGGUUUUAAAAUUAAAUCUUAAAUGGGUUCGACCAAAUAUUUUAAUUUUGACCCAAAUUUAAAUUUUUUUUAAAAAUUAACGACUUUUAUAUUUUGUUAAAAUUAGAUUUUAACUUAAAUAUUUAAUUUUGACCCUUAAUUGAACUUUUAUUUUAUUUGGGAGUUUUGUCCUAAAUUAAAAUAUUAAUUCAAUUUUAUUAGAGUUGGACUCUAGUAUUAUAUUAAUUAAAAUUUGUUUUGAAUUAAUAUCACUUACCAAUAUAAAUUAAAAUUUAGAGUAUGACUCUAAUUUAAUAAUUAAUUAAAAUUUGAUUUUGAUUAAAUUACUUCGCCCAAUAGUUAUGGAAUUAGAGUUGGACUCUAAUUUGGGAUUUAGUUGAAAUUUGAUUUUAAUUAAAUAGGCCCGCCAAUUAAGUUAAUUAAUUAAUAUGAUUAUUAAUUAUUUAAUUAUUUCGAUCCAAAAUUUUAAAUUAGUUUUGAUGACUAUAAUUUGCUAGAUUUAUGAGAUAUUGCAUAUAAUAUUAGAUAUUAUACAUAGGAAACAUUUAUAUGAUGAAUGUUUAUGGAUGAUUAUAGAUUCGACCACAUGGAUGUGUUGAAUGGUUGAUUUACUUCUUGUUGUUUUAUGGGCCUGCGAGCCCUUAAUUGUUUUGGACCUGCGAGCCCAUUGUUAUUAUUGUUGUUAUGGGUCUGCGAGCUCUUUAUUAUAUUGGACCUGCGAGUCCGUUGUUAUUAUUAUUAUUAUGGACUUGCGAGUCCGAUUUCUUUUAGGCCUGCUGCCAACUAGUAUAGGAUACAUGUUACAGUUUGACUAAUUGAAGGCGCAAGAAGAGGUGGACACCAUGGAGAUGGUGCAUUGGUGUUGAUCCAAUGNNNNNNNNNNNNNNNNNNNNNNNNNNNNNNNNNNNNNNNNNNNNNNNNNNNNNNNNNNNNNNNNNNUAAAAUUUAUCUUUUGUUGAGUACACUCAAGGAGAUAAAUUUUAGAGACAUGUUAAGUUAACACAUUAGAUGUUUGAAGACAAAAGAGUUGUCAGUUUAAUGAUCUGGGAGUUGUAUGGAGAUACAAUUGAUAAUAAUAUCUACCCAAAUAUUUUUAUUAAGAUUUGUUAAGUACACUCAAGAUCUUGAUACAACGAAUAAGAUCCCAACCCAUUGGGAAUCAAAUGUGGAUUCAAAUAAUUUAUGUAUGAGGGUCAUGAAUUUAUUUUAAACAGUGGGAGCACUUUUAAUUAAAGUCCAUAUUGAAUUUGAGCAUAUGUAUUGUAAUACAUAUUAAUUCUAUAUUUUUCAUCAUUUACAGUUUUUGAAUCAUGAGUAAUCAUAUGAAUUUGAGAGGUAUACUGGAUACUAACAAACUGACCGGACCAAAUUUUCUCGAUUGGCACCGUAAUUUGAGAAUCAUUCUCUAACGUGAAAAAAUUGGGUAUGUCCUUGAGCAGCCCUUUCCAGUGGUGCCUAUUGAAAAUUUCACUCAGGAAGAUAUGGCUGCUUACAACAAAUACAGUGAUGACGAUAAUACUACAGCAUGUGUGAUGCUUGCAGCUAUGUCACCUGAGUUGCAGAAGCAACAUGAGUGUAUGGAUGCUUACACUAUGAUUUUUCAUCUCAAGGAAUUGUAUGAUGAACAAUCUCGUGUGAAGAGGUAUGAGACCUCUAAACAACUAUACUGGUGCAAAAUGGCAUAAGGAUCAUCAGUCAGUGUUUAUGUGCUGAAGAUGAUUGGUUUCAUUGAAAAACUGGGUUCAUUGGGUUUUAUCAUGAAUCACGAACUAAGUAUUGACUUGGUUCUGCAAUCUCUGCCAGAUAGUUAUUCACAGUUCAUUAUGAACUUCAAUAUAAAUAAGAUCAAAUGCACACUCCCUGAGUUGCUUAAUAUGCUUAAAACUGUAGAGCUCAAUAUCAAGGCUAGCACUGGGCAUGUCUCAACUAUUCAUUCUUCCAAGGGCACUAAGACGAAAAUCAAAGGAAGUUUUAAAAAAAUAUCUAAAAAGUCUAAGGGCAAUAACAAAGCAAUCAAAGCAGGCAAGGACAAUACCAAAUCUGAUGACCCAUGUUAUCACUGUGGAGUGAAAAGUCAUUGGAAGAGGAACUGCAAGGCUUACCUCGCUAGCUUGAAGGGAAAGAAGUCUUCUGAAGCUUCUACUUCAGGUAUUUUUGUUAUCGAGGUUAAUAUGUCUACUUCAUUAGCUUCUUGGGUAUUAGAUACCUGAUGUGGAUCUCAUAUUUGUAUAAAUAUGCAGGGACUAAAGAGAAGUAGACCACUGCAGAAAAGAGAAGUUGACUUGCGCGUGGAAAAUGGAGCAAGAGUUACUGCAUUAGCUAUAGAGACAUACUUCUUACCACUGCCUUCGGGCUUAGUAUUCGAAUUAGAAAUUUGCUAUUUUGUUCCCGCCAUUACUAAAAACAUUAUUUCUAUUUCAUGUUUGGACAUGAAUGGUUUUUCAAUUCAUAUUAAGAACAAUCGAUGUUCGUUUUAUAAAGAUGAGAUCUUUUAUGGUUGUGGUGUGUUGCAAAAUGGAAUUUUUGUUCUUGAUACUGAGUCAUCUAUUAUGAAUAUAGAAAAUAAAAGGCAUAAAAGUGAUAAUCUAAAUAAUACAUACCUCUGGCAUUGCAGGCUGGGUCAUAUUAACAACAAACGCAUUUCCAAGUUACAUAAAGAUGGAUACUUGGGGUCAACUGAUUUUGAAUCAUUUGACAAAUGCGAGUCGUGCCUGUUAGGCGACCAAGUUCCCUUUUACUGGAAAAGGAGAAAGAACCACAGAACUGCUGGGACUAAUACAUACUGAUGUAUGUAGACCCAUGUCAAUAAUUGCCAAAGGUGGUUUCUCUUACUUCAUCACAUUCACUGAUGAUCAUUCCAGAUAUGGUUAUGUGUAUCUAAUGAAAUUCGAGCAUGAAGCACUUGAAAAGUUCAAGGAAUUCAAACUUGAAGUAGAGAAACAAACUGGUAAAAAUAUUCUCACGCUGAGAUCAGAUCGAGGUGGAGAGUAUUUAAAGGGAGAAUUUUUAGAUUAUCUAAAAGAGAAUGGGAUUCUCUCUCGCAGUGGACUCCGCCAUAUACACCUCAACAUAAUGGUGUAUCUGAACGGAGGAAUCGCACUUUGUUAGACAUGGUGCGAUCUAUAAUGAGCCAUGCAAACAUCCCAAAAUCAUUUUGGGGUCAUGCACUAAUUGCUGCGUGCUACACACUCAAUCAUGUCUCAUCUAAAUCGAUCGACAAAACUCCAAAGGAGCUAUGGAGAGGAAAAAGACCAAACUUAUCUCACAUGAAAGUUUGAGGUUGUGACGCUUAUGUAAAACGAAAUGAAUUAGAUAAGCUUGAGGCUAAAUCUGAUAAAUGCGUAUUUGUGGGAUAUCCAAAAGAGAUAAUUGGAUAUUAGUUUUAUAAUCUCGUUGAGAAGGUGUUCAUCUCAAGACAUGUCAUAUUCCUAGAGAAAGACUUUAUUCUAGGAGAGGGUAGUGGGAGCAAACUAGAACUUGAAGAAGUUCAAGAAUCCACAGAUACUGUUGACCAAUUAGAUGAACCUGAGUCUGAUCCUACACCUGUUGACGGAUAGACUCUUGAUCAGGAUGUAGAGAAUCCUGAGGACACUCCAGCUCAGCGUAAAUCAAGUAGGAUCAUUCGACCUCCCAGAAGGUACAAAUUCACGAUUACUAAUCAAGUUUUAUUAGUCGAGGAUGAUGAACCUACAAAUUACACAGAAGCGAAGUCAAGUGUUGACUCGAAGAGAUGGCAAGAAGCCAUGGAAUCCGAAAUGAAUUCAAUAUAUGAGAACAAGGUUUGGACCUUGGUCGACUUUCCAGGUGGUAUAAAACCGAUAGGUUGUAAAUGGGUUUACAAGAAAAAGGUCGAUGUGGAUGGAAACGUUCAUACAUACAAAGUAAGGCUAGUAGUGAAGCGUUACACACAAAGAUAAGACAUUGACUUUGAUGAAACCUUUUCACUUGUAGCCAUGCUAAAGUCCAUUCGGAUUUUACUUGCAAUAACUGCAUACCAUGAUUAUGAGGUAUGGCAAAUGGAUGUCAAAACUGCUUUCCUUAAUGGAAACUUACAAGAGGAGGUGUACAUGACACAGCCUAAAGGUUUUGAAUCCAAAGGAGCCAACAAAGUAUGUAAACUAAAUCGAUCCAUUUAUGGAUUAAAGCAAACCUCUAGGAGCCGGAAUCUUCAUUUUGAUGAGACAAUUAAGAGGUUUGAUUUUAUCAAAAAUGAAGAAGAACCGUGUGUUUACAAGAAGACAAGUGGGAGCGUGGUCGUAUUCCUAAUAUUAUAUGUGGAUGACAUAUUAUUAAUAGGAAACGACAUCCCAAUACUUCAAUCGGUAAAAUUAUGGUUGUCAAAAAAUUUCUCCAUGAAAGAUAUGGGAGAGGCAGCAUAUAUCUUGGGAAUCAAGAUCUAUAGAGAUAGAUCUAAAAGAUUACUAGGCUUAUCCCAAUCUUCGUACAUAGAUAAAAUCUUGAGAAGAUUUAAUAUGGAAGAGUCUAAAAGAGGUUUAUGUCCCAUGUCACAUGGGAUUUACCUCUCAAAAUAUAUGUAUCCUAAAACAUAUGAUGAAAGGAGUCGCAUGGAUAAGAUUUCUUAUGCUUUGGCGAUAGGAUCUAUCAUGUAUGCGAUGCUAUGUACGAGACCAAAUGUUUCAUAUGCUCUAAGUGUUACGAGCAGGUUUCAAGCAAACCCUGGUAAGAAACACUGGAUAGCGGUUAAGAACAUUCUUAAGUACUUGAGAAGGACUAAAGAUGUGUUCUUGAUCUAUGGAGGAAAUAAACUGAAGAUUCAUGGGUAUACUGAUGCCAGCUUUCAAACUGACAAAGAUGAUAGCAAGUCUCAAUCAAGAUAUAUGUUUACUCUCAACAAUUGAAUGGUUAGUUGGAAAAGUUCCAAAUAGGAGACAACCGCUGAUUCAACAACAGAAGCCGAGUACAUUGCUGAUUCUGAAACAGCGGAGGAAGCUGUUUGGAUCAAGAAGUUCAUUAAUGAACUUGGAGUAGUUCCUAGCAUUGUUAAUCCCAUACCUUUAUAUUGUGAUAACAAUGGAGCCAUCGCACAAGCGAAGGAACCGAGGUCUCAUCAACGAUCCAAACAUGUGCUAAGGCGAUAUCAUCUCAUCAGGGAGAUUAUACAAUGAAAUGAUGUAAUGAUAGAGCGAGUUCCUACAGAUGACAAUAUUGCUGAUCCAUUGACAAAGCCGUUGUCACAACAGAAACAUGAUCGUCAUGUGGACGCUUAUGGUAUUAGAUACAUGAGUGAUUGGAUCUAGUGCAAGUGGGAGUUUGUAAGUGUUAUUCCCUAGAUCCAAUUGAUUUAGGUUAUAAACACUUUUAAUAUGUUUAAUGCAUUUAAUUUUGGCAAGAUCUAUUAUUUAUUUAAAUCAAUUUUAUGAUAAAUAAAAUUAAAUAAUAGAAUUUGAAGAUCCAAGUUUAAGUGAUUUGUUAAUUACAAGGAGUUGUGAUUGUGAGAUACAAAUUAUACAUGAUUGGAUCUUGAAUAAACCUUGGUCGUAAGUAAUGACGAGAUACGGAUAUCGUUAAUACAGUUAGACAAUCACGUGUGGCAUUUGUUACUUGUGCAGUAAGUAGUUGAUCUCACGAGCUAAAGUGUGGUGACACUUAAAUGAACACUGAAUAUUUUCUUAUAGAACAAAACAUUGGAGACCCGCUAAGAGAUUCCACAUGGAUAACUAUCUGAGUGUCAGUGUUUAAUCUCUAACGUUCAGUAGUGGAACUGGUCCUAUAACUUGAGGUCAUCAUAGUGCCUUGUAUGAAGACAGUCAUACUUUGACGAUGUUGGAUGUUGCUCUGCUAAGGGCCGCUAAUACAACAUUGUUCAGGUAUGUCAAGAAUCAUAUGAAGGUUGCGAAUGACCAAUAGAGGAUUCGUCACUCCUAGAUAGUAAGAGAUUGUGAUCUGCAUUUCGUUCAAUUAAGUCACCAAGGUAUACAUAUAAGUCGAAAAGGAGUUUUCGACUCAUAUUGACUUAAUAGUAGAAUGAAAAAUAUGAUCGAUAAUCGAGAUUAACAGACUUCCAUUUCUCGUAGUUGAUCGGAUCAUAUUGAUGAAGGGAUUAUAAUUUCAUGGUAAACGAACAGUUUUGGUUUUGUCAUACCACGUGACAUUUUUCGUCACAUGUGUUGCCCUGAUACAUUGCUAGAUGUCAAUCUGGGACGACGAGUAUGAAUUUGUGAUAAAUUAAAAGGGUGUUUAAUUUAUCAGUUUUGAUUAGAUUAAAAUAAUAUUUCACGUAGUUGGGCAUCGUGGUCAGAAAUCUAAUGGGUCGCACACAAAAGAGAAUUGGAAGAUUGCAAAUUGUCAAUUAAUUAAUUUGACAAUCGUUGGAUAAAUUAAUUAAUUGAAUUGGUUAUUUAUAUCCCCGAAUUAAUUAAUUGGAUUAAUUAAUUCACGGACCGAAUUUAAUUAAAUUGAUUAAUUAAAUAUUGGACCAAAUCGGGCCGAGCCCGUUUGGGUUUAUAUAAAUACAUGGCUAGAAUUUAAGAUCCAUAAGGUUUUCAUUAUUCUUGCUGGUACAAGAGGAAAAACCCUAACAGUUACAGUCUAUUCUCUGCGUGGAUUUCAUUGGAGGCUGAACAAUUGGACAGCUGUGGGAGGCAAAUUCAAGUUGUUGGAAAAGAUUAACGCAAAGGAGUUUGCAAAAUCAAGAAAAAUGUAUAUUUCUCAUCACAGUUUUUAUCUAAAUACAAAGCUGAAUCCUGAAUGGGAAUUGAAAUUGUUUAAUUCCGCUGUGCAUGUUUAAGUAAAUUCCCAACAGUAAGAAAUAAAACUCUAUAAAUGGAGAGAGAGCCCGAGAAAAAAAGAAAGGAAAAAAAAAAUUAAGUGCUAAAGGAAAGAGUAAGAAAACUUUUGAUCAAGUUUUGUUACAAAGUGCCAACUCAAGAACAGCUUCAAUGUUUUCGCAAAAACAACUCAAGCAUCUAUACAUUCAAAUUCUCAAGCCUUAUCAAAUUUCCAAUACUUUCCAAGUCUUAGGAAGUUCUCCAAGACAAAAGAUUUCCUAGCUCAAUUUGGACUCUCUUUCAAGCCAGUAAAAUCAUUUGAUAUAUUUCCUCCAAAACCCUCUCAAAUUUCUCAAACAUCAAAAUAAACCAAUUUCAAAAGAGCAGUUUAAACAUGAUCUGAAAAAUUGCUUGUCAUAAUCAGCCUAAAAAAACCCAAAAUUUUCAAUAUUAUACAAAACCAAGAUUUUUACCAAUGAUAGAAAUGGAAGGAACAAGUUUAUUCUCAAAUAUACAAAUUCAGUCAAAAUUACUCAUAACCCAAGCCCUUAAGAAAUAAAUUUUCUAAAAUCAAGAUUAUUUAAGUUUUAACUUAUGAAGAGUCGAGACAGCAUCCAUGGUAAAAUAAGAAGGUUGAUAUUCAAGAAAUGUUUCACCUUCAAGGUUCAAUUAUUUUGAUCAUAUAAUGGCAUGGUACUAAGUGUUUUAUAUUAGAACAGUUUCCCACUCCUAGUUUAUUAUGUUCGAUCAUAAAUGCCGAAGUUCUUUUCAAAAUUGGUGUCAAGAUUGGUUCAUAUUCAUUGGACUUGAAGAAGAGAUACUUACCAAUCUCUUUUCUCAAGGUUUCAAAUAUUUCAAAGAAAACAGAACAAAAUUUUGCCAAAUUCAAGAAUAGCUCCUUUCCAAUUUUCAAUAACUUUUAAAUUAUCAUGGACAUUCUGCUGGGAUUUUCAAAUUGCAAAAGAAGCUGCUUCUGACUAUGCUCCAAAGAAAAUAGUUAAACGUCUCAAGAUCAAGUGGUAGGAAAGUUCUCAAAAACUGAUGUCUGCUCGAAAGCAGUUCAAACAUUGCUUGAUGGUUACGAAUAUUGACAAAAAGAGAUAAACAAGUUUUCUCCAAAGUCAAGAAAAGCAAGCUAAUUUUUUAACAGAAAAAGGAAGCUUAAGUCAAUGUUAGUUCAAUGCAAAAAUAUAAAGGAAUUCACUUAUGUAGCACAACAAUUAGCUGUUUUAGCAUAUUCGGCCUCAAAUGCCACUAAAGCCUCCAAAGCCUGCAAAUUAAGCUCAAGGUCACAAACUAAAGACUAUGCCCAAGACAAUGGAGAAGAUGAUUUUGUUGAUGAUCAAUAAUUCAAAAAUAUCAAAAAACAAUGGAGUAAGAAAUAAUUGUCCUUCAAACUUUACAGCAAGUGGAGAAGACAGCUGUACUUUUAAGUACUUUAAAAGUAGCUUAUUCAAAAAGGCAAGUGACAGAUGUAAUUGUCCUUCAUCCUUCAAAAUCAAAUUGCCAACAACUCUUUUGAAAAGAAGAUGGUCAACCAUCCUUUCAAGAUUCCUUCAAAAAAUUAAUAAAAUUUUCAAGUCCUGAACACCCGAAGACCUCUGUAAGAGGAGAGAAACUCUUCAAGAAGAAAAUCAGAGUGUAAUUUUUAAAAUUUUUCUCUAUGUUGUGUCAUCAGUUCAACAUUUUAGAUUUUCGAUUACUAUUCUUGAUCUUUAUUUAAAGAAUAUUUCAAGAAAAAUUGUAACCGUUCAAGUUGUUACUAUUCAAAAGUCAAAAUUAUUGUUCACUAUUCAGCAAUAUAUGUAAAUUACAUAUGAAAUAAUACUAUAAUAUAUUAAAGGUUGCAUUAAUGAUAGAUAAAUUAUAAGUUAAUUUUAUGUAGCCUCCUUUUAAGUCUAGGGUUCAUUAAUUAAAAUAUAAAAUAAUAUUUAUUACGAUUUUAAUAUAAUUACUCCAAUAUAAAACAAUGACCAUUAUCCUUAAAUGGAUAUUAAAUGAAGAUAAAUUAUAUUAAAUGGUACUAUAUAUAAGAGUAGAAUUGACAUAUAGUUUAAUAUAUAAUGGUAAAAUUGGUAUUCAAAAGUCCUUGUCUAUUCUCACUUUUAAUUUCUAACACGACCUUUUAAGCAGAAACCUCAAAUUAGAAAUCCAUCCAUGGUGGAGCCGUAGUUGCUAACUAGGUAAUAAUAUCAUGAAUUUUCUGAUGGAUGAAUAUCCAAUUAAAAUACACGACAUAAUAUUAACAUUGGCUUACUUAGUUCGAUUGAUUUCAAGGAGAUCAAUAGUCUAAAGGAUAUAUGAAUAAGCAUUUCUUCUUUAAAUAUCAUAGAAUUUCUUCAAAUACAGUUUCAUCUGUUGGUUUUGAUUAUGUGCAAGGAUUGAAAAUGAGGAAAACAAGUGGAUCCUCUGUUAGAAUGCUCAAGGCUCAUGUUAGUGCUUCCUCAUGAUGUGUUCCAAACUAUGGUUUAUAAAUAUUAUAUAAACUCUAAACUAUCAAAAAGGUUGCCACAAAGGUUAUGAGUAAUGGUACUUAUCGUCAUGACGUUAAAUCACUGAUGAUGUGACAACUCAUUAUCCCUCACAUUUCUAUUUCUCUCCUCCCCCUCUCUCUCUCAUAUAAAUUGAACUAUUCAAUCUCAUUAUUACACAUAGACUAUCACAUCAUCAUGAUGAUAAACAACAUUAUUUAAAUGUUAUAGUAAGACGUUUGCUAUUAGCUAAUACUUUUUAAGUUUUUUUAUGUUUGUUUAUGUUGAUUGUAAGUUAAAAUGAGCUAAGAUUUAAGGAUGUAUUGAAAAUCCAAGUAUGGGAAAUAAUUGUCUAACUUCCAUUUACAAAGUAAUGUAAGUACAAGUAGGUCUUCACAUGGUAUAAAACAAUUCUUUACAAGGUCUUAAGUAGUGCUCGAAAAGGUUUUCAAUGUCGAAUGCUAACUUAAAUAGAACAAAACGGAAAACUCAUGUCUUGAGUGAGUUUGUUAUUUGUGCAUAGAGUCAUUUAGUGAGCUCGAUUAUCAUGGUUUUGGGCAAUCACUUGGGUUGGAACAAAUUAUCAUGAUUAUACUUAUUCGACAUUACUAGAAAAAGUUUAGUGAAUAUUGAAAUAUAAUCCCAUAUUAUGGAGAUGAUAUUUUACUCUCUACAAGAAAAUAAUGUUAUUCAUUAUAAGCAAUAAUUAUUAUCGGUUUAGGUAGUUAUACACCUCUAGAUUUAUUGUAUUCAUGAUCACAACUAAUGGUGAAAUAUAGUAAUUCCUAGAAGGCAAAAAUAGAGUUCAGCUUAGUAUCAAAACAAAGCAAACAUAAGAUAGAAGUUAUUUGAUGUUUUAUUUAAUAGUGCACACAAUACCUAGUAACAAGAUGAGAAUGUGAAAGAGAAAAAAACAAGAGAUCAUCUCUUAUUACGCUCACAAUGUUGGAAUAAUUCCAUAUGUGGGCUUCACAUUCGAUUGCAAAUUUUACAGGUUAGAUGUAUGGCUCAUAAUGAUAUUGUGUUUGGGCCAAAUUUAUUAAGUGAUCAAUUGGGUCUUUUACACCUUACGAGUUGUAAUUAAUUUGAUGUGGUAAUUUUAAGUAUGUGAGCCGGAAAUAAAUCCUAAUUAAAAUUCUAGUCGUAAUGGGACGGCUCAAAUUAUUUCCUAUAUAUAAAGGCUAGUUCAUCUCUCCUCUUCAUAUGUUUUAUUGACUUGCCCCAUUGAUAACUGAUAUUUUGUGAGGAGCAAGGAGUAGAAUAUCUUGACUGCUAUUACAAAUAUCAUUCAUAUCAACAAUGGCUUCCGCAUGUAUGAAUUAGUAUUUAUAAAUUUAUUGGAAUGUGAUUAUCAAUUCUUAACAUGGUUAAAACUAAAUUAAACAAUUGGUAUCAGAGCAGCAUAUUAAGAUCGAAAUCCUUAAUGAUUUUUUUUCUUAUCUCACGUUGAAAAACGUCUUCUGUGCAUACAUUAAAAUUAUAUGUAUAAUGUAUAGUUCAUUGUAUAACACGUACGUAGAUUUACGGUUACCAAUGUGUCAUUGGAUUAAUUCCUAUUUCCUUCACGUGGUUGAGUAACCCACAAGCAGGAACAAUAAAUGCUUAUAGUGUCCCUCUCUCUCCUCCUUUUAUAUAAAUGUGUGUGUGUGUGUGUAUAUAUAUAUAUANNNNNNNNNNNNNNNNNNNNNNNNNNNNNNNNNNNNNNNNNNNNNNNNNNNNNNNNNNNNNNNNNNNNNNNNNNNNNNNNNNNNNNNNNNNNNNNNNNNNNNNNNNNNNNNNNNNNNNNNNNNNNNNNNNNNNNNNNNNNNNNNNNNNNNNNNNNNNNNNNNNNNNNNNNNNNNNNNNNNNNNNNNNNAUUUAUAGACAUACAUAUAUAUAUGUAUAUACACAUAUAUAUGUAUAUAUACACACGUAUAUAUAUGUGUGUCUAUUUAUAACCAUGCUAAUUUGAAUCUUCAAUUGAAUUUGUGUGUGAGUUUUUGUCUAUGAUGAUUAUCAAGAAUACAAAAAAAUGAAUAAAAAAUAAAUAAAUAUUUGGUUGAUCAGCGGCAGCAUGUUGCUGCCGCACGGGUUGCAUCGCCAGCAGGAAAGGUAGAUGGGGGCUUCUGUCGUAAAUAAGUAAUCGUCAAACCCCUGUUUACAAUUAUAAAUUGGGGGUUAGGUUUUGUAAAUAAUAAAAUGAGGGCCUAUCAUGUAAUUUAUAUAGUUGAAGGACCUGUUAAGCAAUUUUGGGUACUGGGGACCUGAUUUUAGUUUGAAUUUAGGGUUAAAAUGUAAUUUUCAAUAAGGGGCUCUUAAUUUGAACAUUUAAAGUUUUGACCCUAAAUUUUAAUUUUGACCCAGUUAAAAAUUUUAUUCAGUAAUUGACUCAAUUGAAAUUUAUUAAAUAGUACUAAUAAUUUAAUUGACAACUUUUGUAUUAUUUCAUGCAUUUAAAUGUUGACAUUAUUUGCGCGCUUAAAUUUCAAUUUUUAUAUGCUGACAUAUUGAAAUUUGUUGCCCUGUUUUGUCUUCAAAUCACAUAUAAAUUUUGCCGUUUAUCGAUUAAUGAUUAUGAUUUGUUACAUAAUUAUUGUUUUGUGAUUGUAUUUUUCAUGGACAUUGAGAUGAUUCUUAUUUUCCCAUUGAGAGGGAAAUAUUUUGAAAUAAAAAUGGGCGGUAGCGACAAAAAUGGCACACUCAUUAUUAUUUAUUGGAUUUUCUCUGCAAUAAAUAAAUAUAUAUUUUUGCGCACCAAUUUUGAUUUAUUGCAUAUAAUAUCUUGCCCAAAGGUGUUAUUAAAUGUAAUAUUUUUUGGAAAUGGUAUAAGGCGGUUAACGAAUUUACCUUGGUCUAGAAAUUUCCUUCUGCCCAAAAGUGUUGGUGUUUCAAAAAUCAGUGUAAUUUUGUUAAUUGGCUACAUGAUGUGUUUUAAGAGUACCUUAUAGCAUGUUGUAUUGUCGCCCCAAAGGUGACUUUAUAAUGAUGCAUCUAGGCUCUUACCGUAAUAAAAUUCAUAUGUUUCGAUUUAAAUUACGGAUUAUCUAAUUAAUAGCCCAUAUUAGUUAGUUGGAUAUUACAUCAUCCAUUUGAUUGCAUGCAUUACAUUUGGAUGAUAUUAAGAGUAAUAUUUUAUGUUUCCACAGUUUAUAAUGAUUCAUCUCUUUCGAAUCAAUUGUCUGCUAUUGAAACCUUGAGUGGGAAUAACUAUGUGAUAUGGAAACGAGACGUAGAAAUAAUACUUGGUCUUUUAGGCUUGGAUUUUACAAUGGAGAAAAAGCUUGAGAAACCCACAGAUAUGAAUACUGUUGAAUCUGUAGCCGAGCAUGAAAAGUGGGAAAGGGCUAACAAACAAACUUUGCUCGAAAAUCAUUUAGCGAUCAAUAUCUGAUUCCAUUCUAGGUGCCAUCCCCCGAUAAUGAAAAUGCCAAAAGUUUUAUGGAUGCCAUAGGAGAAAAAUUUAUUGAGUCUGAUAAAGCCCAAACUGGAGAUCUGAUGGAUAAACUAAUGAACAUGAAAUAUGAUGGUACAAGUGGUGUUAGAGAGCAUGUCAUGAAAAUGAUAAAUAUAUCAUCGAACCUAAAAGCUCUUGACAUUCCCAUUGUGGAGCCUUUCCUAGUUUAUCAUGUUUUGAAUAGCCUUCCUAGCAAGUUUAAUCGGCUUUAGGUUGCUUACAAUGCUUAGCGGGAUAAAUGAAAUUUGAAUGAUCUCAUAACAGUGUGUGCCCAAGAAGAGUAUAGGAUGUACCAUGAAACUGUUGAAACUGUGCAAUUAGCCUUUCAGCCAUUGCAGAAUAAGGAGCCUUCUCAUAACCAUAAAUCUAAGUUUCGUAAGGGUAAUAAGUCCCAUCAAAGUGAACAGAAUAAAAAUUUUAGUGGUCCCAAAGGAGUAUAAAGAAAAAUGAUUAAUGCAAGUUUUGUAAAAAGAAUGGUCACUGGCAGAAAGACUGUUUUAAGUUCAAGACUUGGUUAGAAAAGAAGAAGAGUUCUCGAGGUAUUCCCUUGGCCUUAGUUUGUUUUGAGUCUUCUUUAGUAGAUGUGCUUUUGAAUUCUUGGUGGUUAGAAUCGGGAGCUAGUAUUCAUAUUGUGAAUCCCUUGCAGGGAUUCACAAGCAAAUGGAGGCCAAGUGAGAAUGAAGUAAGCUUGAGCGUUGCAAAUGGAGUUCAAGUGAAGGUUGAAUUCAUAGGAGCAGUGAAGUUGACUUUAGAGUCUGGUUUUUAUCUUGUUUUGGAAAAUACAGUUUAUGUACUGCAGAUGAGACGAAAUUUAAUUUCUAUACCGAAACUUGAUGCUUGUGGUUUUAUAUUUAAUUUUGGUAAUGGAAUGGUUAAGUUAUUUAAUGAUUCUCGUUUGAUUAGGAAUGACAUUUUAUGUGAUGGUUUAUAUAAAUUAUCUUUGACUCAUUUUGGUGAUGUCUCGUGUGUUACAAAUGUAUCAAAGAAAAGGACUUUAAUUCGUGAAUCAUCCUCUAUGUUGUGGCAUAAGCGUUUGGAUCAUAUUUCUAAGGAUAAAAUGGAAAGAUUAGUAAAAGAUGAGAUACUUCCCUCUUUAGACUUCUCUAAUUUUGAAACAUGUGUGGAUUGUAUAAGAGGAAAGCUAACUAAAUCUACAAACAAGGGUUCGACUAGGAGUAAUGAAAUUUUGGACUUAAUUCACAUUGAUAUCAGUGAACCUUUGCCUUCCACCAUAUGUGGGAACAAAUAUUUUAUAACCUUUAUUGAUGAUUUCUCACGACAUGGAUUUGUUUACUUGAUUAACGAUAAAUCACAGGCACUUGAGAAAUUCAAAGUUUUCAAACUAGAAGUAGAGAAACAAUAUGGAAAAAGUAUCAAAGAUGUAAGGUCUGACUGUGGUAGUGAGUACUAUGGGAAAUAUAACGAGUCUGGUCAAAAUAUGGGUGAUUUUGCAAAGUUUUUACAAAAGUGUGGAAUAGUGCCCCAAUAUACCAUGACAGGGACACCUGAGCAGAAUGGUGUUUCUGAAAGACGUAAUCGAACCCUAAAAUAUAUGGUUAGAAGUAUGAUGAGUAGAACAAAUUUGCUUGAAUAUUCGUAGGGUGAAGCUUUGAAAACUACUAUGUAUAUUUUGAACAGAGUUCCAAAAAAAGUUGUUGCAAAGACACCUUUUGAAUUAUGGACAGGACGUAAGCUAAGUUUGACUCACUUUAAAGUUUGGAGAUGUCCAGCUGAGGUUAGGAUUUAUAAUCCAUUUGAAAAGAAAUUAGACCCUAAAUUAACUCCUGGCUACUUUAUUGGGUAUCCGGAUAGAUCAAAGGGAUAUAAGUUUUACUGUCCAAAUCGCGGCACUAGAAUUGUGGAGUCCAUUACUGCUAAGUUUCUGGAGAAUGAUUUUGGAGAUAAUGGGAGUUCCACGUUGAGAGAAAUUCUUGUUGAACCUAAUCAAGUUCUUGUUCCAGUUCCUAUUAUAUAUGAAAGAGUUGGUUCUCAACUAAUUGAAGUUGUUAAUGAGAAACAGAGGAACCAGGAGGAACCUCCAAUUCCUCAAACAAUGAUUGAAUUGUUUUCUGAGCCACAAGUUAGGAGGUCACAAAGGAAAAGAAAAUCUGCAUUGCCCAGUGAUUAUAUUACAUAUUUAUUGGAGAGCGAUUUUAAUAUUGGGCAUAUUGUUGAUCCUGUAACUUAUAACCAAGCAUUGACAAAUCUUGAGGCAGAUAAAUAGAUAGCUGCCAUGAAAGAUGAAAUGAAUUCCAUGGAAAAGGAAUAAAGUUUGGGAUCUUGUUGAACUUCCUCCAGAUACUAAGGCUAUAGAUAACGAGUGGAUUUUCAAAAGUAAAUUAGAUUCAAAAGGAAAUGUUGAAUGAAAGAAAGCAAGAUUGGUUGCAAAAUGUUUCACUCAGCGAGAGAGCAUUUAUUAUGUUGAAACAUUCUCCCCUGUUUCGUCGAAAGAUUCUUUUCGAAUUAUCAUGGCUCUUAUAGCACACUACAAUUUGGAGUUUUAUCAAAUGGAUGUUAAGACAAUAUUUUUGAAUGGAGAUCUUUCUGAAAUGGUUUAUAUAAAACAACCUAAAGGAUUUGUUGUUAAAGGAAAAGAAAACUAUCUUAAAACCAGUGGAAGAAAUUUUAUUUUCCUUAUAAUAUAUGUUGAUAACAUUUUGCUUGCUAGCAGUAACUUAGGGCUGCUUCAUGAGACAAAGAAAAUGUUGUCUGCUAAUUUUGAGAUGAAAGAUCUUGGAGAAGCUUCCUAUGUACUUGGCAUUGAAAUACAUCGUGAUAGAAAUCAUGGCUUAUUGGGACUUUCUCAGAAAGAUUAUAUACGACGUGUUCUAGAAAUGUUUAAUAUGCAAAAAUGUGCACCUGGUGAUGUACCUAUCAUAAAAGGAGAUAAGUUUAACAAAACUCAAUGUCCAAGGAAUGAGCUAGAAAGGGAGUCUAUGAAGAUGAUUCCAUAUGCUAGUGUUGUGGGGAGCUUGAUGUAUGCUCAAGUUUGCACUAAUCUAGUCUAAUCUACAACAAGAGCAUUGGAAAGCAGCUAAGAAAGUUAUGAGAUAUUUGAAGAAAACUGAAGGUUAUAUGCUUACAUUACAGCGUACAAAUCAUCUUGAGGUGGUAGGAUAUUCAGAUUCUGAUUUUGCUGGAUGUUAAGAUGAUUUGAAUCAACCUCAUGUUAUAUUUUUACAUUAGCUGGUGGUGCCAUUUCUUAGAAAAGUGCUAAACAGACUCUAGUGGCAUCUUCUACUAUGCAAGCUGAAUUUGUGGCAUGUUAUGGGGCUACACUCCAAGCCGUUUGGUUAAGAAAUUCUAUCUCUGGCUUGAAAGUUGUUGAUUCCAUCUCAAGACCGAUCACCAUCUACUGUGAUAAUAGUAUAGCAGUAUUCUUUUCAAAGAAUAAUAAAAGUUCUGGUGGAUCAAAACAUAUUGACAUCAAAUAUUUGGUUGUUAGAGACAGAGUCAAAGAAUGGCAGACGAAAAUAGAGCAUAUCAAUACAGAGGCGAUGAUUGCAGAUCCCUUGAUUAAGGGAUUUGCUCCAAAAGUCUUUAAGACACAUGUUACUAAUAUGGGUAUUGUGGAAACAUUUGAUAUUUUUAGUUAGUGGAAGUUAUUUAUGUAAAGAACUACGUUUUGGGCUUGAUCCCUUUGCGGGGUACGUAGGCAACCCAUAUGUUUUCGAGUACAGCUCCUUUUGACAAUAGAAUAUUUUUUCCCUAUUCAUGGACUAUUUUGAGCAUGUAUUUGACUUAUGUUUUUUAUUAUAAUAUUAUUAUGAUCUUGAGAUAUGACAUGUAAAGGCAUAAGAUGUGUCUCUUUUGGAGACAUGUGGCUUCAUUUUGAUGAAAAGUAUUAUGAGGACCGAUAUGAAUUAGCACAGUUUUGAUCACAUUUGGUGCUAAGUUCAUACCACAUACUACCACAUUGGUUGGAGGAUGGGAAUCCAUGUCGAUAAGGAUGUUGACAUUUGUAGCUGUGGAAUGAUCUUACAUCGCUUAAUUGGUGUAAUAACUUCUAUGUUCGGUGUUUAUAUUCUUGUUGGAUCGGAUCAUGUUACGUAAGGUUACAUCAUUGGAGUCAUACUUUUGUAGCCACCUAUGUAGUCUAACUCGGGUGUUAAAACUUUGUUAUAGCAAUCAAAUAUUUGCCGAAGUGAGAGAAUGUUGGAAUAAUUCUAUAUGUGGGUUUCACAUUUGGUUGCAAAUUUUACAGGUUAGAUGUAUGGCUCAUAAUGAUAUUGUGUUUAGGUCCAAUUUAUUAAGUGAUCAAUUGGGCAUUUUACACCUUACGAGUUGUAAUUAAUUUGAUGUGGUAAUUUUAAGUAUGUGGGCCGGAAAUAAACAUUAAUUAGAAUUCUAGUCGUAAUUGGAUUACUCAAAUUAUUUCCUAUAUAUAAAUGCUAGGUCCCCUCUCCUCUCCAUAUGUUUUAUUGGCUUGCCCCAUUGAUAGCUGAUAUUUUGUGAGGAGUAAAGAGGGGAAAACCUUGGCUGCUAUUACAACUAUCAUUCAUAUCAACAAUGACUUUCACAGAUAUGAAUUCGUUUUUAUAAAUUUAUUCGAAUGUGAUUAUCGAUUCUUAAUAUGUUAAAACUAAAUUAAACACACAAAUGUCUCAGAAGGCUGACAAAGUAUCUCCUGCUAGAAAAGAAAAUGUUUACAAUCCAAUUGAAUAAGUGAAAAGCAAAUUUUUAGAGAAGCGUAGUAUACCAGCAACAACUAUUGCUCUGUUUACUAGUUUCUAUAAAGUUCCAAAAUUUUCACAAAAUAAAAUUAAUUAUUUUAUAUGCUAUAUAUUUAAUACUUUGGAAAUUUGGGGGCGUGGGGGGGGGACUAAAGUGACAUAUGAAUUAAUUCAAUUUUAUUUGGAUCAAAUAUUUAGAUUUCAAUAGGGCGAAGAUAAGUAUAUUAAUAUUGGAUUAGUUGGAUAGCUCGUAGUUAAUUAUCUAUUUUAAGCCCAAAAAAAGUUUGAUUCGAAUACGUCAGUCCCAAAUUAUUUAAGUUUAAAGAAAUUAUUUGCUUAGUAUUUGAACAAAAUUUGGUUUCCUAACUGUGAAGGACGGCAACCACGUGUGUAUAUGGUUCAAAAGGGGUAAUUGAAAAAGUAGUUUCCUUUUAACUUUCCUUUUCAUGUCCUAUUGAAUAUUUUCAUAUACUAAUCAUUUUCCUCUACUCCUCACAAUUUAGAAUGAAUCGUUAGUUGGCGGGCGAUGAUGUAUAGUUGUAGUCUCAUGAUUUAUGGAACUCAAUAAAAAAAUUAAUUAAAUAUGGUGUAACGUGUCUAUGGUUUUUAUUUUUAGCAUUAUUCAAGUUUUAUUUUUAUGUGAAGUUUGUUAUUUAGGAUUUGGAAUAUAUUUUAUUUGAUUAUGCUUUCUAUAUGUUUUAUUUAAUAUUGGUAUGUUUGAUUUAUUUAUUUACGAUAUGAAUAAGAUAUGGCGUAGGAAAAUUUUUGUUCUUUCCUUUUUAUAAAUGCAUAUAUAAAAUUUUCUGUAAGAAUUUGAGUAAAUUACAGUUACAAAUUUUGUAGAUAUUGCAUGUCAUGUUAUUUAAAGUUUGAAUGAAACUUUUGGUAACGAUUUAAAUGUCUUAAAAAUUAGCUCGUUACAGUUUAAUAUCAUAGCCCAGAUUUUACUUUUUCUUAGACCAUAUAAAUUCUAAAAGUUCAAACUAUGUGUGUCAAGAAAAAAAUCAUUUCGUGAGUAGUGCACGUCAGUGUUCGUUGAACACUGUUCGUGUGAACAGUGAAAAAUGAUUAAAAAAUUUUAUUUUAAAUGAUUAUUUAAUGUAGAUGUGUGUGUGUGCAUGUAUGUGAGUGCGUGUAUCCAAAAUUUAAAAAGAAUGUUAAGGAUGUCGCCUGCAAGUUUUUAAUGCUAUUGUUGUACCAAAAACCAUCAGUUCCCAGCUUCAGACUUCCAAAAAGAUUUGCCCAAUCAAAUGUUUUUUUUUUCGACUGGCCCAUCUACAGCCUCUUUAUAAUUAAAAGCCCACUUAAUAAAAAUUUUCAAAUUCUAGAAGUUAGAAUGUUAGAUUGUAUACCUCAUUUCUUUAAAGAGUUAAAACAUAUAUAUAAUUGAUUAAUUUAAAUUGUCACACGUCUAGUCUAACUUUGCGUGGUAUUUGUUAAAAAAAUAGUUAAUAUAUAUAUAGUAUACCUCAUUUCUUUAAAGAGCUAAAACAUAUAUAUAAUUGAUUAAUUUAAAUUGUCACGCGUUUAGUCUAACUUUGCGUGGUAUUUGUUAAUAAAUAUAUAUAUAUAUAUAUAUAUAUAUAUANNNNNNNNNNNNNNNNNNNNNNNNNNNNNNNNNNNNNNNNNNNNNNNNNNNNNNNNNNNNNNNNNNNNNNNNNNNNNNNNNNNNNNNNNNNNNNNNNNNNNNNNNNNNNNNNNNNNNNNNNNNNNNNNNNNNNNNNNNUCUUAAAUAUAUAAGAAAUUGAAAGACUUUUGGCACUCAACGACCACUAAUUGAGCACCUUCCGACAACUCCAAGCUAUGUAAAGGGGUAAGAAGAGGAGUUUAUUUAAACCUUUACAUAACUUAAAUCUUUUAAUUGCUUGUUUUUACAUUUUGUUAAGACAUGCAAGUUUGUUUUCUAGCUAAAAUUUAUGAUAUUUAUUAUGAGAAUAUAUCUAUAACAUGUUAAACUUAGUACUAGUAUGUGACGGGUGGCUUAAUCUUAAAUUUUAGGAAAUGACACGACUACCCACACGAAUUUGAUGCAUGAUUUAUUGUGAGUAGUACAAGAGCUAAGCAGGCAGAAUCAAGCACCCCACCACAAAAUGCAUCGCCACAGCAGAAUGCACAUCCCUUUGUCCCUGAAGCUGUUUCAGUGGUUGAGCAGUUUCUAACCACCGACUGCCAAGGAGUAGUUAAGAGGUCUGGAGCGCAUAUUUUGACACGUCGCUUGUACGGAUGUACAUGAGGUAUUAUCCAUAGAAUUCAUGUUUGUUGGAGCAGCCAAUCGGUGGUGGGAAUCUGUCUCUCGUACUCGGACUGAAAAACAGUAGCGCAACAUGACUUGGGAGCAGUUAACGAUAAAGUGAUAGUAAAGUAUUUUCCACAGGCUUUGAGAGACUUCAAAGAAUCAGAGUUUCAGCAACUCAGGGAGGUAGACAUGUCACUUCCUGAUUACAAGAGACAGCUUGAGUAGCUCUCAAGAUAUUCCUUGCACUUGGUAGAUACCGAAGUUAAAAAAGAUCAGGACGUUUGAAAAUGGACUGUGACUGGAGAUCAGCAUGAUCAUAAUGUCUUAUCGUUUUACUUCAUAUCAUGAAAUGUUGGAGAUAGCUCAUGCUAUUUCAUAUCAAAUAACUACAUUUAACUAGUAUGCCGAGCAAGACAAGGAGUCAUUGGGAAAAAGAAACUACUACUCCUGUACGGUCAUCAUAAAGGACUCUCCAGUGAAAAUGUCUCCUAUCGGUAUGCUACCACUGAAGAUCGACCCAUCUGAAACACUCAUCUUUUGAAUUGACAGUGAAUAACAGUAGUACGCGCAUUUGAUCAUGUUCGACUGUAUUUGAUUAUGUGAAUUUCUAUGUAUGAAAUUCUAAAAGUUCCUCCUCUAUUUUAUAAGAUGUCCGUCAAUAAUAUUGAAUUGAACAUUAUUUUUCAAUUUUCUAUUUAAUUGUAUUUUGUUUUUCUUAUGUCGACACAUUAUGUCUUGGUGCUAUUUUCAUUCAACGAGCAACUACUGCAGCAUGGCCCUGUUCAUGCAAUUGAAGCCUUAUGGCUUGCUGGGAGAUCAAACAAACCUGAAAAAGUUUAACAUGUGAGGCUUGCUUUUUCUUUGGCUUUCCAAAGAGGUUUAUUUCAAUACUUUGCCAACUAGUACACUAUAUCUCAGAAUCGGUAGCUUCUGUUGGUAAUGUUAAGUAGCUAUAUUGGAGGUCAAAGUGAAAUUUUAGUUGUAAUUUCUACUCUUUCUCAGUUCUUCCGCAUACACGGUGUAAGGCAAGAGCUAAAGCAAAAGUUAAAACAGGUUAGGUAGUAGACUUCUGUCAACACGCAAUUAGCAAUGUUCAUUCAAAUCAUUCCAUAAUUUAUUGAAGCAUUCUCUUUUUAAAGUCACCAGUUAUUUUUAAUGAAGUAGGUCAUUGUGUACUGUAGUUACACUUCAAUUGGCAAAAAAAUUGAAAAUUAUAUGUUUAAAAUAAAAAUCCAAGAAUUACAUAAAUAAAGAUAAAAUAAGUUUGGUAAUAAUUGUAUUUCAUUGAAGUGACAAACUCUUUGUGUUGCGAAAUAAAUUUAAAUACAAGCACAUCUAGUAUUGUAAAUCUAUUGUCAUAAAAUAAUUUAUGCAAUAAUUUUAUAUGUUGUAAAAUAAAAUAUUUGACAUAUAUAAAUAAUCACGAAAUAAAUUAUCCAAUAACUAUAUAUAAUAAUGACGCAACAAACUCUUUAUAUUGCGAAAUAAAUUUAAUUAGAAAAAUCACUUGUUACAUAAUAAAUUUUACUACAAGUAUUGAAUAUCUGAAAAUAAAUUAUAUGUCAUAUCAAAGAAAUUGUAAAUCAUAUUUCAUGACAAACAUGACUUGUUAUUAAAAAUAUAUCACUACAAGCAUGUGUUGUUGCAAAAUAGAAUAGAUAACAAAAGUUAUAUCUUUAACAUAAUAUUCACAACAAACAUUUUCUCACAAAAACAUUUCUGGAAUAAUAAUUGCGACAAACUAACUUGUCGCUAUCUUUAUUUUUCGCGACCUAUAUGCUUUGUAACGACAUUAUAUAUGGCGACAAAUUACUUGGUGCUAUUUUGUAUUUUUGCUUCAAACAAAUAGUGUUUCGAGUUUGUUAAUGUGAUGAAUCAACAAAAGAUUUUGUAAAAAAUAUUUUAUGACUCAUAUAGCACGACAACGUUUGCAACAAAUAUAUCAUCGUCGCAAAAUUAUUUUUGCAACAAAAUAUCUAUUUAUGUGACAACAUUUUUUUGUAGUGAUUUCGGUAUGUUGUUUUAGUGGAUGAAUGCUAAUUUGGGAAGAACAUGUGUUUUGAGUGUGGUAAAUCAGGACACAUUGCUCUCAACUAUACAAAGCCUCUAAAGAGAAAUGAUGAUGAUUAGGAUAAGAACAAGAAAUGGAAGACUCGAGUUUUUGCAUUAAAUCAGCAUGAGACGGAGCAGGAUGCGAAUGUGAUAGCAGGUAUUUUAUUAUUAUUUGAAGCACUUGUCUAUGUUCUUGAUUUUACAUCCUAAGUCGCUAACUCUAACACUAUAGUUACGAAAACAUGUAUUUUAUUAAUGUCUGAUACACUUGUUUAUGUACUUCUUGACUUUGAGACCACAAAUUCUUUUAUCUCGACAUCCUUCGUCGCUAAGUCCAACAUUGCAUGUGCUGCUGGUGAACUUAUACCUUUUAAAGAUGAAAGAUCUUGAUAUUAUUUUAAGCAUGGACUGUCUGAGACACAAUCCAUUAACCAUUCGAUGUCACGAGAAAGAAGUGUUGUUUCAUUGACCAGGAGAGAAAGAGUUUUGUUUCUUUGAAGCAAAGUGCAAGACUCUACCUCGCCUUGUAUCGGCUUUUCAAAUGGAGAAGAUGUUGAGAAAAGAGUCAUGUCAAGGAUUCUUAGUUAAUAUCAUCGGUUUCAAACCUAUAGAAACAACCGUUGAUGAUAUUAUGUUGUCCUAGACUUUGCAGACGUAUUCUGAAAAGAUCUACAGGCAUUCCACAAGAUAGUCAAAUAGAAUUUACAAUUGACUUGGUUUUCGGAGCGGCACCAAUAUCUAAGGACCCAUACCGAAUGACACCAAAAGAACUUCAAGAAAUGAAAUUACAGUUGGAAAAGUUGUUGGAAAAAGGUUUCAUUCAACCGAGUAUAUCUCCUUGAGGUGCUCCACUAUUUUUUGUGAAGAUGAGAGAUGAGAGUAUGAGGAUGUGCAUUGACUAUCAAUAAUUUAACUAUCUGACUAUUAAAAAUAGGUACCCUCUGCUAAGAAUAGAAGAUUUAUUCAACCAAUUAAGGGGUACAACAGUGUUUUCAAAUAUUGACUUGAGAUCGGGGUAUCAUCAUCUAAAGGUCAAGGCAAGCGAUAUACCGAAAACUGCUUUCAAAACUCGUUGCGGACGUUAUGUAUUCACUUUCAUGCCUUUCAGCUUGACCAAUGCUCCAACUAUAUUUAUUGAUCAAAUGAACUGAGUGUUCCAUCGGUACUUAGACCAGUUCGUCAUAGUCUAUAGUCUAUAUACUUGUGUAUUCUAAAGAUAAGAAGCAGCAUGAGGAACAAUUCUGAAUAGUACUCGAAACUUUGAGGAAAGAGAAAUUAUAUGCCAAAUUCAAGAAGUAUUGAUCCCCUCUCCAUUGGAAUGAGGUCGGAAAGACCUGAAAUCAUUGAACGAACAGUUGAGGUUGUCGAUAAGAUUAGAGCAAGAAUAACGACAGUAGAAGAUUGACAGAAAAUUUAUGCUGAUGGUAAAAGAAAGGAUUUGGAAUUUUAAGUAGGGGACAAAGUUUUUCUAAAAAUAGCAUCAUUGAAGGGUGUAUUGAGAUUUAGAAAGAAAGGGUAGUUGAGAUCGCGGUUCAUUGGACCUUUCCAAAUUUUUUAAAGAAUUGGUAAUGUGGCUUAAUGACUUGUCUUACCACCUGAACUCACAAAAGUCCAUAUAGUAUUCCAUGUUUCGAUGCUCAAAAAAUAUGUCUAUGAUCCAAUUAUGUGGUAAGUUAUUAGACAUUGGAGGUACAAAAAGACUUGUCAUAAAAAGAAAUCUCGAUGAUGGUUUUGGAUAGAGAAGUGCACCAAUUAAGAUAUAAACAGGUUCCAUUGGUAAAAGUUUAAUGGCAAAAUCAUGAACUGACAAGUCAACUUGGGAGAAAGAAGAGGAGUUUAAAACCAAGACUUAGAACUUUUUGGUUAGACAAGAUAAUUUUCGAGGACGGGUAUAUUUAAGGAUGGGAGAUUGUAAAAUCCCAAAAUUUUCAUAAAAUAGAAUUAAUUAUUUUAUAUGCUAUACAUUUACUUCUUUGAAAAUUUGGGGGACUAAAGUGAUAUAUGGGUUAAUUCAAUUUUAUUUGCGUCAAAUAUUUAGCAAAAUUUGGAAGCGUGAUUUUUUCAAGUUUCUAUCUUUCAAGAAUUUAUUUGAUCUAACGAGAUAGGAUAACAAGGUACGAUUUUUUUCUCGUUUAAAUUAUUUUUUCAUGUUGUUGAAUUAUUAUAUUUAUGAAAGUUAAAUAUAUGAUAUGAUAUGUCAAUCUAAUACCAAAGAUAUGAUAUGUUUUGAGAUCUUACUAGUCCCCAAGGAUUAUGACUGUAUGAUAUUUAUAACACGUGAUUUAAAUAUUUUUAUUCAGGAUUGUACAAUUAUUUUUGUGUCAUAUUGUUUCCUUUACUCCUCACAGGUUAGAAUGUGUUGUUGGUUAGCGGACGAUGAAAUGCAAUUGUAGUGCCAUGAUUUAUGUAACUCAAUAAAAAAAAAAAUUAAUUAAAUCUGGUGUAACAUGUCUACAGAUUUUAUUUGUAGCAUCAUUUGAGUUUUUUUAUUUCGUGGAAAUUGUUAUUUAUGAUUUGGGACAUAUUUUAUUUGAUUAUGCUUUCUAUAUGUUUUAUUUAAUAUUGGUGGAAUAAAAAAUUUCAUGUGGUGAUGUUUGAUUUAUUUAUUUAAUUAUGAUAUGAAUAAGAAAUGGCGUAGGAAAAUCUUGGUUAUUUCCUCUUUAUAAACGUAUAUAUAAAAUUUUCUACAUGAACUUGAGAAAAUUACCAUUACAAAAUUGUGUACAUAUUGCAUGUCAUGUUAUUUGAAUUUUAAAUGAAACUUUUGGUGCCAUAUUAAAUAUCUUAAAUAGGUCGGUAAUGUUUGUUUCUUCUUCACUUUCUUCUUCAAGUUCACUUUCUUCUUCAGGUUCACUUUCUGCUUCACUUUUACUCUGCCAGUCAAAUAUUAUGACUUUAAGUUCUUCAUUUCCCAUGUCUUCUUGUUCUUCUUGAAUUCUCUUAGCAGAUUCUUUGAUAGCUUCCACGCAGUGAUAUACCUCAAUCAUUAGUAAUGUUGGAAUGUCGCCUAAACUGGUUGGGAUCAUCUUCAAAUGUUUGCAAUAUCUCAAUUCUAGUCGUUGAAGUCUUGGGAAAUGAUCUCUUGUGGUAUUCCACUCUGCAAGUCUUACAUUAGAGAGUUUCAAGAAUUUAAGUUGUGGAAAUUCACCUUCACCAGUGUCCCAUCGUCGUCCAUCAAAGGAAACAUCACGUAAUUUGAGAACCACUAGGUACUCCAAUUUCCCAAUCAACUCCAUUUGUUCCCGAGCCAUGCGUACACGUAUUAAAGUCAAUUGUUUGAGAUUUAAGGGCAGACUGAUCAAAUUGAACGAUGAAUAUCCCAUGUAACGUCGUGAUCUGAGCUUCAAUGAUUCGAGCUGAUUAAGGAAGUCGAAAGCAUAACUGUGUGAAGAUUUAACCUUGCCCUUAAGUCUGCGAAGAUUGGAUGAACAUCUCAAAAUUUUCUCAUCCGCUUCAUCGAAAAUUUGAAGGAAAGAAAUACUUUGUAGGUUAUUUUUUAUUUGGAAGCUCUUAUCCUUAAUUGCUCGAUGACGGAUAGACUCACUGAAGUAUGCACCGCCGUCAAAAUGCACUUGUCUCAAACUCAUCAUAUUAAGGAGGACAUCCGGUAUUUCAACAGCAUCUCGGUUGCGUAGAACAAGAAAUUCUAGUUUGUGGAAGCUAUCCAUUGGUGGAAGUGUAGAUGAAAGUGCCAAGUACCUCACGUGAACCAGCUGGUUAAUUCCGACUACAACAAGAUUUAUCCAGGGACUGCAGAAAUCCAAGACCCUAAGAACUUUGAAGCCGCAUGCAACUAAUGUGGGCACCGUUACAUUACCACAUAAAAGAGAGCGCACAUGUGGGCCGAAAGGUAGUGAGGCAGUAGGAUUCUCCCCAUUGAAGAUACUCAAACAAUGGUGUUUCUGAUACAUCGCCACUUCAUUGAAGUAUGGUAGUGGAUGAGGUUCAUCAACAUUACUGGUAUAAACAUAAUCACGCGUGAUACGAUCAUCAGAUAUAGUCACCAUUAUUAUUACACUAAAAAAAUGUACGAAUAGAGAAGAAAAAAUAAGAGAAAUAGGGAACUUACAUAUUGACAACCUUCAAAAAGUUUUUUUCUUCAGCUAUUCUCAAGCACAUUUCACGCAAUAGAUCAUGAAUCUUGCAAGUUUUGAUUGAACCAUCAAAUUUUUUUCCAGCAACAAGUACCAGGCUCCGAUCAAUGAGUUUCAUCACACAUUCUAGUGCCACAUCCUCUAAACUCUUCUGCUCUUCCUUCUUUAUAUAACCUUCAGCAACCCAUAAUGAUAUCAACUUUUGUAUGUGGAUUUCCUCGUCCUCUUUGAAUGCUCCAAAGUAAAGAAAGCAUGGUUUCAAGUGCAUUGGCAAUUGAUUAUAGCUAAGUUCUAGUAUCUGGGUGUAGUUGUUUGAAUUUUUGGAUAAAUGUGAACUUAAAUUUCUUGCAACUUCUUGCCACAAGUGUUCUUUAUUCUCCAUAUUUGCAAGAACUCCAGCUAUCACGACCACGGCAAGUGGUAGGCCAUGACAUUUUUUUGCAAUCUUCUUCCCAACGUCUAGCAGUUCUUGAGGACAACUUUUACCUCUGAACACUUUCUUUUGUAACAAAUCCCAGCAUUCAUCUUCCGAUAGAAAAGGAAGUGCAUUUAUGACACAAUGAGGUGACACUUUCAAACUUACUUCUUUAUUCCGAGUGGUGAAUAAGAUUCUGCUUCCAGUUGCGUCAUCUGGAAAAAUUCUUUUCAGAUCAUCCCAUAAUUUUAUAUCCCAUAUAUCAUCCAGAACAAUGAGAUAUCGCCUUCCUUUUAAACUUUUGUAAACAGCUUCAGCCAAACUUUCUUCGUCCUCGAUUGCAAUUUGUUCUUGCUUAACAUUUCUUAUACAGCUCAAAAUGUUAAUCAAAAUAUUUUUCUUAUUAUAUGUUUGAGAAACAACACACAAGGCUCGCUCGUAAAAAUGAUAGACUACUGAUGGAUCAUUAUAUAGUUUAUUUGCUAAAGUUGUCUUACCAAUUCCAGGCAUUCCAAAUAUGGAGAUAAUUUGUAAUUGCUCUGUUCCUCUUACAAGUUGUUCCGUAAUUUCGAGUGCAACAACUUUAAACCCCACAAUAACAUCCAAAAUGGGAGUUUCUUCAGAUUGAGAGGAUAAGUGUUCAUCCGGAUAUUGUGCAACUUCUAGCAUUCCAACCACAUCAAUAUCGUUCUUCAUUUCUUUGAUGGCCAUUGUAAUAAGCUGAAUCUUCUCGAUGAGCAGAGGAAUUCUGAGGGCGAGAUACCAAACAGGGGGAAAUGAGUUGAUAAUAUAUUCAACUUCAAAUGCUAUGUCUCUGGUUUUUAUUAUGAGUUCUUCCUGCUCUGCUUCUUGCUGCACAGCUAUACUGGUGAUGGAAGAUCCCAAUAAAAAUAGCUCCUCAUGUAGCAUUACAAUUUGAUCGUUCAGACCAACAAUCCUGUCAGACUUGUUAUUUAUUAGGUCCAUGAGAUCAUCAAGAACGGAAUCAACGAUGAAGAGUGAAACCACACCAGUCUUUGGAGCCAUAUCAAUUGGCAUCUUUGAGACUGUGAUGCAGUGCUCCUUGAUCUUUGAUUUCAAGAGCUCGAACUUUGGUAACAAAUCAGAAAGAGCUAGAUCCACUAUUCCACUCUCCGGGACUCGAUCAUUCUUGGUGAAAACUAUGAAACUUCCUAUCUCAUGGACCAUAGCUUUGAUAUCCGCCAUUGCUUUCUCGGUUUCUUCUACCUCAGUAGUGGUCUGCAAUGGCAUGUCCUCAAGAACGUCGAAAAUGCCAGAGUGCAAGAAACUUACUACGUCGUUGACCACAUUACAAUUUGAUCGUUCAGACCAACAAUCCUGUCAGACUUGUUAUUUAUUAGGUCCAUGAGAUCAUCAAGAACGGAAUCAACGAUGAAGAGUGAAACCACACCAGUCUUUGGAGCCAUAUCAAUUGGCAUCUUUGAGACUGUGAUGCAGUGCUCCUUGAUCUUUGAUUUCAAGAGCUCGAACUUUGGUAACAAAUCAGAAAGAGCUAGAUCCACUAUUCCACUCUCCGGGACUCGAUCAUUCUUGGUGAAAACUAUGAAACUUCCUAUCUCAUGGACCAUAGCUUUGAUAUCCGCCAUUGCUUUCUCGGUUUCUUCUACCUCAGUAGUGGUCUGCAAUGGCAUGUCCUCAAGAACGUCGAAAAUGCCAGAGUGCAAGAAACUUACUACGUCGUUGACCACAUCUUCAAAAUCCGUUGAAUGAAGCCUCGAAUAAGUAAAAGGGGUUUCUUCCUUCCGAGUGGCAAAGAAUACUUCAAAGGCGAAAUACAAGGAAUAAAAGAAACUUCCAACCUCAUUGACCGCAGCUUCGAUAUCUAUCACUACAUUAUUUGUGGGCUGCAAAUGCAUCGAUGUAUCUCCAAGAAAAGUAAUAAGAAAUCCCAGCUCUGUCCGGAGAUUAUGGAAAGCAAUGUAUUCGGCCUUAAAACAAAGGAUGGAUUCUACCAUUCGGAGUAGAAAGUUGAUAAAGGCUGCAACAACUUCAUUAGGACAUGACGAGCUUUGCUGGUUUGGGACAGUGAAGAGUUCUUCAAGCUUUUUCCCACGUGACAAUAGUUGUUGGAGACUGUGUCUAAUUUUUUCAACAUCUUUUGAGUUUCCGAUCGGCUCCGGAAAAUCAACCCUAUCGGUUGAUGGGAGCCCAAGUUGGCAGGACAAAAUUGACUCAUACUCAAGCACGAUUAUAUGGAAACCUAUUGGCCCAGUAAACAAUUUAUCUUCGUCUGGUAAAUAGUACCCCUCUUCCGUGCCCAGGCAGUCUGUACCUGUUUCUCCCUCUCCUGAUGACAUAAGGAAAGGAUGCAAGCGAUUGCAGGGAAAAAAGUAUUUGUGUUUAAAAGCUAAUAGAUUCUACCAAUUGUUUGGAUUAAAUACAAACAUUAAAGAAGCAAGAAAAAAUUUAGUAUAUAGCUUUGGAGCUUGCAGAUCUGAAAAUGGAGUUUGAAACCAGAAUAUGGAGACGACAGAAAUUAGUGCGGGGGAGAGUGGGUUUGAAUUAUUGAAUAUAGUGGAGUACAUAAUUCACACUUUUCAAAUAGCUUUAAAUUAAAAAUGGAUGUAAAGGAAAAAACCACAAACGUCCCAAGCCUUUUCUGUCAUCUAAUAUCUUCACCAGAUUGUCUGACUAUGGCUACCUUAUUAGGAUUGUCCACGUCAAUGCAAUUAUCAAUUUCUUGGAGUGAAUAUAAUGUAAAAAAUAAUCAAUAUCAAUAUUUUGACAAAUUCGAUCAGUAUUAAACAUCGAGAACCUUCCAUUUCAUCCAUAUAUUAUAUACAAAUUCGAUCAAUAAAAGUAAAUAUUUCAAGUCAAUCCCCCCGUUUGAGCUCCAUUAAUUCUUAUUACAUUAAAUUAUAUUUUUUUCUCUCCUACUUUUAAUUCCACAAUUUUCAAUAAAAUAAUAUUACACGUAAAUCAAAUACUUUUCAACCACUCAUUUUUCAAAAAAAUAUAUUAUUCAUCUUAUUAUAAUAUACAAAUAAUGGGGUCAAACGGCUUCUAAAUCUGAUUUUUGUAUUUUUAUUUUUAUAUUUUUUGUAUUAGAACUACGAACCAAACCAAAAUUGAUCGAUUUCUUGAUUUUAAUACUCGGAAUUCAUUAUAACUUGAGCAGAAUUAGACUAAAUCAAUCGAUCCUAGUUCGGUUUUGAUUUGGUCCAAUAAUUUUAAUAACUUUUGCCUACCCUACUUAUAAUUUAUCAAAAUAAACUCAAAAUUGAAGAAAUGAAAAAGAAAAAAAGGACAAAAUUGAAAGAAAAUGAAAAUUUUAUGCAUAAAAUCGUGACCCUUACGUUGUUAUCAAAAUGGGACAAGAAACACAGCUGUAUGAUGACAUUUGUAGCUUCAUCACCGCUAGGCUACCACCCAAAUCAGCAGUAAAUCCAAAGCAGAACCAAGCGUGUCCUCUCCAUCGCCAAGAAAAAUUGUUAGUACAAUAAAGUGCGAAAUUUCUGGGUUGCAACACUAAUUCACAAAUAUGUAAUUAAUCUCAAUGAAUGUGACCGUAGAAACUGUGAUCUAAAUAUGUCUCGACAAGUGAUCAAUAUGAUGCUCACGAUUCGAAAAUCAACAGUAAUUUGCAAUGUAAUUUCUGAAGGAUCGAGCUCCAUGUACAGAGCUCGGUUCACAGAGGCUGUACAUAUUCCCUCACUGUAGGGGGUCGAGUCCCACAGCAAUUUAAAAAAACAGGUGGAGCCCACGUCCAUCUCCUCUUUCAUUUGACAGGGGUUGUGAACUAGGCUCCUGUAGCUCCAUCUUUUUCUAAUUUCUGAAAGUGACUGUAGUAUUCACUUUUUGAAGGUAUACGAAGUUGGAGUAAUUUGUGGGAAAUAUUUUUGAAAAAAAAAAUGUACACAAUGCUUUAUGUCUUAUAAUAAAAAUUAUGGAAUUCUAAUAACCCAUUAAGCCCCCUUUGGCCUCAAAUUUUUCAAAUUAAAAUGGGUUGAAUAGUAUAUUUUGAAAAAUGAGUGGUUGAAAAAAGAAAAAAAAAAUUCGAUUUACAUGUAAUAUUAUUUUAUGGAAGAUUGUGUGAAUAAAAAUAAAAAAAAUAAAAUUUAAUUUAAUGGGGACAAACGGGAGCUAAAUCUAUUAAAAUUAUGUAACUUUGGAUUUUUUACCAGUAAAGAUUAAAGAAGGGCGAAAAUGUCUUCUUGUUUUGAAAACUUACAUAUCCCCAAAUAUUUUGAGACCGAGACAGCCUGUUGAGAUUAUUGAGGGGAGAGAAAGAGAAGUUGAAUUAUUGAACACAUUGAUUGGAGUACAACUCAUCCGAUUCACUUUUCAAAUAGCUUCAAAUUAAAAAUGGAUGUAAAGAAAAUACAAAGAGUAUGUUUGGGCCCGAUUUUUCCAUCUAAAAAAUUAAUUUUUUGACCAUUAUUUUAUUAUUCCAAUCGUUAUAUUUGAUUUCUUCUCUCACAAGUAAACCCCACUUUUUUCCUAACGGUCAAAAAAUCAAUUCUCAAAAUCACUCUCAAAUAGGCUCAAAAAUUAAUUGUGUACAGAGAAUUUUUUUUUACAACAAUCUCUCAUAAAGGUAUGGGUCCUAUAUAAAUAAAUAAUGUUAAAAAAUUAACCCACCCUCCCAUGUGAGGUGUUGGUAAGGUUUCCUGUACACCUAUCAUCACCCAAGAAAAAAUCACAAACAUCCUUUUCAACCACGCCGUUUUCUGGUAUCGAAAUCUGUUUGUGCCCGUUUUAUUUCAAAAAAUGUAUUAUGAAUUAGUGAUUGUUGUUAAAAUAUGUGGUUAAAAAUGAAGGAAAUUUUGUUUAUUUAUGUUUAAUAUUAUUUUAAUGAAAAAUGAAACUAUAAAAAAAUUAAUGUGGGUGACAAACAAAGACAUAAUAUCUCCACUAGAUUGUCUGACUAUGGCUACCACCCAAAUCAACAAUGAAUCCAAAAUCCAAAUCGGAAUCGAGUGUCUCCUCUCCAUCACCAAGAAAAAUCGUCGGUGCAAUAAAGUGCAAAAUUUUUGGUUUGCAACACUAAUUCACUAAUAUGUAAUUAAUCUCAAUGAAUGUGACCGUAAGAACUUUGGUCUAAAUAUGUCUCGACAAUAGUGAUCAAUUUGAUACUCUCGAUUCGAAAUUCAACAGUAAUUUGCAAUGUAAUUCCUGAAUGAGACUUUUUGAAUGUAUUCGAAGUUGGAGUAAUUUGUGGGAAAUUUUUUUGAAAAGAAAUGUAUAUAAGGGCAUCUCCAUCCACAAUACCAUUGCACCAUUUUGCACCAUUUUUUGGUGCAAAAUUGCUUCAACCCAACACCAAACUUUGCACUAGUGCAAAGUGUAAAAUAUCUAUUUUGCCCUUAUUUAACAUUUUCCAAAUAAAUUUGUUGAGAGUAUUUAUAUAAUUUGUGCUAUAUAUUUUUUAAUACAAUAAAUUAUUGCUUUUUUUUAUUAAUAUUAAUAUUAUUUGGGUUUAAAAUAAAUUUUAAAUAUAAGACAUAAUAAUUAAUUAAUUAAUUAAAAGACGAAAACAAUUUAAAAUACAUCAAACACGAUUAUUUAUUAAAGUUAACACAAAGUUGAGUUGGUUGAAGACGAAAAUUGCCAUUUUCAGGAAUUUCUUGUUCUUCAUAGACAAAUCAAGGAUAAAGAAACUCACAUUGCACUUCGAAAUGCAUUAAUCGAUUAUUUGUGGGAUGAACAUAUGAAUUUUAAUAAUUAAAUUGCAAAAAUUUAACGACUUCGUAAUAUCGUCUAUCCAAAUUUGAAAUGCAUUGUACUAUUUUCUAAUGGCAUUAUUUCAUAUUUUCGUUGUUGUAGUAUUUUUAUUAAUUGUUCUAUGUUUUUAAUAUUUAUUAAUGAAUUUAAUCUUUUUCGUAAUUUAACGUAAUUAUUUAUUUAGUAAUUUAUGUAUUUAUGAAAUAAUUAAAUAAAUAAUAUUUCAAAUAAGUAGAUUAUAAAAAAUAAAAAAAGGGAAGAAAUGGUUAAAUACUGUUCAUUUGGUGUAAUUUUGGUGUAAUGGUUGGAGAUGAAUUUUAGUUUGGUGCAAGAUUUGUUGUAUAAUUUGGUGCAAAAUGGUGCAAAAUUUGGUGCAGGUUUGGAGAUAGUCUAAUGCUUUAUGUCUUAUAAUAAAAUUAUGGAAACUCUAAUAACCCAUUAAAUCUAUAAAAUUAAGGAUAAUUUAAAUUUAUAUAACUUUGGAUUGUUUAAUAUUUCCAGUAAAAAUUAAAGAAGGAUGAAAAUGUCAGUUAUAUAUGUAAAGCACCUUUUUGUUAAACUUAACGUAACCCCAAAAUAUUUACAAAGACAGUUAAAAAUAAUGAGAUUUUAAAAAAUUUAAAUUGAAUCAUAUCUUCCAAUCUAUCCUCCAAAUGGAGAGUCAAUUGUUCCAUAGAUCCAUAUCUUAGAUUACUCACUGAAAUUUAAAAUAUUGAGUUUUUGAUCAUCGAACUUAGGUUCAUAUCUUCGAUUGCUCACUAAGAUUUAAAAUAUCGAGUUUUGGCUGCUAAACUUUGAAAAAUAUUGUACAUCAUUCGCUAGCAUAACUUCCGUCUCAAACAUCUAAUAGAAUUGGUGACGUGACUGACAGAAUGCAUACAUGGUGUUUCAUUACACUGUUAAACUUUAGGAUGGUCAAAUUUUGAUCAUUAAAUUUUGAAAAAUGUCUUCUAUUCUCACUGAACUUUGAAGUGGUCGAAUUUUGGCCACCGAACUUUGAAAAACGUCUUAUAUUACUCACUAUAAAUUUGAAUUUAACCACACAUCUAUACAAUAAAAUAUUUUACAAGUAAAUUCAAAAAAUUUCCUAACUUUUCAACCAUAUAUUUUUCAAAAAAUCACUAUUUAAAAACUCGAUCAUCUCAAAUUUUAGUAGCCAAAAUUUAACUAUCUCAAAGUUCAUUAGCCAAAGUGCGAUCACUUCAAAGUUAAAUGAGUAUGGUUGAGUUUUUGUCACAAAACUUAAAACCGACUUCGAUGGUUCACAAUAAAUUUGGAUUUGUUUAAAAUCCGUUGUUAAAAUUUGGAUUUAAUUUUAUUUAACAACAAACAAAUUCAUUGCGUGUUUCAUUAUAAAAUUCAAAUAUCAUAAUGAAAAUAGCUUCAAAUUCUAAACAAAUAAAUUAAAUUUAAAUUUAAUUACUAUAUAAUUCAGUAAUCAUUCCUAGUGGUACGGACAAUGUUUGCAAAGCUGUGUGAAGGAAGUGACUAUUAAUUGCAAUGAAACACACAAUAUAUUUAUCGUAAAAAUUAAAUUAAAUUCGAAUUUUAAAAAAAAAACGAAUUUUAGCCCAUGUUUAAUGGCCAUUAUUUAAAAAAAAAAGUUCUAAAAAUAGUGAUUUUUUUUGGAGAAUGUUAUUUUUUGAAGAGUGUGUAGUUAAAAAGUUGGAAAAAAUUUGAGUUUACGUGUAAAAUAUUUUAUUGUAUGGAUGUAUGAUUAAAUCUAAAUUUAUAGUGAGUAAUAGAAGAUGUUUUUCGAAGUUUAUUUGCCCAAGUUCAACUUUUUCAAAGUUCAGUGGCCAAAAUUCGACCACUUCAAAGUUCAGUGAGUAAUAGAAGAUAUUUUUAAAAGUUUAGUAGCAAAAAUUUGACCUUAAAGUUUAACAAUGUGACGGGGUGCCACAUAUACAUUCCGCCGGCCACAUCAGCAAUUUUGUUGGAGAUUUGAGAUGGAAGUUAUUUUAGUGGGUAACAGUAUAACAUUUUCCAAAGUUCAUUGGCCAAAUCUUGACAUUUUAAACUUAGUAAGCUAUCGAAAAUAUGGAUCUAAGUUUAGUGUCCAAAACUCGACACCUUAAUGAACAAUCGAAGACAUGGACCUAAGUUCAGUAAUCAAAACUCGACAUUUUAAACUUAAGUGAGCAAUCGAAGACAUGAACCUAAGUUUAGUGAUCAAUGGAACAAUUAACUCCCAAAUGGAUGAUUAUUAUACAUUGUGAACUCGACAAAAAAUUAAAAAAAGGUAACUCUUGUGUCUUGGGGACCAUUUUUGAAUAUAUUGAAUAUAUUGGAGUACAGCUCAUACGAUUCACUUUUCAAAUAGCUUUAAAUUUAACAAUGGAUAUAAAGAAAAAGCCAUAAGAAAAGUUCACAAAAGUCUGAAUAUUUCUUCUACCAUUUCUGUGCUAUUUCAUCACAUCACCUAUGUGAAAUCUUAUUUGUGGAGUCCAAAUUAAAAACAAUACAAAAGUUGAAUAAACAAUGUACUCAAAGUUUUAUAUAUUUUUAUUUGUUUGCUCCAUCGUUUCAUUUUUGACAUAAUUUUUUUUUCGUUAUCCGAUGUCCUCAAAGGAUUGUCCCAAAUCAAUAGUAAAUUCAAAAUCUAAAACAGAAUCGAGCGUGUCAUCUCCAUUGUCAAGAAAAAUCAUCGGUGCAAUAAGUGCAAAUUUUUUUAUUUGCAUCAGAAAACGCCUUCAAUGCUAAUUCACUAAUGUGUAAUGAAUUUCAAUGUCUGUGACUUAGAAAUAUAUCUCAACAAUGGUAACAAUGAUCAAUUUGAUACUCUUGAUUCAAAAUUCAACAGUAAUUUGCAUUUUAAUUUCUGAAUGUGAAUGCAGUAUUCACCUUUUGAAUGUAACUUAACAAUAAUACCCCAGUCUCAAACUUCAACAUUGAUCAUUUGCCACUACGCAUUCGAAAUUUAAAGUCGUAGUACUUCAUAAAAAAUUAUGAACACUCUAAUAACCCAUUAAAUCUAUAAAAAUUAAGGAUCAUUUAUAUGAUUUUAGAUUUUUUAGUAUUCCAAGAAAAAUUAAAGAAAGACGAAAAUGUGGGUUAUAUAUGUAAAGCACAUUUUUUAAACUUAUAUAUCGGCCCCAAAUAUUUUGGGCCCAUGAUGGCCUCUUGAGGUUUACAAGAAAAAAUUAAAUUGAAUCAUAUCUUCCAAUCUAUCCUUGAAAUGGAUAAUUAUUAUACAUUGUGAACUCGAGAAAAAAUUUAACGAUGAAAAUUCUUGUCUUCAAAAGUAUCAUGAUGACAAUUUUUUGACGAAACAACCAAAAAAUUAACUUUUUACUAUAGAAAAGUGCGUUGUCAAAAGUGAAAUUUCUGUACUCACAUUGCUUUUGCAAGUAACAUUGGUAUUCUAAUUUUGCUUUCUAUUUUUACUAAAUUUUAGUAGCUUAUAGCUUUGGAGCUUGUAGAUCUGAAAAGCAAAUCAAUACAAGAGAAGGAAAAAGACUACUAAUUAUUGAAGAGGGAGAGAAAGAAUUUGAGUUAAUCAAUAUAUUGAGUACAGCUCAUAUGAUUCACUUUUCUAAUGCCUUUAAAUUAAACAAUGGAUGAAAAGAGUCCCCAAAAAAUAUAAAAAGGGACUAGAUGUAAACAAAAAUAUUGCACUCCUUAGAUGUUCAAAUUACUUUUUGAGCUUUUGUUGAAGAUGUGGAUGCAAUGACGAUGUUCAAGAUGAUUAUUCAUUUUUCUUUACUUGCUUUAAGAAGAAAACUCACCUUCUUACUCGUUUUCACACACACCGCGUGAAAUUAUUGUUGUGUUAAUGUAUGUUUUCAUUCUUAGGAGAAACUAAAAGAAUUUUUCCCAUGUUAGAUUACUAAUAUAUAUUGAUAUCCUCAAUAGAAGUCUCAUUAUUAUGAUGAUUUUUUUUUCCCAUUAUGAUGACCACUUUUACUUGUCGUAAUUUAAGAAUUAAUCAUUUUGUUUUGAGCAUGUAAAGUACUUAAUUUUUUGUUAAAUCGAUCAUGUGAUAAAAUGAACUAACAUACGUACAUGACAAGUUGAUAAAAUAUACUGAGUGUACAAUGUAGACAAACGUUCAACCAUAAAAUUUAAAAGAAAAUAUUUAGUGCUUAUUUGGAUUUCAUUAUACGUUUUUGAAAUAUAAUGUGAUAGAAAUGCAUGAUGUAUAAGUGAGUAUUUGUGAGUCCUAUGAAAUGUAUGGUUAAACUUGAUUUUGACAUUAUAUUAUAAGCACAUUAGAAUGAAAGGCUAAUUAAGAAAUUAAGCCCAAUAUCAACAAAAGCAGCGUUCAUAUAAUUCAUAUAUUCUAUUUUCGUGUAUCAAUGCAAGGCGGUCGCUCCAUACACAUCAAAGAACACAGCAGUUUUCAAGAGUUGAUCGCGGUACUGUAGUGAACAUAUGUAUCAGAUGUCCAAAUUUUCCGCCAUUGCUAUGUCUGCAUAUAAUCUGAUCGCUCCAUCUUUUGCCACAUUAUUUCCGCAAUUUUACAUUGUAUUAUAACAUGUGUCUCAAAUUUUCUUAUGGUUUUGAUAGAAAGGAUAAAUUGAAUGAGUGACAAUUUACCGUCUAUGUAGCGUACCGCCUCCACUCAAAUAUGUUCAUAGAGAAUUUACCAUAUGAAAAUCCUAUUCUUUGGUGGAAUGUUUAGCGUCCAGAAGCCUUUCCACCAGUUUUUUAUUACCACAUUAUAAGAUGUAGAUGCUUGAUGUUGAGAUUGGAUGCCAAUCUAUAAUCUCUAUCCGGACUGAACCGAGAAUUUCCCACUCCACUCGUAGAGCCAAAUAAUCUGAUCGUCACAGGAGAAAGAACUGAUUGAGAUUGCUAGUAUGGCAUCGCGAUCAUUGGCGAAAAAUGGCUUUCAACUCAGCAAAAAUCCCAAACCCCUGGGGAAAUAAAUAAUUCGCUGACCAUGGUUUAAAGGUAUUAGGACGUAGAAUCCAAGAAAUUGUUAGUUCUGAAGUGUUCAUGUAACUACUUAACUCUGUGAGAUAGUCUGCGUUUUGAUUGUCCCGUCUCCUUACAUGAAUACUUGAUGAUCUCUGUAUCCUUUUAUCAUUUCCUGGUGUUAAUUGUUUAUGUAGAACUAUCCCUAAGAGAUUAUCUUGAAAACUCCCUUGACCUGAGGACCUAAUCCUCACGGAAUCCUAGGAUCUCUUGAUAAUAAAUCUAGAACUAAGAUCAGUAAGUGAUUCACUUUGUGUGAUAUUCUCUCUGUGAUGAUUGACUAUUUUUUGGCAUUUGAUAAAUACUUUUUGUAUUUUAUUGUGUGUUGGGUAUUUGGGAAACUCUUGAAUCUAAUUACUUGAUUCAAGAUAUAAAAAAAAAUUUGGCAACAAGGGAAUAUACAAGUAUAAAGCAAUCAUCCUGUAAAAUGCUAUCACAGAGAGCGAUGAGGAGGCUAACAGUGUCAUCAAUACUUUAAGAAGCAAUGAUCUAGAACUUAGAAAUGAUACAGAAACUAAAACCAAUGCUAAGGGGUAAAUCCAAACAUAGAGAGUCUAGUGGUUAGGAGAGUAAUAAUUCUAAUAGUCAUCACCGUAAAAAGAACUGUAGGAGUUAUUUUGGGUGUAAGUCGAAGGCUAAAAAAAGAAAACGCUGUAAUUUUGGAAAAAGAGACAUUAUAUUAAGGAUUGUUAUAAACCUAACAAUAAUUUCAAUAAAAUGAAAUAGAAAUCGAACCAAGUAAUUUUGCCACAACUAGCAACGAGACUCUUGAUGAUCUCUAUGUAGCCAUCCAAGUGGAAGAGACCGAGCGCCUUCCAUUGAUUAUUUAAAUGAAUGGUUACAAGAAUUAGAUUGCACAUUUCAUAUGACAUCCAGAAAGGACAUUUAUUGUACCUAUAAAGAAAUAAACAGAAUGGUAGUAGUUAUAGGAAAUAAUAUAUCGUGCAGAGUUAUAGGAUUGGAAAUAUAAGGGUAAGAUUUGAAACUAGAGAUGUCUGUGCUAGAAAUUGUAAGGAGCACUCCUUUCCAUCAAAAGAGUUUGGAAUAGUCUUCUCGAAAAUAGAGAGCGUUUCUGCAGAUUCUGCAAUGGCUAACUCUGUUAAGGGUAAUUGUAAUAAUCUGUUGCACCAAAAAUUAGCUGACUUGGGUAAUAAAGGGUUGCAAAUGCUGCAAAACAAGGAGCUUUUGGGAAAAAUCACAUAACACAUCUACCCUUUUGUAAAAAUAAUGUCCUAGGAGAAUAGCAUAGAGUCCAGUUUUCAUAUGGCUUGCAUAGAACUUCCUCAAUAUUAGAAUACUUGAGCUUUGUUUUUUAGGGUCCUUCUAGAACAUCCACACAUUGAAGAAACAUAUGUUUCUUAUCAAUAAUAGAUGAUUCUUUAAGAAAAGUACGGUUUUAUUUGUUAAAACUUUAUCUAUACAUUAGUCCAAUUUUAAACCAUUUUACUUCUUUUUCUUCACUUUUAAAGAAAAGUCUGCUCUUCAAAAAUUGACUUUGUUUGAGGUAUAACCCAUGAUUUAUUUCUAAACUUGCAACAAUAUUGAAAAGGCUUAUGCAUCAUAAACAGAAUUGAUGUGAAUACCCAAUGCAAAUUAGGUACAAAUGCAUAAAAUAAAAUCCCAUGGACAAGGCACAAUGCAUUGCUUUUAUUAAAGUAUAAAAUAGGACGAGCUCGUGGGCAAGGCAUCUUUACAAUUUACCUUCAGUCAUCACAACGCAUCUUUUCUCAAAAUUACAACUAUGAAGGAGUUUUGAAUAUGAUAAUAAAUUAUUUGUUGAGAUAUAGUGGAACUGUUAGAAUCUCAAGAUACGGAAACAACUAGCGUGCAAAAUGUUAUAGAGAAAUGUUUACUACUCAAAUAGAUUAAAAUCAUUCAAAGAUGAAUUCAUAAAUCAUUUUUAAUCUUAAUUUUACAGAAUAAAGUAGAACACAAAUUGAAUUCAACACAGUUCGAAUUCUGCCAGGCACUAAUAGUUUAAACAUGCCAUUUACAAAAUUCACAUACUUUAAAAACUCAUUUUUGCUCAAUGAAUGAUCAACAUGCAACUUAAUCAACUUGCUAAGCUCUCAAAUCUCUUUCAAGGUGAUCUGUAUUAGUCCUACGUGUUUUAAAUUAGUCAAGUAUUGUUAAACUCAAUACCUCAAACAGCAGCUUAUGAAAUACAGUAAUUCCUAGAAGGCAAAAAUAGAGCUCAUCUUAGUUUCGAAACAAGGCAAACAUAAGAUAGAAGUUAUUUGAUGUUUUAUUUAAUAGUACACGCAAUACCUAGGAACGAGAUGAGAACUCUUAUUACACUCAAAAAUGUCUCAGAGGGCUGGCAAAGGUAUCUCCUGCAAGAAAAAAAAAUGUUUACAAUCCAAUUGAAUAAGUGAAAGGCGAAUUUUUAGAGAAUCGUGGUAUACCAACAAAAAAUAUUCUUUGUUUACUAGUUUCUUUCUUCUUCACGUUCACUUACUGCUUUACUUUCCUUUUCAGGUUCACUUUCUGCUUCAUUUUUACUCUCCUGAUCAAAUAUUAUGACUUUAAGUUCUUCAUUUCCCAUUUCUUCUUGUUCUUCUUGAAUUCUCUUAGCAGAUUCUUUGAUAGCUUCCACGCAGUCAUAUACCUCAAUCAUUAGUAAUGUUGGAAUAUCACCUAAACUGGGAGGGAUCAUCUUCAAAUGUUUGCAAUAUCUCAAUCCUAGUCGUUGAAGUCUUGGGAAAUGAUCUCUUGAGGUAUUCCACUCUGCAAGUCUCACAUUAGAGAGUUUCAAGAAUUUAAGUUGUGGAAAUUCACCUUCACUAGUGUCCCAUCGUCGUCCAUCAAAGGAAACAUAACGUAAUUUGAGAACCACAAGGUACUUCAAUUUCCCAAUUAACUCCAUUUGUUCCUGUGCCAUGCGUACACGUAUUAAAGUCAAUUGUUUGAGAUUUAAGGGCAGACUGAUCAAAUUGAACGAUGAAUAUCCCACGAUACUACGUGAUCUGAGCUUCAAUGAUUCGAGCUGAUUCAGGAAGUCGAAAGAAUAACUGUGUGAAGAUUUAACCCUGCCCUUAAGUCUGCGAAGAUUGGAUAAACAUCUCAAAAUUUUCUCAUCCACUUCAUCGAAAAUUUGAAGGAAAGAAAUACUUUGUAGGUUACUUUUUAUUUGGAAGCUCUUAUCCUUAAUUGCUCGAUGACGGAUAGACUCACUGAAGUAUGCACCACCCUCGAAAUGCACUUGUCUCAAACUCAUCAUAUUAAGGAGGACAUCCGGUAUUUCAAUAUUAUGACUUCUCAUGACAAGAAAUUCUAGUUUGUGGAAGCUAUCCAUUGGUGGAAGUGUAGAUGAAAGUGCCAAGUACCUCACGUGAACGAGCUGGUUAAUUCCGACUACAACAAGAUUUAUCCAGGGCCUGCAAAAAUCCAAGACCCUAAGAACUUUGAAGCCGCAUGCAACUAAUGUGGGCAACGUUACAUUACCACAUAAAAGAGAGCGCGUAUGUGGGCCGAAAGGUAGUGAGGCAGUAGGAUCCUCCCCAUAGACGAUACUCAGACAAUGGCGUUUCCGAAACAUCGCCAUUUCACUGUAGUACGGUAGUGAGUUAGCGUGAUCCUCCCCAUAGACGAUACUCAGACAAUGGUGUUUCUGAUACAUCACCACUUCAUUGAAGUACGGUAGUGGAUGAGAUUCAUAAUCACUGGUAUAAACAUAAUCACACGUGAUACGAUCAUCAGAUAUAGUUACCAUUAUUAGUACACUAAAAUAAAAAUGUACGAAUAGAGAAGAAAAAAAUAAGAGAAAUAGGUAACUUACAUAUUGAAAAUCUUCAAAAAGUUUUUUUCUUCAGCUAUUCUCAAGCACAUUUCACGCAAUAGAUCAUGAAUCUUACAAGUUUUGAUUGAACCAUCAAAUUUUUUUCCAGCAACAAGUACCAGGCUCCUAUCAAUGAGUUUCAUCACAUAUUCUAGUGCCACAUCCUCUAAACUCUUUUGCUCUUCCUUCUUUAUAUAUCCUUCAGCAACCCAUAAUGAUGUCAACUUUUGUAUGUGGAUUUCCUCGUCCUCUUUGAAUGCUCCAAAGUAAAGAAAGCAUGGUUUCAAGUGCAUUGGCAAAUGAUUAUAGCUAAGUUCUAAUAUCUGGAUGUAGUUGUCUGAAUUUUUGGAUAAAUGUGAACUUAAAUUUCUUGCAACUUCUUGCCACAAGUGUUCUUUAUUCUCCAUAUUUGCAAGAACUCCAGCUAUCACGACCACGGCAAGUGGUAGGCCAUGACAUUUUUUUGCAAUCUUCUUCCCAACGUCUAGCAGUUCUUGAGGACAACUUUUACCUCUGAACACUUUCUUUUGUAAUAAAUCCAAGCAUUCAUCUUCUGAUAGAAAAGGAAGUGUAUUUAUGACACAAUGAGGUGACAAUUUCGAACUUACUUCUUUAUUCCGAGUGGUGAAUAAGAUUCUGCUUCCAGUUCCGUCAUCUGGAAAAAUUCUUUUCAAAUCAUCCCAUAAUUUUGUAUCCCAUAUAUCAUCCAGAACAAUAAGAUAUCGCCUUCCUUUUAAACUUUUGUAAACAUCUUCAGCCAAACUUUCUUCGUCCUUGAUUGCAAUUUGUUCUCGCUUAACAUUUUUUAUACAGCUCAAAAUGUUAAUCAAAAUAUUUUUCUUAUCAUAUGUUUGAGAAACAACACACCAGGCUCGCUUGUAAAAAUGAUAGACUACGGAUGGAUCAUUAUAUAGUUUAUUUGCUAAAGUCGUCUUACCAAGUCCAGGCAUUCCAAAUAUGGAGAUAAUUUGCAAUUGCUCCUUUCCUCUAACAAGUUGUUCUGCAAUUUCGAGUGCAACAUCUUCAAACCCCACAAUAACAUCUUCCAAAAUGGGAGUUCCUUUAGAUUGUGAGAAUAAGUGUUCAUCCGGAUAUUUUGCAACUUCUGGCAUUCCAGCCACAUCAAUAUCGUUCUUCACUUCUUUGAUGUCCAUCGUAAUAAGCUGAAUCUUCUCAAUGAGCAGAGGAAGUCUGAGGGUGAGAUACCAAACAGGGGGGAAUGAGUUGAUAACAUAUUCAACUUCAAAUGCUACGUCUCUGGUUUUUAUUAUGAGUUCUUCCUGCUCUGCUUCUUGCUGCACAGCUAUACUGGUGAUGGAAGAUCCCAAUAACAAUAGCUCCUCAUGUAGCAUUACAAUUUGAUCGUUCAUACCAACAAUCCUGUCAGACUUGUUAUUUAUUAGGUCCAUGAGAUCAUCAAGAACCGAAUCAACAAUGAAGAGGGAAACCACACCAGCCUUUGGAGCCAUAUCAAUUGGCAUCUUUGAGACUGUGAUGCAGUGCUCCUUGAUCUUUGAUUUCAAGAGCUCGAACUUUGGUAACAAAUCGGAAAGAGCUAGAUCCACUAAUCCACUCUCAGGGACUUGAUCAUUCUUGGUGAAAACUAUGAAACUUCCUAUCUCAUGGACCAGAGCUUUGAUAUCCGCCAUUACUUUCUCGGUUUCUUCUACCUCAGUAGUGGUCUGCAAUGGCCUGUCCUCAAGAACGUCGGAAAUGCCAGAGUGCAAGAAACUUACAACGUGGUUGACCACAUCUUCAAUAUCCGUCGAAUUAAGCAUCAAAUAAGUAAAAAGGGUUUCUUCCUUCCGAGUGGCAAAGAAUACGUCAAAGGUGAAAUACAAGGAAUAAAAGAAACUUCCUACCUCAUUAACCACAGCUUCGAUAUCUAUCACUACCUUAUUGGUGGGCUGCAAAUGCAUUGAUGUAUCUCCAAGAAAAGUAAUAAGAAAUCCUAGCUCUGUCCGGAGAUUAUGGAAAGCAAUGUAUUCUGCCUUAAAACAUAGGAUGGAUUCUACCAUUCGGAGUAGAAAGUUGAUAAAGGCUGCAACAACUUCAUUGGGACAAGACAAGCUUUGCUGGUUUGGGACAGUGAAGAAUUCCUCAAGCUUUUUCCCACGUGACAAUAGUUGUUGGAGACAGUGUCUAAUAUUUUCAAUACCUUUUGAGUUUCCAAUCGGCUCUGGAAAAUGAAAUAAAUCGGUUGAUGGGAGCCCAAGUUGGCAGGACAAAUUUGAAAUAUACUCGGACACGAUUAUACGGAAUCCUUUUGGCCCAGUAAACAGUGUAUCCUCGUCUUGUAAAGGGUACUCCUCUCCCGUGUCCAGGCAGUCUGUGUCUGUUUCUCCCUCUCCUGAUGACAUAGGGAAAGGAUCUGUGUCUGUUUCACCCUCUCCUGAUGACAUAGGGAAAGGAUACACGCGAUUGCAGGGAAAAAAAUAUUUGUGUUUAAAAGCCUAAUAGAUUCUACCAAUUUUGGCAUAUAGCUUUGGAGCUUGUAGAUCUGAAAAUGGAGUUUGAAACCAGAAAACGGGAAAGACUAGAAAUUAUUGAGGGGAGAGAGAGUGAGUUUGAAUUAGGGCCGGCCAAAUCUACCGAGCCCAAUCAAAUCAAUUGAAUCGAAUUCGAAUCGAACCGAAUUCGAUGGUUCUUCUCAAAUUAAAUAUUCGAACGGAUAUCUGAAUUGAGGACCGACGGGUACGAUUCGGUUCUCGAUUAUAGACAAAGAACUGAAAAAUCGAACAAGAAUCGAAUCUCUCUAAUUUUUUUUAUAUUGAAUAAAUUAAAUUAUUUUAAUUUUAAUUUUUUCUAAACAAAUUAACAAUUCUUAAAUCCAAAUUUUUGACCCAAUAAUUUGUUUUAUUUCUAAUUUUUUUAAUUUUUGGCCCAAUUACCCAUUUUAUUGUUUCAUUUUUUAGCCCAACAUGAUCCAAACAUGUUUUUAUCAGUGUCUGCCUUAAAAGAUCUACCUUAGACUAUUACUAUCCCUUGUCCGCUAUAUAUGAGACUGAACUCAGCUUCCAUGUUGAAUCUUUAAUAUUGCAUUUUCUCUCCAAUUCCCAUUCCUUUCCUUUUCCAUAUUAUCAAGUCGCCUAUAGUUGAAUCAACUAUACUCAAUGACUGUUAGACUUGUGUGUUGUCCCUUCACAAAGUAAAAUUUUCUCUUACACUUAGUUCUUCCACUAGUUCUAAUACAGAUUAGUUUUGGUAGGUUUGUAUGCAACAUCUAAAUUGGAGAAAUAGCCAGCUGAUCAUGUUAAUAAGAUUAGUUAGCAUUUAGCUUAUGCUCUUUAAGGGUUUUCCAGAAUGUUUUAUUCGUUUCUCUCUGUUUAAUUGGCAAGUCAAGCAAUUGAUGGAUAAUUGAAGUUUUAAUAUUACUAUCUACUCUUUGGUAUUUGUAAAUUGUAAGCAUGGGUAAAUUAAUCUUGUUGGACAACUUGUUAUUUACACGUUAUUAAAUUGGACUAUGUUAAUUUGUAAAACUACGAUUGAAUGCGUCAUUAGUUGUAUUUAUAUAGUGUUGUUAUAAAUGUUAAAAAUUUAAUUAUAGUACGGAACCGAAUGGAACCGAACCCAAACGGUUCCAUAAUUAUAUUUGGACCCGACGGUUCGAUUUACUAGAUACCCAAAAUUUUGGUUCAGUUUGGUUCUAAAGCCCGUGCCCACCUCUAGUUUGAAUUACUGAUAUGUUGGAGUACGGUUCAUAUGAUUUACACUUUUCAAAAAAGUCCCGUUUUGCUCCAUCAAUUUUCAUUUUACUAAUAUUUCAUUUUUCUCUCUUCUAUUUUUAACAACACAAUCUUCUAUAAAAUAAUAUUACACGUAAAUCAAAAAAAUUUCCCUCUUUUUCAACCACCAAUUUUAAUAAAAAACGCUAUUCCACCCAUUUUCAUUUUUACAGAAUGGGGGCCAAAUGGGGGCUAAAUUAAAAGCGGAUGUAAAGAAAAAAAUCACAAACGUCCUACUCAAACAUGCCUUUUCUGUUAUCUAGGGUUUGGGAGUAAUUUUUCACCCCUCAAAAAUUGAUUUUUUGAUCGUUAUUUCACUAUUUUUAGCCGUAAAGUUAGGGAUGGCAAUUGUUCGAUUUCGGUUCAAUUCGGCCAAAACUAUCAUCGAACCGUCAAAUUUUUUGACAUACCAUAACCGCACCAUAACCACGUAAAUCGGUUCGGUUCGGUUCGGUUCAGUUCGUAUCUCAGUUCGACUCGGUUCGGUUCGGUUAGGUUAAUAACCACGAAAAUAAUUUUUUUUCUACAUGUCCAUUCGUCAAAUUGAUAUAAAAUAAUUUAUGAAAAGAGAGUCAAUGAAAACAAAAACACAAUAUUUCAAACGAAAAUGUAAACAUUAUUCCAAAUUUCAAUUGCAAAAUACCAAUUUAACAAACAAUAUAAUGAAUAUAAUAAUACUAAAAUUUUCCUUCAUUCUUGAUUCUUGUGCAUUGUAGUUACUUGAUUUAUGCUCAAUAAUUCAAAAGCUUCAACCUUAACUCAUAUUCAAUCUUCAUUCUUCCCCUCAACUCUUACUAGCAUAGGUCAGCACUUAAAAUUGAUUCCUAUAUAGUAAAUAAGAAAUGUAAGUAGAGAAUACAACGAUACUACCUAAUCUAGAAUGAUUUUAAGAUUUAAAUAAAAAAAUGUACAUCUUCGUCAACUUCCUUUUCACUAAACCUUGUCAUCACUAAUAAAAGAAUGAUUUUUUUAAGCGGGUAAUCGGUUCGACGGCAUAAAUACCAUACUCAUACCGCCACGAACCGAUUUAUUAAAAUCAUAUACCAUAUCCGUCCCCAUUGCACCAUCCCUUCGAUUUUUUUCGCCUCAUUUAGUUCGGUUAACUGCGGUUUUCGAUUUUAACAGUUCAAAUUGUCAUCCCUACGUAAAGUUUGACUUCUUCUCUGAAAGAUGGCCCUCACUUUUCUUCUAAUGGUCAAAAAAUCAAUUCUCAAAAUCGCUUCCAAACGAGCCCCUAAUAUCUUCACUAGAUUGUCUGACCACGGCUACCACCCAAAUCAGCAAUAUAUCCAAAAUCUAAAGUAGAAUCCAGCAUGUCCUCUCCAUCGCCAGGAAAAAUUUUUGGUGCAAUAAAGUGCGAAAUUUCUGGUUUACAUUGCGAAUUCACAAGGCCAUGUUUGGUAGGUCAUGAUUUCCAUGGAAAAUGGUAAAUUAAUUCUACUUUCCCACUUUUGCCAUGUUUGAUGGCAAUUUUUUUCCAUGGAAUUUAUUUUCCAUCUCCUCCCCUCACGCGCCCAUUUUCCUUGUUUUUGGGGAAUUACAAUUCUUAAGGAUAUGGUGAGAAUUGGUUCUCUAGGCAACCCUUUUUUUUUUUGGGAAUGGAAACAAAUUCUAUGCCUAAUUGUAAAAAAAAUAUUUUCCUUAAAUUGACAAUUUGCAUGAAAAACAAAGUCAAACGUACAUGAAAAAAUACUUUUAUUUCAACAUUUUUCAGGUGGAAAGUUAUACUAAUCAAAUACAAUAAUUGACAAUCCCAGCAAAACAAUUUUUAGCCAAUUCAAUUCCUUGGAAUUCGUUUUGUUUUCCACCCAAAUUCUAUCUUUGCAAUCAAACGGACCCUAAUAUGUAAUUAAUCUCAAUGAAUGUGACUGUAGAAAUUGCGGUCUAAAUAUGUCUUGACAAUAGUGAUCAAUUUGACACUCACGAUUCGAAAUUCAACAGUAAUUUGCAAUGUAAUUUCUGAAUGUGACUGUAGUAUUCGCUUUUUGAAUGUGUUCGAAGUUGGAGUAACUUGUGGGAAAUAUUUUUUGAAAAGAAAUGUAUAAAAUGCUUUAUGUCUUAUAAAAAAAAAAUUAUGGAAACUCUAAUAACCCAUUAAGCCCCCAUAUGGCCUCUAUUUUUUCAAAUUAAAAUGAGCGGAAUAGUAUUUUUUGAAGAAUGAGUUGUUGAAAAAUAAUGAAAAGUUUUCCGGUUUAAGUGUAAUGUUAUUUUAUAAAAGAUUGUGUGGAUGAAAAUAUAAGAGAGAAAAAAAUAAAAUUUAAUUUAAUGCGGGCCAAACGAGGGUAAAUCUAUUAAAAUUAUGUAACUUUGGAUUUUUUACCAGUAAAAAUUAAAGAUGGAUGAAAAUGUCUUUUUCUUUUAAAAACUUGUAUCAAUAAAGCCACAAGUACAGAAAAAAUAACAGAAUUUGUACCGACGCUGACUUGGCAAAAUAUAAGUGGCCUGUUUUUCUACUUUUUUCCCCAUCUUCCAAUGAUGUCGUGUCAUGCAUUGUCUAUAAAGUUUUUCUGUCAAAAAAAUAUGUACUUAUAGCAUGAUUCAAAUUAAUAUUUGCUUAAGUCCACUCCUAAAAAGUUGUACUUGUUUGAAAUAUUCUUCAAUAUCAAAAUGGAUCCUUCAAAGGAUCUCGAUGACAAUUUGAAUAUUUUUAACAAGCUUGUUCAAGAUAUUGUCAAUUGUGUUGAGAAUGUGUCUGAAACCUAUAAGGUUAUUAUUUUGCACAAUUCUAUGCAUGAUUCAUAUAGGGAGGUUAAGAAUGCAUUUAAGUAUAGUAGGAACACCUUAACACUCGAGAUAAAAAUUAAGACUGAAAGAUAAGAGGGGUGGUGAGGUACAUAUGAUGAGGAGUAAAAUGAAAUUUAAGCAAAUGAGUUUGGGUAAAACUCAAGAUCAUGGCGACUCAAGUGACGAAGGUGAUAAGAAGAACAGCGGUGGUUGGGAUAAGUCAAGUGGUAAGUGGCAUUAUAGCUGUGGUAAAGCUUGAAAAUUUAUGUGGGGACUGUCUUAAGAAGAAGGUUAAGCAGAAGGUAAAGGUUAAGGUAAGAGGUGAGGCAAAUGUGGCUAUUGGGUCGAGUGACGACCCUAUUGAGAUUUAUUGAGAGUAAACAUGUUACUGCGUGUGUAUCUGUGUGUAACAUUUUUACAUGUUUGUGAUUGCUUAAUUUUGUUGCAUGAUUAUAUGUUACAUUUCAAUAUAUUUGAUAUGUACAUUUGCAUGAAUUUGAGAACAAUCUGGUUACUUGGUACAAUAUGCUUGCAUGUAUAGUGAGCUUAAUAGUAAGUGUGUAGCGUGUCUAUUAGUGAUUUGGAGUAUAGAUGUCAUAGGAUGUAUUGGUGAUAUAUAAUGGCAGAUGUGGAGAGUGAUAUAUAGAUCAUAAGUGAAGAGGUGAUUAAAUGUCAAAUCCUUUAUCUGUAAAGACCCUAAUAAAGUGGAGUGUGAGAGUGACACUUUUGUUAGGUAGAGACCCACUUUUCACUUAUGUUGGGAGAAAUGAGGCAGUAAUAGAGGACUAUCUCGUGGCCUUAUGAUCUAUUGUGAUAUACCAAUUAAACAUGAGUUUCAUAACAAUUUUUACAAAGACUGUCUAGCAUAGAAGCACUCCAAAUGACUUAGACCAACGAAGUUCUUCUCUAGUAUAACCAUGACUAUGAUGCAAAAAGGUAUUACUUCUAGAAAGUGUUUUUAAGCAAAACCAAAGUGUAAAUAUAGAAUGGAAUGAAUAAUAAACGCUUUAGGGGUCCUUUAUAUAGAAGGUGUGGGGUGUAGUUGGAUAAAUACGCCCCAAAAUUCAGCAAUUUCAUGAAGGGAUGCAACUCGUUCCACCGUUCACCUACGACUAAUGUGGCACUCGAGCAGUGGCCAGUGCAUUUUACACACUUAUUUUGAACAUAAAACAUGGAUAAUUGUUGAUAAAAUAUAUUGAAUAUGACUUAAUUCUAUAUAAAUUAUGUUUUGUAUGACAAUAUUCAUGAAUGUGGCCGAAUCUAGGAAAAAAGUAAAAGUUCAGGGACCAAAGUGCAAUUAGUCAAAAGAUGACCUGAAAGACAAAAUGAAGAUGUGAAAAAUUUAAGUAUUGGAAAAAGAAAGAAAUGAGAAAAAGAGGUCAAGAAAUGAGAAAACGAAAUUCAGGGAUUAAAACACAACAUUUGAAAGUUAAUAUAACUGGGCGACUGCCUGAAUUUUCCCUGCGUGACUACCUAGGCAAAUCGCGGCAAAAAAGUUCUGGUUUUCUCAUGUAACUGAAAUUCUUAUGGAAACAAAUAUUGGUCUUUUAAAGCUCCAGGGACGUCCAUAAGGAAGAUGAGAUGCAUUCUAAAGCAUUCAUAAGGGUUUUAAAGCAUAGAAGGAGGCAAGAAACAUGAAGAUCGACCCCAAGACAUGAAGAUUCAAUUUAAGAUUUCUUCAAUAUUCUUUUUGUUUUCUAUUUUCUACCAUGUUAAGCUAGAUUUGUUUAUACUAGGAGAACGAUGAACCGUGCGAUAUAACUUUUUAAUCUUUAGUUUUACUUUCUUGACAUUAAAACACGUUUUUGUAAUUUUAAAGGUUUAUAUGAAUUUAUUUUCUCCAAAAAAAUUUGCACAUGAUUGUGUGAAUUUGGUGGCUUGUUUCAUACAUUCAAAAGAAGGAGAAAUAGGCUCGACAUGGUAUAAAAUGUCAUAAGAUUCGAUAGAGGAUGGAAAUAUACCGCUAUACCUUAUAUGAAUCUUUAAAUAUUUACAAAAAUUUAAACAUUCUUGUAUAUUCACAUCUGUAAUAGAAAUAUAGUCGGGUCAUAAACGAGAGUAUGUUCAACAUUACUCAAGGAGAUUGGUUAAUAAAAUAGGAACAUUGAUUCUUCAAAAUUUUAAUGUGUUGUCAAAGUAUAAAACUAAGUUUAAAACGAAGUAUUGUAUGGGGAUUUAUGAUCCUAGUACUUUUAUCAUUCAUUAGAACUCUUCAACUUGCAUUUAAACACAACUUGCAUUUAGUUAGUUAAAUCACUUAUAAUUGCAUGCAUAAUUUAGUUUAGUUAUAAUUUGCAUCACAACAAACACUCUCAUUUUGAUUGUUUCAGUUAAGGUCACGAUAAUAGAAAUGGAACUAAAUCAAUCCUUUUGGGACAAUAUUUGAACUUAAAAUCUACUUUAUUACUUGUUAACAAACCGUACACUUAUGGUAAUUUUACAUUGAAAUAUAUUUUCGUUAAUAAAUUUUUGGCGUCAUUGCCGGUGAUUGAGUUUUGAUUGAUUUUAUUUACUUUGACACUAAUUAAAAAUUUUUAUUUUAUUUAGUUUUUCAGUUUAUCGAAGUGCUACUAUUGCUCUUCCUUUAUGUCUUGUAUGCGAUGGUCACUUGAAAGUGAAUUGGUUCCUAUUGAUCCAAAAAUUGAAUGCACCUUUCAUCGUAGGCAAAGAGAGGUAAGAGAAGUACAACAAAAAGAGCAAAAACAACAAAUACCAAUGGCUAAUAAGCAUAUUGAGCCAUUGAUUAAUCCUGCAAAUCUAGUAGAUGCAAAGGUAGAAGAUGAAGGAAAUAUGCUACUUGGGGACUUCAUGGCACCAUUAGUUGUCCAAAGCCAAUCUAGCAUUGUAUAUCCUCCAUUUGGGUAGCUAAACUGCCAACUGAAAAUGAAAGUCAUCCAAAUCUUUCAGCAUGGGCAUUAGUUCUUCGGAAUGGCUAAUGAAAAUCCACAUACACAUAUAUCCCGAUUCUUGGAUAUGUGUCAGCACUCAGGAAUCAAGGAAUUUUAGAUGAUGCUAUUAGGCUAAGGUUAUUUCCACAUACUUUUUGAGAUAAAGUACUCGAAUGGCUGGAUUCACUUCCCAUUGCAAGCAUAACUACUUUGAAUGAGCUAGCUCACAAAUUCUGCAUGAAAAUUUUCUCACCAUUUAAGGUAGUGAGACUGAGGCAUGAAUAUCGAUAUUCAAUUAAGGUGAAUCUAAAUCAUUUAAUGAGGUUUGAAAUAGGUUUAAGAACAUGCUAAGGAAGUAUUCUCAACAUGAUUUAGACAAGAAAACCCAAAUCCGAUUUUUCUAUACAAGAUUACUUCCAACUUUCGAAAAAAUAGUAGAUUCAUCAUCCAAUGGUUGCAUAUCCACGAGAACAAUCGAUGGAGCAUUAGAAUUGUUUUAGAUAAUGGCUACUGAUAAGUGCAUUUUGUGCACUUAUUUACGCCACGUUACUAAACUUGUAUGUCGUCAAAUUAGUGAAUUUUACACUUAAUUUGAGUUAAUUUUGUUUGUUUCAUUGACGGACUCUUUUGAAGCAAUUGAAAAGGAAGAAUGAUUAAAUUGAAUGAAAUUGGCAAUUUUGGCGGAUCAAAGCUACACAACUGAUGAGUUUAAGGAUUACAUUACAUUAACUUGGAAGAUUGGAUGACUUGAAGAAGAUAGUAAAUGAAUUGGGCUUCAAUUAGACUUUUAAGUGAAAUCAAAUUAAAUCAUUGAUUACACUUUUAGUUGGGCUCAAAUUAUAGGGCUGACAAAUUGAAAUUUAUUAGACGGCAGCGUUUUCUGGGGACGGCAAUUGGUAGAAGACGUAGAGGAGAAAAAACACAUUGAAGUUGGCUAGAAAGAAAAUACACGCACAGGAGCAUACAAUUGAAGAAGAAGAAAAAACGAGUUGCCUAAUGGAAAUAUAUACAUAAAAUAAGAGGCAGCCUAGGAAAAUUUGGUGCGAGUCAACUAUUGCGGCUGUUGGAGGAAUAAAGGGUUGUUUGUUACUAAAAUUAUAGACGAAUAUACACAAAAAAAAAAGGUAGCAAAGAGGAGAGAGACACAGACACAAAGACUAAAAGAAUUAGUCAAUUGGUGGCAGAUUGUGAGAAAGAAAAACGGCUGAUUUAUUUUGUGAUUCGUUCCAUCAAUUUUUGGUGAUGUCUUUUAACUUUUGAGUGUUUAACUUCGACUCUAUGUUUGGUUAAAUUUUUUUAUUGCUAUGAUGUGAUGAACCCUCGUUAUGAAAUUUUUUUAGUUUGAAUAAUUAAAUUGAAGUUAAAUUUGUUUGAAUAUUUGGAUGUUUAUUAUUGUUUUUCAUACUUUUCAAUUAAUUGGCCACUAGUUGAAUUGUUUGUGGAUUUUCUUGUUAUCGAGAGAGAUAAUAAGAUCAUUAGCACGUAGUACUAAAUAUUGUGAGGUUCGAUAAAAAAUAGAGAUAUACAUCUAUGCUUCAUAUGAUUUUUAUAAGAUGUUCUAGCUCGUUUAAUGCAUUUAUCAUGUUCGCAUCUUUUAUUCAGAGAUAGGAAGGUCGUAUGAGGGGAAUAGAUUUGAUAACUAUCGAGAGAGGUUUUCAAUUAAAAUAGGAACAUUGACCAACAAGCAUGAUUUCAAAUUGUCAAUUUAAACUAUCGAACUAAAAAAUUGAUUAAUAAGGGGGAUUCUACAUCUUAGCAAUAUUUCUUGUGAAGUUGAUAAAUUUUAUUUACAUUACUUUCUAGUUAGUCGAUAGAUUUAAUAAUUUUUAGUUACUACUCGAUUUUGCUAUUCGAUUAAGGGAGGGUUAGCUUAAAAUUGAUCAAACACAUAGUACUCGUGGGUUCGACACUCUACACACCAUUUUAUUACUUGUUCACGAUCUCGCUCACUUGCGGGCAAUCAAACGAACAGCUACUAUUUCAGCCAUGUGGUCCUCUAAGUAGGUAGUUUAGAAGAAAUCACCAGGGGUUUAUGAGAUAGACACUUACUCGGCCUUAUAUGCUAAAAUAGACUACAUAUUUCAUAAGAUAGAAAGCAUGUCACAUUCAACAAAUGCAAUACAAGCAUGGAAACUAAGUUGUGAAGAAUGUGGAGCUGAUCACAGUACAGCUGAAUGCCCAAUUCUAUCACAGGGAAUGAAAUAGGUAGAAUAUGCGUAAUGGGGUCAGCGUUAACAAAACAAUCCAAAUUCAGACACUUACAAUCCCGGUUGGACAGAACAUCCAAGUUUUUCGUGGGUUGAUAACCAAAAUAAUUUCAAAAUCUUAAUAGACCCCAUGGACAAGUUCAGCAUGAGAAGAAAAUUCAAUUGGAAGAGAUGUUUGCGAAGUUUGUGGAAAAGAUUAAUAAAUACAUGGAAACAAAUAACCAAUUCAUGGGGAAGACUGAAACAAACUUUCCAAAAUUAGAAUGUUACAAUUAAGAACUUUGAGAUGUAGGUGGGAUAGAUUGCACUUUUUACGAUGGGAAGGACACCAAGUACUUUGCCAAGCAAUACUGAAGUGAAUUCCGAAUGAGCGUGUUCAACCAAUUACUACAAGAUAUAGGCUUCGAUUACCAGAAAUACAUGUAAAGAGACCGGGUGAAAUUGAAAAAAUGGUGCGUUCUUCUGAUGAGGAGCACGAGAAGCAGACUGACCAGACCAGAGAGACAUCUACCAAAGAAGGUUUGGAUAUAUCACGGGCUAAAGCAACCGCUCCUAUCAAACAUACAAGGCCCUAAUUUCAUUCAUCUAGAGAUUGAAGAAGCAUAAAAUGGAUCAAUAGCUAAUGAAAUUUUUAGAGAUCUUAAAGAAACUUCACAUAAACAUUCCGUUAGCUGGGGCAAUUACUCAGAUAACCCAACUAUGCCAAAUUCUUGAAUGACAUCCUUUCCAACAAAUGCAAGAUGGAGGUGCACGAAACGGUGGAAUGCAGUGUUAGAAUUCAGAAAAAAUUACCUCCAAAGCUAAAAGAUCCAAGGAGUUUUAUUGUACCCUGCACUAUAGGAAUUGCUAUUUUGAAAAAGCUUUAUGUGAUUUGGAUGCUAGUAUUAAUUUGAUGCAACUUUCUAUUUUCAUUUAACUAGGAUUAGGGAAAGCUGAGGCAACUACGUUAACUCUACAACUGGUUGAUCGAUCAUUUACUCACCCAUGAGGAAUUAUUGAAGAUGUUUUGGUAAAGGUAGAAAAACUCGUAUUUCCAGUGGAUUUUCUCAUUCUAGAGAUGGAGGAAGAUAAGGAUGUACCACUCAUUUUGGGUUGAUCUUUUUAGCUACUAAAAAAGCUCUCGUAGACGUAUAGCGAGGUCGAUUAAUUCUAAGACUAGGAGAGAAGCAGGUCUCUUUAAACGUGUUCAAAGUAAUGAAAUAUCCUACUGAGUCAUACAACUAUUUCCAGAUUGAGGUGGUUGACAAAGUAAUUCAUGACACCUUUCAGUUGCAAAAUAUGUCAGAUGCUUAUGAGGCUUGUAUUGUGUAUUCUCAAUCCACUCACACUGAUUUCAGUGAGAUUGAGGUUUGUGCAAUAUAUAUGGAGACAAAUCCACCAUACAUGUGAAAACGAAAUUAUAUUGAAGUCUGCAUUUGUUGAGUUUUAAACGGGUAAUGAGAGAGAGCCAUACUACUUGGAGCAGGGUAAGGUUAAAAUUUGGAAAAAAGUUACAGUAUAGAAAAAAGUCAUAUUGAGCAAACUAAGCAGGACCUCUAAGGCUAUAUUCAAAGUACCACAACAUACUUGUGCCAAACAUCGAGCUUUAGACUAUAAAUCAAGCGCUUAAUGGGAGGCAACCCAUUCUUAUAUCUCUUUUCACUUAUUUUGACUAGCUAUUGUAUUACACGUAUGUUUAGGGAUUGUAUUAGUAUUUGGAGCCAUGGUUAGGAACUCAUGCAUUUAAUGAUUUUUAACAAAAACUGGGUUAAAAAUUGGGUAGUAUUUUAAAAUUAGUAUUAGGAUCAAUUUACUUAGGCUCGUCACUAGCAUUACAUUGAGCUUACAUUGAUGUGAUAUGCAUUUUUAUGGUUGCUCCUAGAUUUCAAUCUUCUUAAUGUCAGAAGAUUAUAGUUCUUUAUGGUGUGAAUACAUUGCAAAUAUUUAAACCUUAUUUGCUAUUAUUAAUAUUUAUUUUAAAUUCUUGAGACAUAAAAUUGAAGCAUAGCAACAAAGGAAAAUGGUGGUUGUCAUGAUAUCUACUAAACGGACUAGCAUGAUCCUCUAAAUAUCCGCAUCUAUCCCGAGGAGCUUUUGAUCCUUACUAGUUCAUUUUGAUUACUUUUACUUUUACUUUGAGGACGGUGUUUUAUAUAAGUGGUAUGGCAUAAUCUUCAUAACACCUUUAACAUUCAUUGAUAUUUGUGUAUAAUUUACUGCUUUCCCUGUGAUCGUAUGUGUGAAAAAAAGGGUAAUUCGAACAAACGUCCUUAUAUUUCAAUGUUAUUGUGUAAGAUGUCCCUACUUUUCAUUUUUUGGCACUUUUAUUCUUACCUUCACCUUUUAUUGCGAAAAUAAUCAUUUUCAUCAAAUUUCUCGUGUAAAAUGACAAAAAGACCCCCUAUUUAAAUAAAACAAUAAAAAAGAAAAGAAAAGUUAAAGAAUAUAUUGCAAUCAUACUCCCAAACUUUUUUAAAAAGUGCAAACGAGUCCACAUAAAUUAUUAAAGGAGUAGUUAGUACAAAACGUCCAUACUUUUCAUUAUUAUAGUGAAAAACGUCCAUAACGUUCAUUUUUUUUUUGACAUUUUUACCCUUAUUUUUAUAUUUCAUUGCAAAAAUCAUUAUUUUCAUCCAUUUUCCCAAUUAAAAGUUGUAAAAUGACAAAUACACCCUCAUCUUUAAAUAAACAAAAAUAAAGAAAGGAAAAAUAAAGAAAAAAUUGCAAUUAUACUCCCAAAAUUUUCAAAAAAAAAAAACUACAAAUAAAUUUCAAAUAAAUAAUUUAAAAAACAAAAAUCACUUUCUUUUUUAAUUAUUUAUUUGAAAUUUAUUUUUACUUUUUUGAAAAAUUUUGGAAAUAUAGUUGCAAUUUGUUCUUUAUUUUUAUUUUUUUUUUACUUAAAAAGGAGCGCAUAUAUAUUAUUUUGCAACUUUUUCUUGAGAAAAUGGAUGAAAAUAACGAUUUUCGCAAUGAAAUAUAAAAUAAAUUUGAAAAUGUCAAAAAAUGAAAAGUAGGGACGUUUUGCAUAAUAAUAAUGAAAGGUAUGGAUGUUUGUUGCUAAUUACCCUUUUAAUAAUUUAUGUGGACUCAUUUUUAUUUUUUUUAAAAGUUUGGGAGUAUGAUUGCAAUUUAUUCUUUAACUUUUCUUUUCUUUUUUAUUGUUUUAUUUAAAUAGAUGGUAUUUUUGUCAUUUUACAUGAGAAAUUUGAUGAAAAUGAUGAUUUUCGCAAUAAAAGGUAAAAAUAAGGGUAAAAGUGCCAAAAAUGAAAGGUAUGUACGUUUUAUACAAUCAUAUUGAAAGGUAAGGACAUUUUGUGCUAAUUAUCCAAAAUAAAAAAUUACAGUCUUUACUCAUUUUUAUUUAUUAUUUUGUUUGCUUAUGUAGGUUUGAUGACCUUGUCGACAAUGAUGUUGAAUACUAGAAUAGGCAUAGACUAGGAACAAUGGAAAAAGUGCAUGACUAGAAUAGCCGAUACUAGUUUAUGUGAAACUUGACAUUUUCUGUGCACGAUACUCAUGAUUUACAUGUUAAGUUGGUGAUUUGGUUCAUUAUUUAGAAAAGAGUUGAACAUAAUAUGUUAUACCUAACAAACCUCUAUUGUACUUAUCCAUAACCCAUUGUUUUGAUGCUUUGAAGAUGGUUGAGCUAUUUUAGAGGAACAUUGAGAUAAGUAGGUCUUCCGUAAAUGAAAUUAUAAUGUGUGGAAUACUUAAAACCAAUGAGACUAAGAUUAGAUGAAAGUUUUCGGUUAGGCGUUGGUUUUGAAAACUAAAUGUCUAAAAGAAAAGCGGCAUAAUAUUAAUCUUUGUGUGAAUAAUACUUCUUUCAAAGUCUUUAUGGCUCGAGCAAGUAAGCUUGUAAGGAUAUUGAAAACCUGGUGCCAUAAAGUCAAUUGAUUUGGGAGUUAUCAGCCUAAAACUCACUACGGAGGUCAUAUAGAAAACAAAAAAGGAGAAGUUGAUAAAAAAAUAUCUUUUCGAGCCUUUAUAACUCAAAUGAAUAAGCCUAUAAGGGUAUUUGAUAACUUGGUGCCCUAAAAUCAUCUGACUUCGGAAUCAUCGGCCUAAAACUCGAUACUUGGACUAGAUAGAAAGAAAAUGAGUGGAUGAUAAAAAAGAGAGAGAAAAUAAGAAUAAGUGAGGAAAGACACAAUCAUAUUGAUUAAGUCCUAAGACAUUCGGUUGAUAAAAUUAUACAUUUAAUGCGAGCCAAGUAGCUUAGUUUAGCCUUAAAGGUUGAAGCAAUCAAAAAUAGGAUAACCUCUACAUUUGGAAGCUUGAAUUUGCGAUAGUAAACUAAGAGAGGGUAAGGAUUAGAAUUAAUUUCAACCUUAGAGUACAAGUUGGGGAAAUUGAGUGAAAAGAAUAAGUUUAGGGGCAUGUAUCUCUCGAGAUAACAAAGGAAAUACUUGACCACUAUGGGUUGGGAGUUGAACCAAUCAUGAGUUUAACAUGUUUACAUUAGUUUACACACACAUCAGGUUAUGCAUAUAAUAGGUGGAGGCCUAUUUGAUUUGGUACUGUUGAAACUAUUCAUUAUGUUGAUUACUGAAUUCCAAUCCUGAGAGAUGUUGGGUUGUCAAAUCAUGUUUUAUGUUGAGUGAAGCUACAUUUUUGUUUGAGGACCAAAAAUAGUUCAAGUUUGGGGAUUUGAUAAGUGUGUUUUAUACACUUAUUUUGACAACAAAAACAGGAUAAUUAUUGAUAAAUAUGUUAAAAUAUGGCUUAAUUCUAUAUAAAUUAUAUUUUGUAGGACAACAUUGAUGAAUGUAGCGGAAUCUCAGAGAAACUAACGAAAGAGGACCAAAAUGGAAGAAAAUAAAAGUUCAUGGACCAAAGUGCAAAUAACCAAAAGACGUCUAGGAAGACAAUGACGAUUUGAAAGAUUUGAAGGCUAAUUUAUAGAAGACAUGAAGUAUUGGAAGAAGAUAGAAAUGAGAAAAAGAGGUCAAGAAACGAGAAAAUUAAAUUCAAGGACUAAAACACAGCAUUUGAAAGUUAAUAUAACUAAGUCACUGCCCAGUUAUAUAGGUCGGAUGACUGCCAAACCACGAAGAACAAAUACCAAGGCUUAAAGUUUAGCUUGGAAGACGGUGACGAAAAAAUUUUGAUUUUCUUAUCUGACAGAAAUUCUUAUAGAAAUAAAUCUUGAUGUUAGGUCUAAUUGUUUUUGGCAAUUUUGUGAACAAAAAGGGUCAAAUUGAAACAGUGUUGAAGUCGAAGAGUAAUGUGCAAUAUUGUAAAAAGUUGUUCGUAGGUUAGGGUUUAAUGUUAAAAUAAAGAAGGAAGGAAGGCUUGUUGCAUUUUCGCUUGAUUCUCGUCAACACACCGCUCGAGAGGCAUAUGCAGAGAGGACAUCGCUAGCUUCUCGCCAAGCCUUCACUCGAGUGAAAAGGUCAUUGCUAGCUAUCGGUUGACGUCGUUCGAGAGAUAAAUAUUUUCGCAAAACCCUAAUUUUCCUUUUUCGAGAGUUUUAACCAUUCCAAACUACCCAAAACAUCCUAUAUAUAAAAAUCUGUGUUGUUUUCACGAAAAAGCUGGGAUUGUCCAUUAGAGAAAACACUUGCAUUCUUCAAAAUACACAUUCCAUUCUUCAUCAACCUUGGCAAUUGAAAAACAUCAAAUCUGAAAUUCAAACACCAAAAACCAAAAGCUUCCAUGGGCUCUGUUUGAGAUUGAAGAUCGAGGAAGAUGAUUGGAGUUGUGGUCAUUGGAGAACGGGGAGUUCUUAGGGAUCCAUUGGAGAUAGACGAGAUCAAAAAUAGGGAAUUGGUGUAGGAGCACGCAAUCUAGAAGGGCUUUGGGAAUUACAAUACAGAAGAUCAGAAAGAACGUAUGUGGGUCUAGUUUGUUGGUACUGUAAGUUGUGUUCGUUUAUAGUGGAUUCACACUGGUUGGGGCCCCGAGUUUUACUUAGUUUGAGGUUUCUCCAUCAUCAAAUUUUGCGUGUUCUUUAUUUUUCCAGUAAUUUAUUAUACUCCGUUAAUUCAACAUAGGGUAGAUUGCAUGAGAAUUGGACUAGACUAAUUAAUUAAUUAUCACACUGUGCAACAAUUGUUAAUUGAAAUUUGGUAAAUUUAGUGCAAACACCUAUUCACCCUUCUCUCUAGGUGUUAUUUGGGUCGAACUGUGUAACUUUCACUUGGAAUAUCUUUAAAAUCCCUAGAGACGCCCAUAAGGAAUAGGGGACGCAGUCUAAACAUUUAUAAGGGCAUUAGAGCAUAGACGGAGACAAGAAACACAAAGAUCAACCUAAGACGCGAAGAUUCAAUUCAAGAUUUAAAUUGGUGAUGUCGUUUCUUCAAUAUUCUUUUUGUUUUCUUUUUUCCACCAUGUUAGGCUAGAUUUGUUUGUGCUAGGAGAAUGAUGAACCAUGUGAUAUGACUUUUUAAUAUUUAGUUUUACACUCUUGACAUUAAAACACGUUUUUGGAAUUUGAAUGAUUUCUAUGAAUUUAUUUUCUCAACAAUUAUUGUACAUUUGAUUGUGUGAAUUUGGUGGCUUGUUUCAUGCAUUCAAACAAGGGAAAUAGGCUCGACAUGAAAUAAAUCGUCUUAGGGUCUGAUAGGAGAUAGAAAUGUACUGCUAUGCUUUAUGUGAAUAUUUAUGUGUUUACAAAAAUUCACGCAUUCUUGUGCAUUCGCAUCCACCAUAGAAAUAUAGUCGGGCCAUUUUUAUUAGAGUAAGUUCAACAUUACUCAAGAGAGAUUGUUGCAUAAAAUAGGAACAUUAAUUUUUCAAAAUACAACCAUCUUGUUAAAGUUUAAAACUAAGUUUAAAACGGAAUAUUGAAUGUGGAUUCGUGAUUCUAGUACGUUUAUCAUUAAUUAGAACACUUCAACUUGCAUUUAAACACAACUUGCAUUUAGUUAAUUAAAUCACUUAUAAUUGCAUACGUAGUUUAGUUUAGUUAUAAUUUGCAUCACAACAAAUACUCUCAAUUUGAUAGUUUCGGUUAAGGUUACGGUAACAGAAAUUGAACUAAAACAAUGCUUGUGGGACAAUAUUCGGACUUAAAAUCCACUUUAUUAUUUGUUAACGAACUAUACACUUUCUAUGACAAUCUACUCAACAAGUAGAAUAAGUUAAUCUAUUUACUUUAAUACUUUGACUUUUGGAUCAAGUCCGAAUAUUUGAUCGACAUUGACACAAAGUCACUUUUCAAAGUUUAUAUUUAACCAAAAUUUCAUUUCUUAAACCAAACUCCAACAGCAUUUGCAAUUGAAUGCAUCUUAACGAUCAAGGGCGGAGCCAUGUUGAGACGAGUGUGGGCAUAUGCCCGCAUUGAAUUUAUAGGCCUAAACCUUUUUUUUUUGGUAUUAUUAUUAGCAACAUGAGGUGGAAUAAAAACAUGUUUUAAUUUACAUGGGUUUUAUUUUUAGGUCCAAACCCAUGAUUUUGUUUUAUAGUUUUAUCAUCAUUAAAUUCAUGACCAAAACUCAAUGUUCGACGUGGGUUAAAUUAUGUCAGCACUGAACAAAUUUCCUGGCUCCGCCCCUGUUAACGAUGAUACCCCCCCUCGAACUUCAACAACGAUUGUUUGCUACUGGAUAUGAAAUUCAAAGUUGGAAUAAAUUGUGGGAUAAUAGUUUGGAAAAGAAACGUAUUUUAUGCUUUAAUAUUUCACAAAUUCAUCUUCAACAACAUAUUCUCCUGAUAAAGUAAUUUUAUAUGUGGAUCCAAAUUUUUUUUCAUAUUUUUUAACAACAUAUUCUUCAAAAAAUCAAUAUUACAAAAUCUAUGCUUCAAAAAAAUUGGGCUUAAACAAACCAUAUAUUUGUUUUCUAUUUUUGCCGAAAUAUUAGGGGAAAAAAAUGUUUGGUAGCUCCUAGUUUUGGAGCUUGUAGAUCUAAAAAUGGAAUUUGAAACCAGAAAACGGAAAAGACUAGAAAUUAUUGAGGGGAGAGAGAGUGAGUUUGAAUUAUUGAAUAUAUUGGAGUACAGCUCAUACGAUUCACUUUUCAAAUAGCUUUAAAUUUAACAAUGGAUAUAAAGAAAAAGCCACAAGAAAAGUUCACAAAAGUCUGAAUAUUUCCUCUACCCAUUUCUGUUCUAUUUCAUCACAUCACCUGUGUGAAAUCUUAUUUGUGGAGUCCAAAUUAAAAACAAUACAAAAGUUGAAUAAACAAUGUACUCAAAGUAUUAUAUAUUUUUAUUUGUUUGCUCCAUCGUUCCAUUUUUGACAUAAUAUUUUUUUUUUCCGUUAUCUGAUAUCUUCAAAGGAUUGUCCCAAAUCAAUAGUAAAUUCAAAAUCUAAAACAUAAUCGAGCGUGUUAUCUCCAUUGUCAAGAAAAAUCAUCGGUGCAAUAAAGUGCAAAAUUUUUUUUUGCAUCGAAAAACGCCUUCAACUCUAAUUCACUAAUGUGUAAUGAAUUUCAAUGAGUGUGACUUAGAAAUAUAUCUCAACAAUGGUAACAAUGAUCAAUUUGAUACUCUUGAUUCAAAAUUCAACAGUAAUUUGCAUUUUAAUUUCUGAAUGUGAAUACAGUAUUCACCUUUUGAAUGUAACUUAACAAUAAUACCCCAGUCUCAAACUUCAACAUUGAUCAUUUGCCACGACGCAUUCGAAAUUCAAAGUCGUAGUACUUCAUAAUAUUUUUAAAAAGAGAUGUAUUGAAUGUUUUAUAGCUUAUUAAAAAAUUAUGGUCACUCUAAUAACCCAUUAAAUCUAUAAAAACUAAGGAUCAUUUACACGAUUUUAGAUUUUUUAGUAUACCAAGAAAAAUGAAAGAAAGACGAAAAUUUGGGUUUUAAAAGAAAAAAUUAAAUUGAAUCGUAUCUUCCAAUCUACCCUCAAAAUGGAUAAUUAUUAUACAUUGUGAACUUGAGAAAAAAUUUAACGAUGAAAAUUCUUGUCUUCAAAAGUAUCAAGAUGACAAUUUUUUGGCUAAACAACCAAAAAAUUAACUUUUUACUAUAGAAAAGUACGUCGUCAAAAGUGAAAUUUUUGUACUCAUCAUCAUCAGCAAUGUCACUGCAAACCUACAUUGCUUUUGCAAGUAACAUUGGUAUUCUAAUUUUGAUUUCUAUUUUUACUAAAUUUUAGUAGCUUUGGAGCUUGGAGAUCUGAAAAGCAAAUCAUACAAGAGAAGGAAAAAGACUACUAAUUAUUGAAGAGGGAGAGAGAAUUUGAGUUAAUCAAUAUAUUGAGUACAGCUCAUAUGAUUCACUUUUCUAAUGCCUUUAAACAAUGGAUGAAAACAGUCCCCAAAAAAUAUAAAAAGGGACUAGAUGUAAACAAAAAUAUUGCACUCCUUAAGAUGUUCAAAUUACUUUUUGAGCUUUUGUCGAAGAUGUGGAUGCAAUGAAGAGUAUCCAAGACUAGACAUGCUAUUCAAGAUGAUUAUUCAUUUUUCUUUACUUGCUUUAAAAAGAAAACUCACCUUCUUAGUCGUUUUCACACAGACCGCGUGAAAUUAUUGUUGUGUUGAUGUAUGUUUUCAUUCUUAGGAGAAACUAAAAGAAUUUUUUCCAUGUUUGAUUACUAAUAUAUAUUCGAUAUCCUCAAUAGAAGUCUCGAUAUUAUGAUGGUUUUUUUUCCCCAUUAUGAUGACCACUUUUACUUGUCGUAAUUUAUGAAUUAAUCAUUUUGUUUUGACCAUGUAAAGUACUUAAUUUUUUGUUAAAUCGAUCAUGUGAAAAAUGAACUAACAUACGUACAUGACAAGUUGAUAGAAUAUACUGAGUGUACAAUGUAGACAAACGUUCAACCAUAAAAUUUAAAAGAAAAUAUUUAGUGCUUAUUUGGAUUUCAUUAUACGUUUUUGAAAUAUAAUGUGAUAGAAAUGCAUGAUGGAUAAGUGAGUAUUUGUGAGUCCUAUGAAAUGUAUGAUUAAACUUAAUUUUCACAUUAUAUUAUAAGGACAUUAUAAUGAAAGGAAAAUUAAGAAAUUAAGCCCAAUAUCAACAAAAGCAGCGUUCAUAUAAUUCAUAUCUUCUAUUUUCGUGUAUCAAUGCAUGGCGGUCGCUCCAUAUACAUCAAAGAACACAGUAGUUUUCAAGAGUUGAUCGCGGUACUGUAGUGAAAAUAUGUAUCAGAUGUCCAAAUUUUCCGCCAUUGCUAUGUCUGCAUAUAAUCUGAUCGCUCCAUCUUUUGCCACAUUAUUUCCGCAAUUUUACAUUGUAUUAUAACAUGUGUUUCAAAUUUUCUUCAUGGUUUUGAUAGAAAGGAUAAAUUGAAUGAGUGACAAUUUACCGUCUUUGUAGCGUACUGCCUCCACUCAAAUACGUUCAUAGAGAAUUUACCAUAUGAAAAUCCUAUUCUUUGGUGGAAUGUUUAGUGUCCAGAAGCCUUUCCACCAGUUUUUUAUUACCACAUUAUAAGAUGUAGAUGCUUGAUGUUGAGGUUGGAUGCCAAUCUAUAAUCUCUAUCCGGACUGAACCGAGAAUUUCCCACUCCACUCGUAGAGCCAAAUAAUCUGAUCGUCACAGGAGAAAGAACUGAUUGAGAUUGCUAGUAUGGCAUCGCGAUCAUUGGCGAAAAAUGGCUUUCAACUCAGCAAAAAUCCCAAACCCCUGGAGAAAUAAAUAAUUCGCUGACCAUGGUUUAAACUUUAAAGGUAUUAGGCCGUAGAAUCCGAGAAAUUGUUAGUUCUGAAGUGUUCAUGUAACUACUUAACUCUGUGAGAUAGUGUGCGUCUUGAUUCUCCCGUCUCCUUACAUGAGUACUUGAUAAUCUCUGUAUCCUUUUAUCAUUUCCUGGUGUUAAUUGUUUAUGUAGAACUAUCCCUAAGGCCAUCUCCAACCCUGCACCAAAUUUUGCACCAUUUUACACCAAAUUUUGCACUAAAUCUUGCACCAAACCAAAAUUCUUCUCCAACCAUUACACCAAAUGAACAGUGCUUUAUUAUUUUAUUCAUUCUUUCGAUUUUUGACAAUGUAUUUAUUUUAAAAUAUUAUUUAUUUAUUUUAUAACUAUAUAAAUUAGUAAAUCAUAACUUCAUUAAAUUAACAAAUAUAUUGAUUACUAAAUUAUCACAUGUCUUAUAUAUUAUGUUAAAUUGACAAAAAUAUUUGAUUAUAUUAUUAAUUUAUGAUAAACAAUUACGUUAAAUUUAAAAAAAUAAUAAAGUUUAAUAAUAUAAACUUUACGUUAAAUUAAAUUUCAAACGUAAACUUUAUGUUAAAUUAACAAUUACGUUAAUUAUUAUUGAUUAUAUUAUUAAAAAUAAUAAACUUUAAUAAUAUAAUUAAUAGUGUAAUUAAUUAAGUAAUUAUUAUUAUUAUUAUUAUGAUUAUGAUUAUGAUUAUGAUUAUCAUUAUCAUUAUUAUUAUUAUUAUUAUUAUUAUUAUUAUUAUUAUUAUAGAACGAAAAUGACACAAAUACCCUUAACCAUUAGCUUUGAAAAAUGAAACAUAAGAGCAAAAUGGACAUUGCACCAGUUGGUGCAAAAUGGUGCAACAUGAAUAGUGUUGCACCAUAUUUGGUGCAACACUAUUCAUUACACCAUUUUUUGCACCAAAAUUUGGUGCAAUGGUGCAAUGGUUGGGGGAAGUUAUAAAAUAAAUAAAUAAUAUUUUAAAAUAAAUACAUUGUCAAAAAUCGAAAGAAUGAAUAAAAUAAUAAAGCACUGUUCAUUUGGUGUAAAUUUUGAUGUAAUGGUUGGAGAAGAAUUUUGGUUUGGUGCAAGAUUUGGUGCAAAAUGGUGCAGGGUUGGAGAUGGCCUAAGAGAUUAUUUUGAAAACUCCCUUGACCUGAGGACCUGAUCUUCACGGAAUCCAAGAUCUCUUAAUAAUAAAUCUAGAACUAAGAUCAGUAAGUGAUUCACUUUGUGUGAUAUUCUCUCUGUGAUGAUUGACUAUUUUUUGGCAUUUGAUAAAUACUUUUUGUAUUUUAUUAUGUGUUGGGUAUUUGGGAAACUCUUGAAUCGAAUUACUUGAAAAAACCUCUUCCAAAUAAAUUAUUUUUGUUGGAAAAUUUUAAAUUGACUCCGACAAGAUAUAUAUUUUCAAUAAGUUGAUCCAAGAUAUAAAAAAUUGUGGCAACAAGGGAAUAUGCGAGUAUAAAGCAAUCAUCAUGUAAAAUGCUAUCAUUGAGACCGAUAAGGAUGUUAACUGUGUCAUCAAUACUUUAAGAAGCAAUGAUCUAGAACUUAAAAAUGAUACAGAAACUAAAACCAGUGCUGAGGGGUAAAUCCAAACAUAGAGAGUCUAGUGGUUAGGAGAGUAAUAAUUCUUAUGGUCAUCACCAUAAAAAGAACUGUAGGAAUUAUUUUGGGUGUAAGUCAAAGGCUAAAAAUAGAAAAUGCUGUAAUUUUGGAAAAAAGAGACAUUAUAUUAAGGAUUGUUAUAAACUUAACAAUAAUUUCAAUAAAAUGAAAUAGAAAUCGAACCAAGUAAUUUUGCCACAACUAGCAACAAGACUCUUGAUGAUCUCUAUGUAGCCAUCCAAGUGGAAGAGACCGAGCGCCUUCCACUGAUUAUUUAAAUGAAUGGUUACAAGAAUUAGAUUGCACAUUUCAUAUGACAUCCAGAAAGGACAUUUAUUGUACCUAUAAAGAAAUAAACAGAAUGAUAGUAGUUAUAGGAAAUAAUAUAUCGUGCAGAGUGAGAAGCAAACCCACCUACAAAUUAAUCAAAACAAUUGAUUAGUGUAAGGAUUUGCAAAGUAAAUUGAAGAAAAUCAAGACCAAAAUCUGAAAAUAAAAGGAAAGGUUUUCCCCUUUAUAAUUCGGCUCAGAAACUUGAUCUACACCACAAAGGUAUCUCCAAUUUGAAGGCCAUUAUCAGUCACACAGACAUAUUCACAAAGAAAAGGCAAGAGAGGAUUGGUUUGCACUAAGCAGAGAAGUUUUUCUUCCUCUUGUUUUUUGCUCUCGGUUUUGGUGUGUUUAAUGGAAGGGAAGAGUCUCCUAUUUAUAGGCUUAUAGGAGUGAAUGAAUUUCACAGGAGUCUUCAAGAUUAGAUUGAAUAAAAACUGCAAGAUUAUAUCCAAACUGAAAGAUAGAGCUCAUCCAACAAAAAUGAGAUAAAAUUGGUUUGAUAAUAAUAACGAUAAUAUUUAUCCAUCUUUCAUGUGAAUUUCAAAUUCCCUCCAAGUUGGGUAUUGGGCAUCUAACCCAAUGGACUGAUUACCUCUAAAUACCCAACAUAAUUGGGCUACUUCAAUUGUGGUGUGGAUUUAAUUCUUCAAUCCUGGGCUUAUAGCCUAUGAAGUUAAAACGGGCCUCGAUUUUUCAUCAUAGCUUAGGGGAUUUGGGCAUUACUUACCAAUCAUGCCCAACACAGAGUCAUAGGAUUGGAAAUAUAAGGGUAAAAUUUGAAACUCGAGAUGUCUGUGCUAGAAAUUGUAAGGAGCACUCCUUUCCAUCAAAAGAGUUAGGAAUGGUCUUCUCGAAAAUAGAGAGCGUUUCUGCAGAUUCUGCAAUGGCUAACUCUGUUAAGGGUAAUGGUAGUAAUCUGUUGCACCAAAAAUUAGCUGACUUGGGUAAUAAAGGGUUGCAAAUGCUGCAAAACAAGGAUCUUUUGGGAAAAAUCACAUGACACAUCUACCCUUUUGUAAAAAUAAUGUCCUAGGAGAAUAGCAUAGAGUCCAGUUUUCAUAUUGCUUACAUGGAACUUCCUCAAUAUUAGAAUACUUGAGCUUUGUUUUUUAGGGUCCUUCUAGAACAUCCACACAUUGAAGAAACAUAUGUUUCUUGUCAAUAAUAGAUGAUUCUUUAAGAAAAGUACGGUUUUAUUUGUUAAAACUUUAUAUAUACAUUAGUCCAAUUUUAAACCAUUUUACUUCUUUUUCUUCACUUUUAAAGAAAAGUCUGCUCUUCAAAAAUUGACUUUGUUUGAGGUAUAACCCAUGAUUUAUUUCUAAACUUGCAACAAUAUUGAAAAGGCUUAUGCAUCAUAAACAGAAUUGAUGUGAAUAUACAAUGCAAAUUAGGUACAAAUGCAUAAAAUAAAAUCCCAUGGACAAGGCACAAUGCAUUGCUUUUAUUAAAGUAUAAAAUAGGACGAGCUCGUUGGCAAGGCAUCUUUACAAUUUACCUUCAGUCAUCACAACGCAUCUUUUCUCAAAAUUACAACUAUGAAGGAGGUACAACUAUGAAGGAGUUUUGAAUAUGAUAAUAAAUUAUUUGUUGAGAUAUAGUGGAACUGUUAGAAUCUCAAGACACGGAAACAACUAGCGUGCAAAAUGUUAUAGAGAAAUGUUUACUACUCAAAUAGAUUAAAAUCAUUCAAAGGUGAAUUCAUAAAUCAUUUUUAAUCUCAAUUUUACAGAAUAAAGUAGAACACUAAUUGAAUUCAACACAGUUCGAAUUCUGCCAGGCACUAAUAGUUUAAACAUGCCAUUUACAAAAUUCAUAUACUUUACAAACUCAUUUUUGCUCAAUGAAUGAUCAACAUGCAACUUAAUCAACUUGCUAAGCUCUCAAAUCUCUUAGGUGAUCUGUAUUAGUCCUACGUGUUUUAAAUUAGUCAAGUAUUGUGAAACUCAAUACCUCAAACAGCAGCUUAUGAAAUACAGUAAUUCCUAGAAGGCAAAAAUAGAGCUCAUCUUAGUUUCAAAACAAGGCAAACAUAAGAUAGAAGUUAUUUGAUGUUUUAUUUAAUAGUACACGCAAUACCUAGGAACGAGAUGAGAACUCUUAUUACACUCAAAAAUGUGUCAGAGGGCUGGCAAAGGUAUCUCCUGCAAGAAAAAAAAAUGUUUACAAUCCAAUUGAAUAAGUGAAAGGCGAAUUUUUAGAGAAUCGUAGUAUACCAACAAAAAAUAUUCUUUGUUUACUAGUUUCUUUCUUCUUCACGUUCGCUUACUGCUUUACUUUCCUUUUCAGGUUCACUUUCUGCUUCAUUUUUACUCUCCUGGUCAAAUAUUAUGACUUUAAGUUCUUCAUUUCCCAUUUCUUCUUGUUCUUCUUGAAUUCUCUUAGCAGAUUCUUUGAUAGCUUCCACGCAGUCAUAUACCUCAAUCAUUAGUAAUGUUGGAAUAUCACCUAAACUGGGAGGGAUCAUCUUCAAAUGUUUGCAAUAUUUCAAUCCUAGUCGUUGAAGUCUUGGGAAAUGAUCAGUUGAGGUAUUCCAUUCUGCAAGUCCUACAUCAGAGAGUUUCAAGAAUUUAAGUUGUGGAAAUUCACCUUCACUAGUGUCCCAUUGUCC